This 137491-nucleotide long non-coding RNA is filed under the name Populus tremula. Its description in RNAcentral is "long non-coding RNA (PTRE_LNC001446)". The stretch from base 44804 to 44959 matches the Rfam family "MIR2912 microRNA precursor family". Lineage: Eukaryota; Viridiplantae; Streptophyta; Magnoliopsida; Malpighiales; Salicaceae. The record is from RNAcentral.
GGGCACUCUCUGUAUAGAUAUGGUCCCAAGCAGCGAGCCUCUUUCCUAUAGAUUGCAGCUCCCUUCUCUCUCUCUCUGUAAGUCUCCUGCCUUGUCUACCCUAAUGGUUGCGCGAUCUCCAGAUAUAUUGCGGUAGGAAAACGUGCAUGAGUUUUCUUCUGUGUCAUCAGUAAACGAGUAGGUCAUUUUCACUUUUAUGUAUUUACAGUCAUUACCAUAUGCAUUUAUGUUCAUAUUUAUAUAUAUUAUAGUCAUUACCAUAUGCAUUUACUAGAAAAACUGUAUUAACUUAUUUUUUUAGGAAUUGUUUUAAUAUUUCAGUCUUUUUUCUAAUUUAAAAUAAUGUUUUUUAUAUCUUAGUAUUGACAUAUAUUUUGCACUAUCAUAUACAAAAAAAUAAUAAUUCUUAUAUGAAGUUAAGUCUUUUUAAUUUGAAUAUGGAUGUAUUCAAUCAAAUAACGUGUAGACUUCUAUCAUCCCCUAACCAGUCUAUGGAAAUGACGGGUCCCUCUCUGAAAGUUGAAGUAUUUUGUUGGAAAAAAUCAACAGCAGAGCAGUGUUGGGUCUUUUCUCUGUUCCUAUUGGGAUCAAAGAUUCUAAUUAACAACAGUUAGCAGUGGUUAAUAGGGAUUAACUUUGCAAUCGCAAGGUUCAAAUUUUGUUGUCGGUGUUGAUAGGGAUUAAUUUUUAAAAUCAUCUUUGGACUUUCCACAUUUGUAGUUUUCUACUGGAAACGCGUUUUCUCUCUACACUUUUAUGAAAAGCAUUUUCCACGGGGCAAGUCACUACCAGAAAUUCGCUAAAUACCAAUGAAAUCCCCGACAGAAUAUUUUUGUCGGUAUAUUUCGGUUGAAAUUACCGACCAAAUUACAGACAGAAAGUUCAGAAUUAAUGAAAAAAGGGCGAGUACCUGAGGCUGGGGUUUGGCGGGUGAUUUUUCUGACAGAAUCACCGACAGAUUCAAACCCUGGGACCCGCACCGUCAAAAAUACCGACGGAAUCACUGACGGAUUUGAAUGCCAGAUCCGUACAUGCGACGUGACAGGUGCACAAUAAAAAAAUACCGACGGAAUCACCGAGGGAUUUGAAAAAAGCAGUCCGUGUGGUGACGUGUCGAUUCCCUGUGACAUUUAGCGACGGAUUCACCGACAGUGUUAGUCCGUCGGAAAAAGUGAAUAUAUGAAUCCCUUUCCGACAUUCUCCUCCCCCAUUUCUCCUUCUUCUUCCUAAUCCUAAGUCUCCCCAUCUGCAAAUAACCAGCCCCCCCUCGCCCCCAAACAAAAAUCUUUCUCAUCUUAGCAGUUGUAUUUCUUGAAGUUUUGUGGUCACAGCAUCCGUGUUUUGAUUUACCGACGGAUUUUAUCAAUUUUUGUAAGUAAUUCUAUCUUUUUUAAAUUUUAACAUUUAAAUGUUAAUUUUAUUGUUUUUUUAGUAUAAGUAUUGUUAUUAGUAGAUGUACAUGUUUUAUUGUUAUUUCUCAAACAAACUUGUAGUUUAUUAAUGUAUAAUUUUAUACCUGUUAUGGUUUGUUUUAGAUUUUGUAAGAUUGUAUUUGUUUGUAAAUUGUUAAAACUUUGUGGAAUUACAUGUUAUGUUUUGAAAUAAUUAAUAGCUUGCUUAAUAGGUCCUUUUUAAGUUUUAUCGAUGGUAUUGCAGAGUGGUAAUUUCUGUUAAUUUAUAUAUAUAUAUAUAUAUAUAUAUAUUAAUUUGUAUGGACGUUGAUAAAUGAUAAUGAAUAUUUAAUAUUUAUGAGAAGUUGUGAUUGGUUUGUUGGAUAAUCUCGAGGUAAAGUAAUAUAUUUACAAGUUUAUUUACCUAACUUAGUUAAUUAAUAUAUACAUGAUGUCAUCAUAAUUUUAUAGAGGUUCGAUAGAAGUCAUGGAUGAUCGUUCAUGGAUGUAUCUAGAUUCACCCCAAGGAUUGCGGAGGAUGGAUUAUUGUAACGGGGUUCAGGGUUUUAUUAAUUUCGCAACAUCUAUUCCCAGAAAUUUUACUGGAGGCGGUAUUAGGUGUCCAUGCAGGAAGUGUCAAAAUAAAAAGUAUCUGCAUCCAGAUGUUGUAAUGAUGCAUCUUCUACACAAAGGGUUUGUGGAGGAUUACCAGUGUUGGUAUGCACAUGGAGAGGUAUUUGUUAGUAAUAGGAGAAUGAGAGAAACGGUGGUUGGGUCAACUUCUAGUGCUAGCAACGUGCAUGAAGCGGCAAAUGACAACACUAAUCCUUACAGAAACAUGGUUAUGGAUGCAAUGAGAAUGAAUCAAGGUAAUGUCAGUCAAUGUCCAAUCGUAGAAGAAGAACCUAAUGCAGAGGCAGCUAGGUUUUUUGAUUUGUUGAAAGAUUCUGACGAACCAUUAUGGGAUGGCUGCACAAACCACAGUAAAUUAUCGGCCGUGGCACAGGUGUUCACCAUCAAGUCAGAUCACGGGCUGAGUGAGGCCGGGUAUGACAAAAUUAUUGAUUGGGCAAGAAGCAUUUUACCUGAAGGGAACAGGCUCAAAGAGAACUUCUAUGUCCAUGAUGAAACCCCUCGGUUUAGGAUACCAGAAAAUUGACAUGUGCCCUAACUUCUGCAUGUUAUACUACCUUGAAAAUGCUGAGAUGACCGAGUGCAUGACAUGCGGGCAUUCGCGUUACAAACCCAGAACUGGCAGGGGAAAGACUCUAGUGGCGUAUAAAAAACUUAGAUAUUUCCCGAUCACACCUAGACUGCAGAGGUUAUUCAUGUCACGAAGGACUGCUGAGCACAUGACAUGGCACCAAACACAUGAUGCGGUUGAUGGUGUGAUGGUGCAUCCUUCUGACGGCGAAGCGUGGAAACGCUUUAACAGUGUGCAUCCUGACUUUUCAGCUGAAUCAAGGAAUGUGCGUCUUGGGUUGUGUGCAGACGGAUUCAACCCAUUUGGGUCAUUUGCUGCUCCCUAUUCUUGUUGGCCGGUCAUACUCACAGUUUAUAACUUGCCACCGGGAAUGUGUAUGAGGCUGGAGUUCAUGUUUUUAUCUACUGUCAUACCCGGUCUAAGCAGCCCGGGGCAGAAUAUAGAUGUUUGUCUUCGACCGUUAAUUGAUGAGCUGGCGCAGUUGUAGUCCUCCGGAGCUCUGACUUAUGAUAUAUCGAGGAAACAAAAUUUCCUUAUGAGGGCGGCUUUGAUGUGGACUAUCAAUUAUUUUCCAGCUUAUGGAACGCUUUCUGGUUGGAGCACAUAUGGGAAGCUCGCAUGUCCAUACUGCAUGGAAAACAACAAGGCAUUCACGCUAGCAAACGGAGGUAAAGCUUCUUUUUUUGACUGUCACUGUCGCUUCUUGCCACUUAAUCACAGGUUCAGAAAGAACAGAAAAGAUUUCUUUGUUGGCAGAGUUAAAAAAGAUGUUGCAUCCCCGCGUCUUUCUGGUGAAGAAUUGCAUCAUGUUGUAUCAGAGUACGGUGACAUUGUGUUUGGCCUUCAAUCAGGUAAGCAAAAGUUUACUGGUUUUGGUUUGACCCAUAAUUGGGUAAAGCGAAGUAUCUUUUGGGAGCUUCCUUAUUGGAAGACCAAUCUUCUCCGCCAUAACCUUGACGUCAUGCACAUCGAAAAGAACGUGUUUGAGAAUAUUUUCAACACCGUCAUGGAUGUGAAGGGGAAGACAAAGGACAACAUCAAGGCUAGAUUGGAUAUAGCUUUAUACUGUAAUCGUAAAAAUAUGGAGUUGGUUUAUGAGGAGUCACGGUUCGCAAAACCAAGGACAAGCUUCGUGUUAGAGAAAAACGCACAAUUGCUGGAGGACCGGUCCGGUAUAGAUGGAUGUACCCAUUUGAACGGUAAGAUAUUACAGUUGCAAUGGAAUUCAUAUCUAAAAGUUUUUUCUAUGUUUUUCUUAAUUGGAAAUACUUGAAUUGUAAUUCAAUGCAGGUACUUGUUUAAUUUCAAGAAAAAGGUUAAGAACAAGGCGCAUGUUGAAGGUUCGAUAUGUGAGGCCUAUAUUGUUGAAGAGAUAUCAACAUUUAUCUCGUACUAUUUCGAACCUCAUAUGAGAACAAGAAUCAAUCGCGUUCCACGGCAUGACGAUGGUGGUGAAGUGUCUUCCAGUGGGAACUUGUCAAUAUUCUCCAAAACUGGACGACCCACACCUAAAAAUGCCGUACGAGGAAGAUUUUUGUCGGAAAUAGAAUUCAAACAAGCACACAACUAUGUUCUAUUUAACUGUGAUGAGUUGAGACCAUUUAUUCAGUAAGUUUAUAUAUGUGUUUUGUCAGUAAAAUAUUGGCAAUUAUAUAUUGUGAAAUCAUACACUCAUUAUCACUUGCAGGCAACAUCGACAAUAUUUGCUCUCCAAUAACUCGCAGCUGACCGACUCUCAGAUCUUUCAAUUACAAGAUGAACAAUUUGCCACAUGGUUCAGAACACAUGUAAGCACUAUCACAAACUCAUUCUAACUUACAAAAUUACUGUACGUAUGUGUCGCACCCCAAAAAAAAUCAGCGCGCGGCAUCGGCUGGCGAUUUAAGUCUCGUUGCGUAAUGUUUGAAUUUGGUUCGUUGGAGUCGCCACCUAGUAAUUUAUUGAAGGCUACUAGGAAACCGGAUAGACUGGUCUGGUCAGAGAUUCGCGGGUAAGGAACUGGUUGUGGUUAGGGAAGGUAUUAGCACCCCUAACGCACCCUACCUGAGUUAAGCUGCUUCGCGACUUUGAUGUGUUAAAGAAGUUUUAAUAAUUGUCUUUUCGUUGGAAAUUAGAAAUAUCACUUACGUAUAAGUUAAUAAUUCUUAACCGUGAUCCGAUCAAAAUAUUAAAUUCUUCUUUAAUAGAUUUGCAAUUUUAUCCUAAAAAAUAAAUAAAGAAAUAAAUAAAAUAACAAAUUCAUAAAACAAAUACAAACACACACAUACACUUUCACUAUUUUUAUUUCUUUUUCUUUUUUCUUUUCUUUUCUUUUACAUCUACUUAUACAAAUACAAAUAUAAAUACAAAUACAAAUUCAAAUUAAAUAAAUAAAAAUUACAUUAAUUAAUUUAAAAAUUACAAAAUAGUCCCUAAAAACUCCAGAAAUUGCAGGGAAGGACUUCUGGGGCUGCAUGAACAGUAGCGGCGCGUGGACCCCACGCACCGCCGUGACUGGCGGCGCGUGGGCUCACGCACCUCCCCGAAAAUCAGGCAGCGUGGGGGGGCUGUGAUGCUUCCUCCUCUCUUCGAUCUCUCCACCUGUAAAUCCAAAAAAAACACACAGCAAGGGCAGUCGAUUUUAAGUUUUUUUUUUUAGUUUUUUCAAAUCUGUUUUUUUGUUCUUUCUUUCUCCGCCGUCUUCGAUCUGCUCCUCUUUCUCUUCUCCUUCGUUGCAGAUCAGUCCGUGGGUUUCUUCUUCUUCUCCUCUGCUUCAGGUGGUGGGGCGGCGGCUGAUGGAGAAGUUGUUUCGGUGGCGCCGCUGUGUGAGGGCUGUGGCUGGAGGAAGACGGCGCUGCUGUACGGGGAGGGGGCGUUGUUGCUGGCAGAAGGAGCUGGGUUUGCCCAAAUGAUGGGCGGCUGAGACGAUGGAGAUCGUGGCCGAGAGAGAGGAGCAGGACGGCGCUGCUGGGGGAACGGCUGCUGAAACUAGGAGGCGAUGGCUGAGAGGAGAAGAAGACGCUGCUGAGGAAGGCUGAGAAAGAAAGAAAUAUGGCAGGGAGGGAGACGGAGGAAAUGGGGCUGAGAGAGGUAGAAAGGGUAGGAGAUUUGUCUUGAUGAGGGGGAGCGGGUGGCUGUGAUAUGGGGAGCCAAGUCUUGGCCGACGGCUGGAAUCAAAAAACCAGUCGGGGGGGGGGGGGGGGGCUCUUUGUUUUUUUUUUUAGGAAAGGGGGCGGUUGUGUAUGAGAGGGUUUAGGUUAGGGUUUUUUGUAUUUUUUUUUAGAUGUUGUCAAAAUUACCCCCCCUUAAAAUCAGUUUAGCAUGGUAUUUAUAGGAAAACUUUGCUAGGUCUUUCAACUUGGUCCCCCAACUUCUUUCUUUUUGUAAAUUUUGAUUUUUCUUAUUUUUUUGUAUUUUUUUGAAAACGAGCAAUAUCAACGUCAACUCAAAUGCGGAAAAUCAAUGAUUUAAAAAUGACGUUUGAAAAUCUUUUAACAAUUUAAAUUUCUUAUUUUUUUGUAUUUUUUUAAAAAUCAACGUCAACAUAUUUUUUGGGUUUUCUUUGUUUUUCUCAAUUUUUUUGGAUUUUUUGAAAAUAUAUCAAAACAUGGGUCAAAAAUUGGGUAGCAACAGUAUGCAUGCCAUUACGAGAUUCUCGUUCAUUUACCGUUUAUUGAUGUACAUUACAUGUAUACAAGGUUUAUCAAAUGGGAAGAAGUGCGUCUAAGUCAUUGUCUUCACUAAGCCUCGGGCCUGAAAGAAAAGUUAAGUGCUACAACGGGUAUUUUGUCAAUGGAUACGUUUUCUAUACUAAAGAAUACGGGCAAGGAAGAAAGACAUACAACUGCGGUGUUUGUGUUAAAGGAUCCAUAAGUAGUGAGUUAGAAGUUGACUACUAUGGUAGAUUAGAAGAGGUCGUCGAACUACAAUAUCAUAGCGAGCAGAAUACAGUAUUUUUAUUCAAAUGUUAUUGGUAUGACACGACGGACAGAGGAAUCAGAGUUGAUACGCACCAUGGUCUGGUCGAAAUCAACUCAAAAGCUAGACUCCGCAACAUAAACGAUGUCUUUGUUUUCGCAAAGCAAUGUCAACAAGUUUAUUACACAUACACCCCUUCAUUUAUAAAGGAUCGAUCAAGAGUUGAUUGGUUGUCCGUUUUGAAAACGAAACCACGGGGUCGUGUCGAGGUUGUUCAGGAUGAGAACGAAGAAACAAGUGUGCGGGAUGAAGUCUUUCAAGUUAGUGAGUUGGUUGAACCAUAUCGAGUUGCUCCUUCGAUUGAAUUGGAAGAAAAUUCAAAUUUUCGUGUUUCCGAUGAUAGUCUUGUUGAUGUUGACGUAGAGGAGUUGAACGUUGUUUUGAGCUCUAGCGGACAAGAAAAUGUCGAUGAAGAAGAUGAUAUUCAUAUUGAAGAUUGCGAAGAAGGUGAUGACUAUUCAAUUGAUGAAGAAGAAGAAGAUAAUUCUGACUAACUAUCAAAACGAAGCCUUGUGUAAAACCCUUUUCUUCAUGUAAUUUACAUUAUGGAUGAUAUAUUUUGUAACAUGAAAUAUAUAUUUAUUGUUUAAGCACUGUUGUUAUUGUUUUGUGCGAUGGACAGUUUAUUAUUGAAUUUUUUGCAGGAAGGUAAAUAGAAAAUACAAACACAACACCUUUGUACAUUGCAUCUCACAGAGAGUUCGAAAAUAAUUACACCGAAAUGCCACAAUCACCGACGACCAUACCGACGGACCUCAGUCCGUCGGCAUCUCACAGAGAGUUCAAAAAUAAUUACACCGAAAUGCCACAAUCACUGACGACCAUGUCCGUCAGCAUCUCACAGAGAGUUCGAAAAUAAUUACACCAAAAUGCCACAAUCACCGACGUCCAUACUGAUGAAUUUAUCGACGACUAUACCGACGGAAUUUAUCCGUCGGUAAGUUGUUGGUGGCAAAUUUUACCGACGGAAUGCGCGAAUUUCAAAGGGUGUGAAUUAAAUGCACCUCUGACCGUGUCAGAUUACCGACGGAAUCACCGACGGACCGCGAAAAAUUUGGAGCGCAAUUAAAAAAUUCAGAGCGAAAUUCAAAAAUUACCGACGUAUUGUUUGCCUUUUACCAACGGAUUUAAAAAAUUAAUAAUAUUUUUUAAUAUUCGUCGGUAAAUCCAUCGGUAAAUCUGCCAAAUGACCUAUAAGUUCCAAUGCCCGCCAAUUCCCCUCAUUUUUUCUUCUCCUCCGUUUUUCUUCGCCUCCGUUGCGCUGUGAUUUCCAAUUUUUUGCUCUCAAUCUUUCAAGGCUUGCACCUUGAAUCUCUUGCAAGAUUUGAAUAAAGGUAUGUGGUUGUUUUAUUUUAUUUUAUUUUAGUUGUAGUUGUUUUUAUUUUUGUUAUUUUGUUGUUUUGUUGUAUUUUUUUGUAAUGUAGAUAAAGUUUUGAAUUGGACAUAUUAUUAAGGUAUGUAUACUUCAUUCCUUUUCUUGAUGUAGGUUUUUUUUUUGAAUUUUUUUGAAUAUUUUUUAUUGUUGUGUUGUUAUAAUUGGUAUUAGUUAAUUUGUUGGAUAUUUGUUGUUAAAGUUGAAUCUAACUUAGAAUUAAUAAUUGACUAUGUUAGAAUAAUUAGUAAUUUUACUCUAUUAUUAUUGCAUGAUUUUUAUUUAAUUAUUUCCAUUGAUUUUAAUUGUUAUUCUAUAUAUAUUUUUUUAAUUUAUUGAAUAUAAUUUAUUGUUGUAUUGCCAUAUAUAAUUGUUGAUUAAUUUGUUGAAUUAAUAUUGUAAAUGUUGAAUUUACCUUAGAAUAAUUUAUUGUUGUAUUGUAAUUGUUAAUGUAGAAUUUACUUUAGGAUUAGUAAUUCAAUAUGUUGGAAUAAUUAGUAUAGAUUGGGUCAAUUGGUUGUGGAUAUUGUUAAUAUUUGCAGGUUUGUGGAUUUGGAUAGUAUCCAAGUAUAGGAGAGGUGAUGCCGAAUUUUUUUUAACAUUUCAAUUGAAUUAUAUAAUUAUUUAUAUAAAAUUGGUUAGAUGUAUAGAAUGUAAACCAGAGCUUCACGUACGGUCGCAUCUACUUCGUCUAGCAGCAACGAAGACAUUUCCUUAGGUGCCUCUCAAGAAGAGGCACCUACACCACUUGCUCCGUCAGCUGAUGCUGCCUUUUCCAGCGAUGCUUCACGUCACAAAAGCGGCAUGCCUUCGCAGCGGAAUCGAUGCAACCACAAGUACGAGGCACAAUGGAAGGAUGACCUUUCAAUGUAAGUUUGUUAAGGUUUUAAUUUAAAAAAAAAAAAAACAAAUUUGAGGUUCACAAACAAAUUUAUGAAGUCACUAUUUAAUUAAUUUCAAUUCUUUUUAGGUUCACAAACAUUGAGGCCGCCCGAGUAAUAUCAUCGGCGUUUAAAGGGUCGAUGGAGAUUCCAUUGUUUCAAUGGAGUCAGAUAUUCAGGAUGCCUCAAAUCAAUGCAUAGUUUUACAGAUUUGAGGUUCGUGUUAAUAUAUAAUUUUCAGCUUAUUUCUAAUAAAUUCUUAAUAUAAUUGUAAAUAAAUUAUUAACAUUUUUAAAAAUUAUUUUUUAUACACAGCAUCGAUUCUGCUGGGACGAGGAACAUAACAAUGUUGUGAGGAGGGUGUGGGAAAAUCACGCGGCAACUAGGUAACAUCAAAAACAAUACAACUUUUUUUUAGAAAAAAAUUUAUGUUUUGAAAUGUAAUUUUUGUUUGCGUUAAGUAGGUUGCAUGAUUUUUGGUACGAAGCCCAAAAAAAGGCAAAAAAAACUGCGAGGGAUAAGGGGUUCCAAGGCUGGAACGAUGUUGCGGUUUGGAGGGAUUUCAAACCCAUAUACAUCCCGGAUGAUAUAUGGCCGCAAUAUCUUGAGCACGUGACGUCUGAGCGGUUCACACGACGCUCACAGUCCGGUUCUGGCAACCGAAAUCAGGCAAUUCAUGGCUCGGUGACAACGCACACCGGCGGCUCUGUUCCGUUUGCAGCUCAUGCGAAACGAAUGGUAAGAUUAAUUUAAAUGAAAUAUAUCGUUCAAUUAAAUUUUUGUUAAUAGAUUUUUUUCAUUAUAGGCUACGUCUCUUGGACGUGAGCCGAGCACUAUGGAGCUAUUUAUGAAGACGCACGUGCGGAGUCAAGAUCGCCAAAAAGGGGUGCAACAGUUCGUUGACAGCCGCGCUCAACAUUUUGUGGUAUGUUUAUUCAUCCAUUUUAUUGUGUAAGUUAUUAUUAUGUUUAUUGAAUUGAAUAUGAUGAUUACUUGUUUUAUUUUUAGGAGACCUAUAAUAAUCGGUUGAGGGAGACAUACGGGGAUGACCCUUUGACCCAUCCGGAAUUUGAUCCGGAUUUGUGGAUGGAGGCUGGAUCGUCAAGUGGACCCGAUAAGAAUCGGGUUUACGGCCUCUCCAACACUAGGGCCGACACCUUGCGAACGACCCGUACUGCAUCAACCGUCGGGAGCUCCCAAUCAGUAUCGAGCUCCCAAUCUAAGGAGUUUGUGGCCUUGCAGCAAAGGUGCGACUAGAUAUCAGAGGCGUACACACAACUCAAGAAACAAUACACAGCAGAAUCUGCACAACAAAGAGCGGCCUAUGAAGAGCUUCGUCAAAUGGUCAUAAACAUGUCACAAGGUGGAAUAUGUGCACCCAAUCCAAGUUGGCCGCAUAACAGUCAGCCUCCUCCUCCUCUUGAUCCUCCUCAACCUCCUUUAUAUUAAUUUUUGAUAAAUAUUAUUUACAUUUAAAAUUUCAUUUAAUGUUUUUUUGAACAAUUUCAUUUUGUAAUGAAUAUUAUGUUUUAUCAUUUUUUGUUUUUGAUGUUUAAUAUAAUUUUUAUUUGCAUAAUUGGUUUUUAUUACCAUUAAUUUAUAUCAUUUUAUAUUAUGUAUUCUAAAUAGUUAUAUAAAAAAAUAAAAAUAAAAAAAUUACAAAGGGAUUUACCGACGGAAUAUAUCCGUCGACAUUAGAUAGUAGCCGCGACCUUCACCGACAAAUUUCCAGACGGAUUAAUUCGGUCGGUGUUUUCAUGACUCACCAACAGAUUUACCGACGAAUUGAUUCCGUCGGUAUUAUAAUUUACCGAUGAAUUUACAGACGGUAUAUUCUGUCGGUAUUUCAACAAUUCACCGACUAAUUUACAGACGGUAUAUUCUGUCGGUAUUUCAACAAUUCACCGACGGAAAUUAACCGUCGGUGAAUUGUGAUAUCACCGACGAAAUAAAAAUCCGUCGGUAUUAUUGAAGCGGGAAUUGUUUUUUUUUUUGGCGCGUAAAUUCCGUCUGUAAAGUCAUCGGUAAAUGGUUUUUUUGUUUUGCCGACCGAUAUAGCGACGGAAUGGGAAAUCACCGACGAAAGGUAAGCCGACAGACGUAUUCCGUCGGUAAGUUAGUCGGUAAAUAAUUUACCGACGGUUUUACAGUCACACACCGACGGAAUAAUUAUGUCGGUAAAACUGUGAAUUCUUGUGGUGAGUUUGGCACUCAAGUUUUUACAACCAGCCACUGCCCCUCUUCUACAAUAAUCUGGAAUGUUCACUGGCUCACUCGUAGACAUCUUUGAUGCUCUACGAAGACUACAGGAUACUUUGUCCUAUACAAAUUAUUUAAUUUUACUGUAUUCUUCUACAUGGUUGUGAUGGUAUAAUGUGAUUUUUCACUCAUUUUCAUUUUCGCUUAUUUAGAUGAGAAAUUAAUGUUCUUUAGUCUCUAAAUUAUCUUAUCUAGGGUUGAUUAUAAAAGCUAAAUAAUCAACAUACAAAUUAGGAUAUAAAAAUGAUAAGUAAUUAGAUUGAAUUUAAGUUAGAAAUAAACGGUAACCUUGUAAUGACAAUUUUAGGUAUUUUCAGUGUUUUUUUCAUCUCCAGCUCGUGUUUUCUUUUGCGAUCUGUUGUUUUCGCAUUAUAUAUUGACUACAUGCAUUUGUUCUUCGCCAGCUCAGAGAUAUAUUGGAAAACGAAUUUAACCUAUUAUUAUUAUAUAAAAAACCUUCGAGGAAUUGUUUUUUUCAAUGAUGAAGCUAGCUUUCACUAGCUGUUUUUGGUGUGCCUAUAUAUCAACAUAAGUAAGCAAAUAAAAUGUCAAGGACCAUGUGAAGCAUGAUUCACAUGUUUAUAAAUAGUAAGAGAACCUAUAAAAAAUCAAAUACAAAUAAUUGAAAGUCCUUUCAAGUAGAGGUUAAAGUCUAUCAAGAAAGGAUAGAAUCAAAGUCCUUAUCAAAUGAAAUCAAAACAAAUAAAAUAUCACCUGUUAAAACUUUCAAGCUAAUAUAAAAAUGUUAUAUCCCUCCAAAAUAAGUUCAAGAUCAAGCAUAGAAGGUUAUAAUAUUCAGAUAUGACUCUUAAUUAGAGAAUUUGUACACCUAAAACAUAUAUCAUGACUUUGAAUAUUAGUUAAAAUUCUUAAUAAUUAAAAUACUAGGUAUCGAAUUUAAAUCUUUUAAAUUAUAAAAAGGAUAAAAAUACUUUGUUAUUUCCAAACACCUAAAAACCCAAUCUAAAAGGAUGAUAACUAUACAAUAUAUGUGCGACACUGCCCCUUGCUCUCUUUUUCUAUGGAAGUUUAUAUUUAAUAAUACGGUAUAUAAUAUUUUUUAAUUGAAAAUGCAUUACAAUAAUAUAUAUUUUUUAGAUUUUUUAAAUAUUAAUAUAUUAAAAUCAUUAAAGAAACAUUAAAAAAUUAUUAAUUUAAUACUUUUGGAUAAAAAAUAAUUUUGAAAGCAGGUUUUUUCUUAAAAAAACUCCCGUUUGCCUUAUGUAACGAAAAAAAAAAAAUCUAUUGAGUGAGUGAGGGCUAAAAAGAAGAGAGGGUCAGAAGAUAACUUGGUCAAAAUAAUGUCGGCAAAACGUGCAUGUCAUGUAGUCAUUUUCGGUGAUGGGUCAUUUUCACCUAUAUAUUUUUGUAGUCAUUGCAUAUUUAUGUUGACAUUUAUAUUUAUAUAUUUAUAGUCACUGUCAUAUAUAUGCAGUUAUGUUCAUGACAGCUACAUAUAUAUUUAAAAAAAUGGAUUAACUUACUUUUUAAAAAUUAUAUUAACAUAUUAAUUAGUUUCUUUUGAAAUCAGAGAUACUUUAUAUAUAUAUAUAUAUAUAUAUAUCUUAGUAUUGACAUAUAUGUUAUAUUGCCAUAUAUAAAAAAAUAAUUUUUAUAAGAAAAUUAUUAUUAUUAUUAUAUAAAAAACAUGAAUAAUGUGUGGAAACAUUUUUUAUGAUAAAAAUAUCCUUAAGUUUUAUUAAUCAUUAAUGUAUUGAAAGGAUUUUAUCCCGUGUUUUCAAAAAAUUAAUUUUUAUUAUAAAAAAAUAAUUUUUUGUAUGUUUUAUAUUGUUUUGAUACGCUAAUCUCAAAAAUAAUUUUAAAAAAAUAAAAAAAUACAUUUUGAUGCAUUUUACAACUACAACGACACUCUCAAACAAAUUAUUUAAACCCCAACGCUUAUUUAGAUGAGAAAUUAUCAUUUAUAUCCAUUUCAGCACAAAAAAUAUUUUAAAAAACAACUAUAACCACUCUAAAAAAAAAUUAUUUAAACUAAUUUUUUUAUGAAAGAGUUUAUCUUUCAAGACUUUUUAUAGAGAGAAAAUUAGGCUUCAAAUCCAUUUUACUUUUAAAUUCAUGGUAUAUCUGGCGGAAUGGGCGUGAAAUAUUAUGAUCAAGGUUGUCAAUUCUGUUUUGGUAGGUGUUUCUUUUUUUCAAUUGGAAUGGAAUGUUUUAGUUUCGGAGUGUUUCGGCGUGCCGUUUCGAGGUUGUACUGUUUAUAUAUAUAUAUAUUCAACAAACAUAAUUCAAAUUCAAGAUAAAUUAAUUAUAAAUUAUGCAAUACAAACACAAUGCCAAACAAAUAUAAUUUUAAUAUUUAAAAUAUUUCUAAAUAGUCAAGAUUAAAUAGAUCUUUAACUUAAAGUAAUUCAACUUAAAUAAAAUAUCAAAAUAUUAUGAAAGUAAAAUAUUUUAACAAAAAAUAUUUUAAAUAUAAAGUUAGAUCAACGUUAUCAAGUGGCUAAUGGAAUCUAAAAUAUCCUUUUUUUUGCUCAAAUUCCUACAAAGUAUAAACAUGCAAAAACAAAAACAACAUGAAUAUAAACCAUAUAUAUUAGUGAUAAAUCUAAUUUUAAAAAAUUAAUAUAAUUGUUAAUGAAAAUAGUAAUAAUAAUUUUCAAUAUUAUUAUUAAUAUCAUUGAUAUUGAAAAUAGUAAUAAAAAAGAGCUUUUUAUAAUCGGGUGAUUUAAUUAAUGAAAUUGAGUAAGGUUUAAUUUGAUUCAAUGGCUUUUCAAGAACGGAAUGGAACAUGUGGAAUGAAACUGGAAUGUUUCGGGCGGAAUUUAGCUGAAAAAUCCGGAACGGACCGAGAUUUAAAAUGAGAUGAAAUUUGUUCUGUUUUGUUCCGGUUUUUGAAUUGGUAUAUAAUAUUUCGUUCAUUCCAGACAGAACGGAACAGAAUUGACACCUUGACUAUGAUUGAUUCCUCACUUUCCAUGACCCUGAGUUUUGGGCACAUGAAAGCCAACAUUUGAUUAAGAGGAUCGAUUACUCCACUUAAAAGUUCAUUAAAUAAUUUGGCUAUUUUGUGCUAUUUGCACAUAAAGUUAGUAGUGGAGGUAAUUAAGUCUAUUUAGCAGAUUAUAUAUAUAAAUUAGCAAAUAAAUUAUCUGUUACUACAAUCUAUGCUAAUAUCCCCAUUUUUUUUAGUAGUGAAGGUAAUUAAUUAAGAAUAGCAUGUGGAAAAAGAAAGUAUAUGACAGGCAAGUAGGGCAACCAUUAUCAUCUUAUUGAGUAUGUUUCCCAUCAAUGGUGGGUCUUAGCAUGAUGUUUCCCAUCAUACGGGUUAUAUUUCACUUUUCUCUUCUUUUCUUUUUGAAAGUAUAUUUCACUUUUUUAUUUUUGUUUUCGAGAACGCACGAGCUUAAUAAGAUCUACUCUCGUGAUCUGCUUUUCACAAUAAAAUAAAAUAAAAUAUCACAUCACAUAUGAUAUAGUAUUCUUAUGGCGUUGAGAAAAAGAAAUUUGAGACCUACAAUAUGCAUUUUGUAAGUUAGAUAGAUACAUUAAAAAGCAAUUUUAUAGUGAUUUUAAGUGAUUUUAAACAGUCACACUCUCCACAUAUGGGAUUAAGAGUUUUUUUUCCAACAAAAAAAAACCUUUUAAGUGUUGUCAAUGUUUUCUUCUAGUAUAUAUAAAAAAUAUUAAUUGGAUUAAAAACUUUAUGUUUGUAUUUAAUAAAAUAACUAAAUUAUAUAUAUUAAUAAAUAUUAAAUAAAUUAUUAUGCUAACUAAGAUUGAGUCCAAAUUAAGAGAUAAAUAUAUUAUUAAGAUAUUUAAUCUUGAUUGAGAAUAGCUCUUCAAAAUUAUUUUAUUUAAUUAUACAACAAUAAAAUUAUUUUUUAUAAGAAAAGUUAUAAUUUAAUUUUAUCAAAAAUAUUUUCUUGUAUAAUUCCAUCUAUUUUUUAUUAAUAUAUUUAAAACUUAUUAAGUCAACGCUUUUCUAAUUUGAACCAUUUUUCAUGUAAUUAAUGCUAUUAUUUAAACUAUAUAUUUUAAAAAAUCUUUACGCUUCAUAAUAUAAAAUAAAAAGUACAACAAGAUCUUUUACCGAUCAGGAACCGAUCUUUGAUUAAUUUUCCAUUUGAAUUCAGUAAAGGGACCUUAAAAAGAGAAUUAACCUAAAGGUAAGAAUUAAUUUAAGCCAACAACUAAUCUUUGAUUUUUGGAAAACAGCCAAAAAGAGCUGUCAUUGUAGACUAUUAUGAUCUCCAAUUAUUUGCUUCGUGAACAUUGAAUUAUCAAACUAUUAAAGGAUCUAUACUUAUAAUAUAAUAUUUAUUGGAAUAAUUUUUUUAAUUUUUUAAUUUUUAUUUUUAAUUUCACUCUUUAACAACACCAUAUGUUUUUUUAUUUCUUCAUCCAAUAUUAAUUGUUUUAAAAAAAAUUAUGCUUCGUACUUUUUUUAUUAGGUUAUAUAUUGAUCCCAUGAAUUUAAUUUUUUUUCUCGAUUUUAACAUUUAAUAUUAGAUUUGUUAAAGAUGGGGUUUCAUAUAUUUUUUUAUAUGUUUGCUAUGAACUUAUCAUUAUCUCAUUACUCGUGUCUUUAAUUUAACAAGUUAAUGUAGUUUAACUUGAAUAAUUUUUUGUGCACACUUUUUCUAAUUAAUUAUUUUUCUUGAUUUUAUUUUUUAAAAUUUAAUUAAUUGAAAAUAGAGUAUCAUAAUAUAUAUAUUUUUUUUUCUGUAAGGUUAUCUCGAUCUCUUACAUAACCAAUGCCAUGAGAUUGGGAAGUUGACUCAUGUUCAAGAAUCAAGGAUUUAAAGGAAAUUAAAGUAAAUCAUUUUUGAUAGAUUUUGCAUUUAAAAUUAUUUUUGACAUAAAUAUAUCAAAAUAAUUUUAAAAUAUCAAAAAAAUAUUAAUUUAAAAUAAAAAAAAUUAAAUGAUGUUUUUUUAAACACAAAAAUAAACAGGAUCUAAGAGUGUGGCGCUGGCAUGACUGGAGCAUUACCGAACUUAAAAGUAUAAUGAUUUACAUGCUGGAAAAUAAAGCUUGUGGAGUAAUUUCUCAUACAAUGAUUUAUCCUUCUCCUUCACAUGCAGGAACAGUUCGUCUUUUUGGACCACGUACACCUAGAAUAAUGAUAAAUACAAGCCUAUAUGCGAAUUGCACGUUUUAUUCCAUUCAAUGAAUACUUCAAUGUAUUGGGUCAGUAAACAAAGUUUCUUGUCCUUAUUGUAUUGCAUUAUUGCACGUUUUUCUUCCAGUAUGAUAGAUUUUUCUACCAUUAUCAAGAAAAUAUAUUGAAAUAGAAAAUUUCACAGCUAAUAUAUACAAAUUAUAUGGAGUACUAUAUUUCUAAAGCCUAUAUUCCCACCUUUGAAGAAAUCUUUCUUCUUUCGAAAACACCUUGGAAAACACUCUCACUUCCCUUACGAGUCAAGGUUUCAUAUGGAAUUUUUUCCAUUCAUCAUUUUAUCAAAUUGACAAAAGACACACUCAAACGCCUUGUAAAAUUCUCUUAUUACCAUAAUAAUCUAAGUUUUUCUUAUCGUUUUUAAUAUCAAAUUAAUCCAAAUUGUGUUACAUCUAUCACUAUAUUUAACACUCUUGCAAGUCUCUUUAUAUCAAUAAUAUAUGUACCACUCAAGUUUUAUCAUCUAGUAACACGUAAGAAAUCUUUUUUCCUGGCGAUAAAUCUUAGAAAAACUCACACGUACUAUAUGCGAACAGGGAAUAUAUUCCAUUCAGUGAACUAUUCAAUAUAUGAUAAAUUUUGUUUGCAACCACGUAAGAAAUCCUUCUUUAUUUCUUACGACAAGUCUUAGACAAUACUUAAUUGUCAUAUGCUGUAGUGGUCCGUGACAUCUAAAUUUUUGGAUUGCAUUAUGAAAGUUUUUACCGCACGUUUUUCGUACAAUAACAGAUGUAAUGUAAUUUUUUUAUCAAUAUCAAAAAAGUUUCUUGUCUUUAUCGGAUUGCAAUUUUUUGCACGUUUUUCUUCCAGUAUGAUAAGUAACUUUUUCUUCUCAUUGUUUGGAUAUUUGAAAUAAACAAGGGAAAGAAAAUGGAAGGUAAAAUACUUAAUUUUUUUUUUGUUUUUUGAGGGAGUGAUAAUGUUUUGCACUAGUUGAAUUUAUGUUAGUUUAGGAUUUAACUCCCUUAUUAAGAACAUUUUGACAAAUAAUUAAAAGCAUACUUAUAAAAUAAGAAGGUUUUCCUCCAAAACCCUCUUACAUUGGAGUAACUUAAUGAAAAGAAGGGUUUUGAAGGAUUAUAAAUAAUAAGGUUUUCCUUCAAAUCCCUAUAACAAAUAGAAGUUGAGGAGAGGCCACCCAGAUAUCUUGAUCAAAGUCAAGGUAGAAAUUGAAAAGUAGUGGAAUGCUGGCUUUCUAGAAGUAAUUAAAUAUCCAUAAUUGGUAUCCAACAUUGUUGUCGUGCUAAAAAAAGAGAGGAAGAUUAGAGUUUGUGGUGAUUUCAAGGACAAUCUAAUUAGACGAGCUAAGACAAAUCCAUUGAGAUAAACACUGAGCAUACAAUCAGUAGCCUUUUACUGCAAGUUAUGAGAUGCAUGUUUGGACGACUUGAAGUUUCCAUGAAGGUUAAUGAUGACAUAUACUUGAAGGAUAUGUUUCAAUUGGAGGCAAGUUCGUGGCUGAUUGACAAUCCAGGACGAGGUUGACACUAUAAAAACUUGAUGAGUGUUGUCAUGAUGCACACAACCAAUCAGAGAACAAUUCUUGAGAAAAUCCAAAAGAUGAAUGAUUUGUUAAGCUCCUUCAUAAUAAAUCAAACACCACCACACUUGGAGGUAUUGUCAAGCUUGAUAAACAGCGAGAACAAUAAUAGUCGCAGGCAACCCACGAUGGGCACUACACUUACAUUUGAGUGGAGGGUUAGCACGCAAAUGAGCCAGUGAAUCAGAAGAACAAAGAAGGCUUUGGAUAACAAACAAAGGCACCCUAUGACGAUAAAGCAUCAAAGAGUAGGUAAGGAUGCUUACAUGUCAUCCAACCUCAAAGCAUUGCAAAUAUUUUUGAAUUGUUAUAGAAAAAAUCCUUAAAAAUCCAGCAAGAUUGUAAUGAAUCCAAGUGGACAAAGAAAGAAUCGUUGAUUUGAUAAUAGCAAAAAAUCAUAGUUUUAACUCUGAAACGAGAAGAAGAUGAGAUAAACCCUAUGAUUAGAAAAAUUUCAAAGAAAUGAGAAGAUUAACCAUGUCAGUAGGAGGAAUCUUUAGGUCAACCUUGCAAUCAGGAAACACCAAAUUUUCAAACCCCUCAAUCGAAAAUUACCAAGUCAACUCUGCAAUCAGGAAACACCAAGUUCUCAACCCUGCCAUCAAGAAUCCUAAUUUUAAACCUUGCAAUGAAGAAGACAAUCAACAAGAAAAGUGAGAAGAACCUUACUAUUAGAAAAUUCUUAAAGAAAAAAAAAAGUUCAAACCCUAUCAUUAGGAAGAAUAAGAAAAGCCUUCCAUAAAAAUGGAUGAGAUAAACCCUACCAUUAGAAAUUUCUUAAAGAAAUGAAAAGAUCAACGCUGCAAUCAGGAGGAGUCUUUAGGUCAACCCUACAAUCAAGAAGCACCGAGUUUUCAAACCAUGUGAUUAACAAUGAUCAGGUCAACUUUACAAUCAAGAAGCACCAAGUUUUCAACCAUAUAAUCAAGGAAUCUAGUUAAAUUCCAUCAUCAUGAAGGAUAAAUAUCAACCCUGCAAUCAGAAAGGACAAAUGUCAAUCUUGUUGUUGUUACUCAUUUUUGCAAGAUCAAAAGGAAAAAAAUGCAGCAAGCAUGCAUGGCAAAUGACAGUAAGCAAGCAUAAUCCUUUUGUUCAAACCAGAAUAAAACUGAACAUCUAGCCAACCAUUAAACAGGUUUGUUUUUUGGAAAAGAAUCACACAACAAAUGCCAAGCUUAAAUAAUAGCAAGAAACGGAAGACUAGGAACUAUACCUGCUGAUGCUAUUAUUUCAGAUGCCGAAAAUGAGGUGUAGGCAAGUGAAAACCUUUGCUUUUCUGCCUCUGAAAUUAAAGGAAGCCUCCCUCUUUUGCCGUUAAGAGUUUUUGGAAAACCCGUAGGUGUGGUGAACUCUUUUUCAAAAAAUGCAGGAUAGACUGUAUCUGAUUUUUCCUCUCAAUCUCUUUGUUUUUCUCUCGUGCUCCCUCCUCUCCUUUUUUUUUUUUUUCUUUUUUCUGGUUUUUCACAGCUUGCUUAUAUAGCCAAGCAAACUGGGGAACAGCCCCCCACCCUCUCUCAUCCUAGCCGUCUGUAUUAGGGGUAAACGUUCAACCCUUAGAUGGCGUGAGGCUCCUCUCCAUGUCCUCAUUCGCAGCUGGCACGGAGGAGGCGCAAAAACAUUUCCCUUGGACUAGAGCUCCUGCAUUGCAGCUGCACAUUUGGCGUGCAAAGGGGUUGUCCUGUGCACCAGGUUGCAGGAUACAAGGACGAAAGAUUUCACAAAAACAGCAGCAGCAGGUUGCAGAGAAGGGAAAGGUUGCAGGCGUGGGUACAGUACCAUGCUUAUUAAUUCAAAAUGGGGCUGCAUGUUCUCAUACGGCACCGUAUAGCUAAAGAAGAGGAUUAAUGCAGCAAAGAAAAACGGGGUCGUUUGUUGUUAGCAAAUGGGCAUAAUCGUGACCUGUCAUUUAUUGGUCCCUUCCUUGUUUUUUCUAUUUUCUUAAAAACCCAGCCAAGUCUCUUCUAAUUUAUUUCGGCAACUAACUCCCUUAAUUCAGUUUUUUUUUUAUUUAGUCCUGCAAACUUGGGGGGCAGAAAAUGCUUCCUGCGGUAUAAAAGUUUUGCGGCAGAAUUUUGUGGCAGAAUUGUUUGCGGCAGAAUUUCGCUUCCUUAUUAGAUAUUCAACAUGAAUAUCUUGAGCUUUUGCCAUUGAAAUCAAGCGAUUCAAAAAAACCCAAAUUCAUCUACACAUGUAGAACUACAACUUUCAUGAAGGAUUCAAGGUGAUAUAAAAUCAUUUUAUAGAACAGAAUUGGGCCGCAAUCUGGUUGGUAAAAAAAAUGGUCUCCUGAUCUGAUUCGAAAACUGAUGAAUGCUGGGUAUCCCGAUAUGACUGAGAGUCUGCCAUAAAAAUAGCGAGCCACAUGACCCAGUAAAAGUGUAGGUCAAUUUUCAACAUGUUAUGAGUGACAAAAUAUAACUGGGAUGAUCAGAUAUUGCAUGGAACUAGAUCAGAAUCAAAGCCUAAGUUGGAACAAAAAAUUGCAACAACGGCAGAGCCAAUUUUUUAGUGCAGCUUCUAAGGGAUUUAUCCAACCUUAGAAACCAGAUAGAAAAGGAACAAAUAUAUAACUUGUAAUGAUAAAAAAAAAAUCAUCAAGUGAAGAACUUGAUCAAAUCUUAUUAUCAAGAAAAGAAGUGAGAAGAACCCUACCAUUAAGAAAUUCUCAAAAGAAAGAAGAAAGUUCAAACCUUACCAUCAGAAAAAACAAACUUCGAUUCUAGUUAAAGGGGAUCGCUAGAUGGGAUCUUGAGUUAACCCAACCACAAAGAGAUUUUGUCUUUGGUUAAAGGGAAUUGCUAGAUGGGAUUUCAGGUUAACCAAGCUACAUAUAGACUUUGGCUUUGGUUAAAAGGGAUUGCUACAUAGGAUCUCGGGUUAACCUAACCACAUACAUAUUUUAGUUUUGGUUAAAGAGAAUCACCAUAUGAAAUUUUAGGUUGAUCGAGCUACACAUACAUUUUAGUUCUAGUUAAAAGUGAUCGUCAGAUGCAAUCUUAGAUUGCUCGAGCCUCACAUAGAUUUUAGCUUUGGUUAAAGAGAAUCGCCAAAUGGAAUUUCAAGUUGACUAAACUACACACAGACUUUGGUUCUAGUUAAAGGGAAUCGCUAGAUGAGAUCUUAGGUUGACCGAACCACACAUAAAUUUUAGCUUUGGUUAAAGGGAAUUGCCAAAUGGAAGUUUAGGUUAACUGAGCUACACAUAGACUUUGAUUCUGUUUAAAAGAGAUCGCCAAAUGGGAUCUUAGGUUGACCAAGCCGCAAACAUAUUUUUUUAGGUUUUGGUUAAAAGGAAACACUAGAUGGGAUUUCAGGUUAACCCAACCAAGUAAAAAAUUUAGGGGAUCGUUAGAUUGGGAUCUUAGAAUAACCAAGUUGUAUAUAGUUUUGAUAAUUAGUUUCUAGUUGAAGGGGAUUGCUGCAAAGACAAAGUUUUAGAACAACCGAGUUAAAAGUUUUGAGAAGAUCAGUUUCGAAAGAGUAUUUUGUUUGUCUUACAAACUUUCUACGCAAAGCACUUAACCAAUCUUUUCUCCAUAAGUAUUGUAAAGAGAGGGCAUUUGUUGUUAUCCAUUUUCAGGUUCUACAUAAAAAAAAAGAUACAAAAGAAUCAAAAAAUUAUUAUCAGAAGAAAAAAACCAAGAAAAAAUAGUAGUGGGAAGAGGAUGUUAGAGCACCCAUAAAAUGGCUAAAAAACAGUUAAGAAAUUUUAAAAAUACAAAGAUUGAAAUUUGAUAGUAUAUGUUUUUACUAAUGAAGGCCCUAUAGACAAAAAAAUCAAUUUUAAGAAGAGUCCAAACUGAGAUAUUUAAGGACUCAAUUAUAUUUUUUUGAAAGGCUAAUUGAGUUUAUGAAGGGUUUGAUUGCAAGAAAUGUUGAUUUUUAAGUCAAUUUAGGCUUUAAUUGAAAGAAAUUAAAGUUUGGGGCAAUUAGGGACUCAAUUGCAUAAAAAUUGAAGUUUGAUAGGCAAUUAGGGACUUGAUUGAAGAAAAGGCGCUUAAAUAUAGAGCCUGGAAUUGAUUGAAUCAAGGGCUAAAUUGAAAAAAUUAGAAGUUGAUUAAUUGUGGGCCAAAAUGCACAAAUUCAAAACCAAGGAUCAAAGUGAAAAAGGCGGUCAACUUCAGGGUUGACAUUUGAAUUGAUUCUUAAAGUCCAAAUCUUAAUUGAGGGCUUGGUUUAACAAAUUGAAAAUUAAUGACUGAUUUUGAAACAAAAACUUUUUGGUGCCAUUUUCAAAAAUUAAUUGAGGGCAUGUUUUGUUCAAAACAACAUCGUUUCAUUCAAUGUUCACAUAAAAAAAAGAAGGAAAACGAUGUUGUUUUGAACGACAUUAGAUAUCUUUUAUUUCGCUUAAACGCGCUACAGGUAGGGGAAGAAGAAGAUUGUUCCCCUGAUUCUCCUGUAGCGCCUUUCUCCCUCUCUCUCACAAAUACCCAAAACCCGACAUAACCCACACCCAUGGCCUACCACCAAACUGAAAAAAUUGGGGGGAAAGGCCCUGCGAGUGGCCGCCCCGCCACCCUACCCAUUCAACAGGAUUAGACUGGGUAGGUUGGCUCUCGCCUUCUUUCUCUCUUAUAAAUACCAGAGGUUGAGACAAGAGAGGGGGGAGGAGAGAAGGACGAGCAGGAAAAAAAAAACAAAGAAAAAAGGGAUUGAAGAGAGCAAAAAAAAACAUAAAAGAAUAAAAUAAAAAGGGGGCGACGAGGAAAGAGACAAAUAGAAAAAUAGAAAAAAGAGAGGAAAGAGAUUGAAACAGAAAUGAAAAAGAAAGAAAGAAAACAAGGGAGAAUAAAGGAAGGGAAGAGAAGAAGAAAAACGAUAGAGAGGUCGAGGAUAGACUAAUAGGAAAGAAGAAAGGGAACAAAGGAGAAGAUAAAAAGCAAAAAAAAAAAAAGGAAGAAUCACCAACCAGCAAAGUAGCUCCCAGUAUACGGCCACCUUGUUAAGAAGAAUAACCAUAAGCGCUACCAUCAACACCUGCCAGGUUAACUUCCCCUUCCUUUCUUCCUCCUCUUUUUUUUCCUUCUUUGGCAUCGUAUCCAUUGUUUUGCUAGUGAAGAGUGGAAAGUGAAUUAUAAUUUACUCUUCAAUGUUCAUGGGCCAGACCAGGGCCGACCCAAACCAAAAUGUGUUAGGUCGGGUCUGUCCCAGUAUCCUUUGAAAUAGUUUAGUUGAGUCGACUUUGGCCCAACCCUUAUUUUUGGGCAAACUUCGGCCCAAUUUUUUUUUUUGGGCCUAACUCGAACCAAUUCCUUUUGGGCCGGUCUCAACCUAGCCAACAUAAUUAGGCCCAACCCAACCCUAUAUAUUAUUAUAAUAUAAUAAUGAUAUAUAAUGAAAUAUAUAUAUAUAUAUAUAACAAACAAAGUUUCAAAAAUCCUUUCAAAAACAUUUGUGAUUUUUUUGUUAUUUUUCUACCAAUUUUGAUUAAUAUUGGUUUGUAUUUUUAUAUUGUAAAGAUAUAAUUAUAGUAUUAAAAUACCUGGUUUUCUUCAAAAUAUUGCAAAAACAAUUAUAUAGAAAAAACAACAAAAAAUGCCUUGUUUUAAUGCAUACAACCAAGUCUCUUAAGCUUAUAAGAAAUUUUCAUAUCAUAUUUUUAUACAACAAAAAUGUUUUUUUAAAAAUAUAUAUUAGCAUAUAUUUUAAGUUUUAAUAAUCAGCUUAUUAAAGCCAUGAGAACUAGGCUAAUAUUUCAAAAAUACCAAAAAAAUUAUUUUGUUUUCUUUAAUAUAUAGGAUUACGAACUUGUACCUAAGAUGUCUUCCUAAUAUUAAAUAAGAGAUAGUUCUUUUUUUUUUUUGAUGAUAGAACAAUUAGGUUUUACCUUGAUAAUAUAAUGAUUUCUUUAUUGAGGAGUAUUUUUCUUAAACAUUAGACAGACCAACAAUUAUAAAACACACCAAUACAUUAGUUUAUAUUAGACAAUUAAACAAUGCAGCUUAAGAUAAGGCGUAUUAGGGGUGUUAAUACAUUUUCUUUACACAAACAGUAACCAUGCCCAAUCUUUGAGACCAGUUACGGUUUCUAAUAACUAAAAGCUAGGUGGCGACUCCAAUUUUCUCUUUCCUCUUAUAAAAGACAAGAAAUCAUUAUCUUUCUCUUUUCCCAAUUUUCAAAUACCAAAAGUGGAUGUUCGUCGUGACGUCGUACAUGUGCGACGCUAGAUGCGCUGGUGAUGUCUGGCUUGGGCUAGAAUAUUGUAUGUCUAAUAUUGAAACACUACGAAUUGCAUUUUAAUCUUGCAAAUAAACUCAAUUCUAGGUUAGGUGGGGAGUAACGGUUUGACUCAUGACUUUCAGUCGAUGUUCAGAUUCUUAAACACAUCCAACUAUAAGUUAAGAUCUUUCUUCGUGCCGAGUCGUGAGCUAAGUAUUUACUCGAUAGUAGUGGUCAUACUAUGCCCCAAUCAUUCCUUAUAGAAGGUGGGUUGAUAUUUUUUUCUAAAAUAGUCUUGCCCCAUCUACCUUUUUUUCCUAACUACCACUUUCCAUGCCACCUUGCAAAUAUUACUAGAUUUAAUAGUUUUAUCAUUAGUGUUUAUGUUUAUAUUUAUCAAUGUUCUAAUAGUAAAAUUUGUUUUAUGCUUUGGAUGAUGUAAUAACUCGAGGAACUCUCUUAGCCAUAAAAAAAUACCAUUAAGGCUAUGGUAUAGAUAUUAUCAAGAAUACCCUUUAAAGAACGGAAAUAUUUCAUUCAUACAAGUGAGUUUGAUACAUUUUCUAAUAAGGUCUUGUCCCCUCUAUCUUUUUUCCAACCUACCACCUACAAUGUCAUCUUGCAAAUAUUACUAGAUUUAAUAGUUUUAUUAUUGGUAUUUCUAUUUAUAUUUAUUGAUUUUCUAAUAACUUGAGCUACUCCCUUGGGCAUUAGAAAGAAUGUCAUUAAGGCUAUCUAUAGUUUAUCUAUAGUCAAGUUUAUCUAUAGUUUCUUUGUUUAAUUUUGAGCUUUUUUUCACCUUUUUAUACGACAAAAAACAAGCUCAAAAUAAUUGAACUUCCUCAUCAAGGGUGGAUUGAUUUCCAAAGCAAAGUACACUUAGAACUUCAUUUCGAAAUAGAGAUAGUUCUGGAUUGCAUUACAAAGCAUUGUACACUUGGAACUUUUAUUUCCAACUAGAGAUAGUUCUGUUGACCCGGAACUUUAAUUCCAAAUAGAAACAGUUCAGUGUAGAGAGUCACGGUCUUAGUACAUAGUUGGGAUUAGGGUGGAGAGAUGAGACUAGUUGUGAAAGGGCGUGGAGUACAAAUAGCCUCCAAAGGCUUAGCCUUUUGUACAGAGAUAAGAGCUUUUACUAUGCUCAUAUCUAUCAGUUCCUGUCCGACUCUUUCCCAUUCAAAGCACUGAAUAAGUGCAGCCAAUGCCAGCAUCACUCUGCGCAUGGCCAUGUGAUUUCCAGGGCAAGCCCUUCUCCCAAUACCGAAAGGGAUGAAUCCUUAUUUUUCCCCUUCAUUAUUAAGACCUUCAAAUCUCUCCGGCUUGAAGCUCUCAGGAUCUUCCCACAACUUGGGAUCCCUAUGUAUGGCCCAUGCAUUCACCAUCACAAUCGUGCCUCGUGGUAUCUCGUAUCCACCUAUCAUGCAGUCUUCAGAUGGAGCGUGAGGCAGCAAAAGUGGGGCUGGAGGAUACAAACGAAGGGUCUCAUUAACGACACAACGGAGAUAUCUUAGCUUGGGAAGAUCAGACUCUUGUACCAAGCGCUCAUGUCCGACUUCCCUGUCAAUCUCUGCUUUCACCCUCUCUAAUCUCUCUGGAUGGUUCAGCAGAAAUGUCAUUGCCCAUUCUGUAGUGAAAUCUACUGUAUCUACUCCCGCCAAAUAGAGUGUCUGUGGUAGAUGAAAAAUUCAUGCUCAGACAAAGACAAUUACUUAUAUUAAUAUUGCUUAAUUUUAACUAGGGAUAAAUCCAGACUUUGGAAAGUGGGGUGACCAAACCGUACAAUUUUUGUUUUUAAAAAAUUUAAGAGAUCUUUAGAAAACAAGUAAAACUUCGAAGGGCCAAUAAGUUCGGUAUUCUAAGUUGCUUACCGCCAUGGUACCCUUGACAACUUCAUCCGUAUACAAUUCAGGGUCUGAUUUUUGGAGGGCCAAUAGACUUCCAAUAACAGUUGUCUGAUCCUUCACUCCUUCAGCAGGAUUACUUGUAACUGAACUUGUUUCCUUUCGUUUCACCUCUUCUAUCAAUCCCUGCAAGAAUUCAUCCCUCUCUUUAAACACCUUUAUCACACUCUCCUCCUCCACCUUGUAGCCAACCCAUUUCAAAAUGGUCCCUGUAUUUGAAGGGAAUAUCUUUUGGACAUCCUUAAGACACUGCUUUCCUGAAUCGAUACAGGUAGCCUUCUCCUCUUCCACCCACUUCUUUCCAGCAAUCAUCUUCAUAAUUACAUUGAGAGAGGUGAUUGUGAAGAAAUAAUUCAAGUCCACCUUCUUGGCUCCAUCAUCAGAGACUUUGGACAGAAUCAGGCGGAGAAGGGUGCGAACUUCUUCAGUAAUGGCAGUAGACCUAUCGAGGCAGCUUCGAGAAAACAGUUCAGUGACCGAGAAACGUCUCAGAGUCCGCCAGAGAUGGCCAUACGGAGCAAAUAAAAAGGCAGCGUAGUUGUAGCUCCAAUAAUGGAAAAAUAUGCUCUGAGGCCUGUUGGCAAAAACUAUAUCAUUCUUGAGGAAACAUUCUUCAGCAGCUGAUGAAGAACAAACAGCAACAAUGUUCUUGCUGCCUAAUUUAAGAGUAAAAAUUGGACCGCAUUUAUUUGAAAGAAUUGCUAGCACUUUAUGCAUUGGUGGCUUCGUGAUUCGUGACAAGGUGGAGAUGGCCUAUGAUCGGAAAACCGAAAGGACUUGGUGGUAAGUUGCGGGAACGUUGGAAUACAAGUUUGAAUACAAGAAAGCUGGAGAGGAAGAAAGCAAGGCAGUAGUACAUGUAGUCCAUGGUGAAGUGCAAAUUAUUUGUAAGCAUUGUGGGUUGCUGUGGAUGGAGAACAAGGUUUAAAUAGAUAGAUAUGAGAUAAGGGAAGAGAUUUUUAUUUUUUAAAAGCAGUUACUUCGAUUACAAACAUAUCUAAAUAAUAUUUUUUAAAAUUUUAUUUUUAAUACAAAUAAAUAAAAUAAAAAUUGGAUUGUCUGCAAGGUUCUUACGUUGGAUAAUGACAACGUACGUAAGGAGUAACAACUGCAAGAUUCCAAGUCAAAGACUGGCAGGUGGUCUCAAUUGUGAAAUCAAAUGAGAAUUGAUCAAGAAAAUAAACUGGAUAAAAUGAAAAUUUGAGUUUAAUAAAUUAACGAAUUCAUAAUGGCGAAGAUGAUUGAAAGGUUAUUUCACGUGCAAAGAAUUAAAAAUAAAAAAAUUGAUCGGUAUAUUGUUUCAUCAUUGAAAAAGGAACAAAUGUGUAAUAAUUCGUUAAUUAAUAGGCCAUGAUUUAAUGCAAUAAUUUUUAAAUGAUUAAUUAAUGACAAUUAAUGCCGGAAUUGUAAUGACAAUUACAUUUGAUAAGGUAUACUAAGUUAAUAAAUUGUAAGAAACUUAUAGUGAAACAUUUAUGUAGAAAACAAGGAUUCUCCGAACACCAAAGCAAUAUAUAGUUAAAUAAGUAAUUACAAUAGAUUAGAAGAACAAAUUAAAUUCUAAUGAAAAAGUAAUCAAACUCCUUCUUUAGCCACUAGAGUUCAGAGUACUUCAAGCGAGGGGAAAAAUACCUUAAUUAAUUGAAAAAUAAAUCUUGAUAAUUAACUCGUGUUAGAAAAUAAAUUAUCAAAUAGACAUAGUUUAUGGUUGAUCAAAGUGAUAAUUAUAUGAGUUUAACAAUUAAGGACUGAUUAGUAUUAUAUCAUUUAGUGAUAGAUAUAUGAUUGCUUAAUGUCCCAUCCAUCCGACAAUUUAAAUUAUAAGAAACUGUUAAGCCACGAUAGAACCUAAGAGUCCACGUCAUUCUAAGAAUGCCAUAAACCAGAUCCCAAAUAUUUAGGAUGAGUUGGAUGUGAGUGAAUGCAUGCAUAACAGAAGAAGCCAUUAAAUAUGGGUCAUGGCUAUUAAGGAGAAAUGGCAGGAGAGGUUACGACGAGUUAUAACACCAUUUAUGGCCAUCAGUUAUAUUUUAAUUAAUUCCAAAUUAUUAGUGAUUUUAAAAUUUUCUUUGUAUUUUAGUUUUAUGAUUCCCUUUGUAUUUCAGUUUUAUCUGUACUUAACUUUGAUUAUUUAAGCAGCCAAAUCUUGAAUAAAAGAAAAUAUAUAUUUUUUAGUAAAAAAGCGUGGUACAGUUUUCACCCGACAAUUUAGUACAGAUAAAACUGAAACCAAUUGUUUAACAAUUAAGGACCGAUUAGUAUCAUAUCAUUUAGUGAUAAAUAUAUGAUUGCUUAAUGUCCUAUCCAUCCGGCAAUUUAAAUUAUAAGAAACCAGGUGCAAAAAAAAAUUGAAUCCUCGAUUUCUAGUAAUAACAAAUAACACAGGAUUUAGUUUUUAAAGAUCAUAAAUUCGAGUCUCACAAAUCUUAGAAUUACUGUAGGUUUAUAUGAUCGUUAACUUCAAAACUUAUGGAAUUAAUUGAGAUACACACAAGUUAACCUAGACACCCAUAUUAAUAUAAAAAAAUAAUAAUAAUAACCCCAACAAGCUUUGUUCCAUCUCUAAUAUCAACCACUCCAACCCAGCAGUCAAUAUAUCCAUCUGUCCAGCCUACAAAGUUUAUGUCAUGGGAAAAUAACCCCACUCAAUUCUAAAAAAACAUUUAUGUCCCACCCCGAAAACAAAAGCAAAAGAGAAAAUGAUCAAAGAUAAUUAUACGGAUUGCAAUGUUUAUUUGUAUAUUUAUUUAUCACCAUGAGUUUUAACUUUCUUGUUAGUUUAUCGAGGAGGGGCAAGAUUGGAGGAUUGAGCACCCAGGUGCAAAGACAGGAAAAUUAAGUGGCACUAUCAAAUUUGAUGUGAAAAUUAAGUUAACUUUGCUCUUUCUAUUUUUUAAUUGAUAUAUUUAUAGUCCCUUUGAUUUAUAAAAAAUCACCUUUAAUCCAAAAUUUCUUUUUCUUUUCUUUUGAGCCCAUCGGUUUUGAGAGAUGAAAGAGGUUGAAGAGAGAAAAAUUCGUUGUUGGCACUAAUAAAACUGCGAAUAGUCAUGCUUUACUUCUUCACAUUUCAUGAAUUCAUCGCACCAACAAGAGAAAAGAUACACUCCUACACCUUAAGUGUUGUUUCUAUUUAUUACGGUAUUCAAAAUCAUUUACAUUAUGGUUUCAACACCAACAUGAGCACUGUUCCAUCUAUAUCAACCACUCCAACCCAUAGUUAUAAAACCCGGACCGGCUCGGCGGGUUGACCUGGGGGCUGGACCGGUCCGGGUUUGUCAAAAACCGGCCGGUGCAAUGACCCGACCAAACCCGUUCGACCUGGCGGGUCAACCCGUGACCCGGGCAACCCGGGCGAGACCUUUUUUUUUUUAAAAUGUGGGAUUUAAAACCCAUUAGUAUAUAUACCCUAUGUUCCCAUGAAAAAAAGUUAUGUUUUUUCAAUGUGAGAUAAAAAACUUUUUGAUUUAAAUAUUUCAAUUUAAAAGGAUAACAUUAAUAUAUAUACUUUAUGUUCCCAAGAAAAAAGUUAUCUUUUUUUAAUGUGGAAUUUGAAACCUAUUAGUAUAUAUACUCUAUGUUCACAAGAAAAAAACUAUGUUUUUUCAAUGUGGGAUUUGAAACCCAUUAGUAUUGCGUGAAAACAUUAAAUUCAUGAUUGGAGAUGGAUCCUCCAUUCUCUUUUGGUCUAACGUGUGGAUAAGAUCAAAUGUUUUGGAUAGCAUUUUCCCUAGGCUUUACUAAAUUUCUACUAUUCAGAAUGGUUUGGUUAAUGAGAUGGGUCAAUGGGUGAAUGAUCAUUGGCGAUGGAAUUUAGUUUGGCGCAGGAACCUCUUAUCUUAUAAAGAACAACAAUAUCAUCAUUUGCUCUUAAUGCUGGAGCCAAUGAUAAUUCAGCAAGCAAAAAAUGACAAACUCAUAUGGCCAUGUAAUUCUAAUGGAAGCUUCUCAGUUAAGUCCUGUUGCACCCUAAUUGAUAAUACAUCAUCUGUGAAUGAUAGAGUUUUUGAAGCUAAUGUUUGGAUUAAAGGGGCCCCUCUAAAAGUUCAGGUGUUUCUCUGGUUGGCAGUCCAGGACAAAGUACAAGAGCUUUUCUCCAUCACCGAAAUGUUUUGCCUGCCAUACAAGCUUCAUGUGUCUUUUGCAGCUCAGAUUUGGAAACCUUAGAACACCUUUUUAUACACUAUAACUUUUCUAAGAGUGUUUGGAUGAAAGUUUUGGAUUGGUGAUGUAUCUAAUGUUAUUUACCUAGCACACUUGACUCGUUGCUUCUGCAGAGGCCCGAAAUGGUGCAAGGCAAAUUCCAAAGAUCAGUUUGGAGACUAAUUUCCAGUAGUAAUACUUGGGGUAUUUGGUUUAAACUUCGUUAUUUACAAUAUGUAUAGCCUAUAUUUAUAUGGAUUUUUUCUUAAUUUUUUCAUAUAAAAUAUUAAAACUUUAAUAUAAAAUAUAUAUUUUUAAUAUUAAAACUACAUUAACUUAUUUUUUAGAAAUUGUAUUAAUAUUUUAGUCUCUUUUCAAAUGAGAGAUAAUUUUGAGUCAAAUUUCUUGUCGAAUCAAAUUAUGUUAAAUAGAAAUCUCACAUGAUAAAGCUUUCAAGCUUAUAUGAAAAUCUUGAUUGAUACAACUGUUAAUUAGAGGAUUUGUAAAUCUAAAAAGCAUAUAAGAGAGAUUUUAUCAUUUUUAUAUCCAAAUUUUUAUUCUUGUAAUUUGAUUCAUCAUUUUUAAUGUAUUUUUAAUACAUAAAAUCUAUGUAUAGUGAUGCAGAACAGUCUGUCAAUGCCACAACACAGCUCAAGGAUGCAGAGGAUGCAUAAGAAGAGGUUGCCUUGAAUUGAAUUGCAAGACUACUACAAUUACUACCAUGCACGAAGUACCAGCAACACUUUCCUUAUUAAAUUCAUAUUCUUAGUUUUCCCUAUUUAAUUUAUAUUCUUAGAUUGGCCUUAAUGCCUCCUUUAUUUCUGCAUUGUCUAGGACGUGGACUAAGAGUCCUCUUUGAUAGGGGAUUUUCCUGUUGCCCCUUUUAGAUUUCCUAUUUAAUUACGUAAGUUGUAUUUGAGAAGGAUUAAGGAUGAUGGCAAGCUUAUAAAUACAAGCUGCCACCACCCUCCAGGGGACACUUUGAUUUUUGAAAUAAUAAUUCUUCUUCAGAAAUAACUUGUUACUCGUGGAUUCGGGUAUCGAUUAUCGUUCGUGGACUCGAACACAUUACAAUAAAAGACGUUGUUCUUUUAUACGUUUUCGCUACGUCAGUUGGUAUCAGAGCAGGUUAAUCGUUGUUCAGAUGUCAAACCUACUGAACGAACGAGAAGCCAUGGACGAAGGAAGUCGUGAAAACAAUGAAAUCACACAGGCAGAAUUUAGAGCUUUCCAGCACGAAACACAGCAAGCCUUGCAAGCCAUACAAGCAACUCUUGCUAGAUUAACCACUGGAAAUAAUCUGCAGCGUGAGGAUGAGAGGGUACGCGAGAAUCACCGAGAACGCAUUGCCCCUGCACGUGAACACAAUCCAAUUCUACGUAGGCAGCCAGCCUACGAAGAGGAAAUAAGUGACGAUGAAGAGUAUGUUGAACGCAUACUAAGACCCAAUCGACAGGGUUAUCACAACAUGGGAGAACGAGGGCCUCAACAGUUUCGAAUGAAGAUGGACCUCCCUACCUUUAAUGGCCAGCUGCAGAUUGAGGGAUUUCUUGACUGGUUGGCAGUGGUGGAGAGGUUCUUUGAUUACAUGGAGAUCCCUGAAGACAAGAAAGUUAAGCUGGUCGCUUACAGAUUAAUGGGAGGAGCCUCCGCUUGGUGGGAACAACUACAACUCACACGAAUGAGGUAGAGAAAAGGAAUGGUUCAGACGUGGUCGAAGAUGAGGCGAUUGCUACGAUACAGGUAUUUGCCACCAGAUUAUGAGCAGAUACUCUUUCAGCAGUACCAAGAUUGCAGACAAGGAGCCCGAACAAUUCAAGCAUAUGUUGAAGAAUUCCAUAGGCUGUCUUCUCGUAAUAAUUUACUAGAAACAGACGCACAACAGGUCGCCAGGUUUGUUGGGGGACUACGUCUAAAUAUUCAAGAUCGAGUCUCAAUGCACACCAUCUACUCCUUAACAGAAGCCAUUAAUUUGGCCACAAAAGCAGAAGCACAAUUGGAUAGGACAAGAUCAACAGGCAUACCAAGGAGCCCCAUUGAAUCAAUACAGACGACAGCACCCAAGGGAAGGUUUCCAUUGAAUCCUCCACCUCCCAUGUCCAACUUUGCGAGAGGACCAAGCAGCAGCAGAACACAAGUGACAGCCACAGGGGUCGUGCCUCCAGAAACACCAAGGAACCCCUAUUCCAGACCAGCUUCAGACAAAUGCUACAGGUGUGGUCAACAAGGACACCGCUCUAAUCAGUGUCCAAAACGAGGGGCAGUGCAUCUGAUUGAACCAGGAGAAGAAACAGACUUGUUGACAGGAGGAGCAGGAGAUGAGCCUGAGUACACCUACGAAGAGGAAGAAAUUACAAGGGGGGAUGAUGGAGAACUACUCUCACGUUCUCUUGUCGUUAGGAGGCUGCUACUAGCACCAAAACUGAAGGAGUCGUCCCAACGACAUAAUAUAUUCAGGACCCGGUGUACUGUGAACAGAAAAGUGUGUGAUGUUAUUAUUGACAGUGGCAGUAGCGAAAACAUCAUCUCCAGAACCAUGGUAAAGAAGCUAGACUUACAGACGGAGAAACAUCCCUCACCUUAUAAGAUCGGUUGGAUCAAAAGGGGUGCUGAAACCAGAAUAACAGAAACUUGCCGCAUUCAAUUCUCCAUUGGCCGGCAUUAUAUGGAUGAGAUUAUUUGUGAUGUUGUCGAAAUGGAUGCCUGUCACAUGAUCCUAGGCAGGCCAUGGCAGUAUGAUAUGGAUGUUACUUACAAAGGGAGAGAUAAUGUGUAUGUGUUUAUGAGAGGAGGCUAGAAGAUUCUAUUGGGUCCUCUAAAACAAGACUUCUCGACAGUAACACCCAAGGUGCAGGAAAGGUCUGUAUUACUAGUUGAUGGAAGGACAUUCUUGAGUGAAACUCAUGGGGCCAGUGAAGUUUUUGCCAUUGUAGUCGGUGGGGGAAUUGGAACUGACCCGCCCAUCGUCCCAAAAACACUAGCCUCUACUAACAGAAUUCCAAGACAUAAUACCAGCAGACUUGCCAGAGGGGUUACCUUCCAUAUCGACUUAAUUCCUGGAGCUAGCCUACCAAACCGACCACACUAUCGGAUGAGUCCGAAAAAAGGUCUUAUCCUACAGGAGCAAGUGGAAGAACUGAUCAAAAAGGGGCUGGUUCAGGAGAGUAUGAGCCCUUGUGCAGUACCGACCUUAUUAGUUCCAAAAAAAGAUGGUAGCUGGCGCAUGUGCAUCGACAGCCGAGCUAUCAACAAAAUCACCAUUAAAUAUCGAUUUCCCAUUCCUCGGCUAGAGGAUAUGCUAGACAUGCUAGCAGGUUCGAAAAUAUUUUCAAAAAUUGACUUAAGGAGUGGGUACCAUCAGAUUCGAAUCAGGCCCGGAGACGAAUGGAAAACCGCUUUCAAAACGAAAGAUGGUUUAUACGAAUGGUUAGUAAUGCCAUUUGGAUUAUCCAAUGCCCCAAGCACUUUCAUGCGAUUAAUGAAUCAGGUACUCAAACCAUUCACUGGCAGCUUCGUGGUAGUAUAUUUCGAUGACAUAUUGAUUUACAGCCGGAAUGAAUAUGAUCACCUUGAGCACUUACGGAAAGUACUCACAGUUUUGCAGCAGAACAAAUUAUAUGUUAAUCUGACGAAGUGCAAAUUUCUGACCAGCAGUUUAUUAUUUUUGGGAUUUAUUGUGAGUGCUGACGGGAUUAAAGUCGAUGAAGAAAAGAUUCGAGCUAUUCGGGAAUGGCCUACCCCGAAAAAUGUCAGCGAAGUUCGUAGCUUUCAUGGUUUAGCCACAUUUUACCGACGAUUCGUCAGGGAUUUUAGCCGAAUCGUCGCACCCAUUACUGAAUGCAUGAAGAGAGGGAAAUUCCUUUGGGGAACUGAAGCAGAAUACAGUUUUGCAUUAAUUAAGGAGAAAUUAUCUUCUGCCCCGGUCUUGGCACUGCCAGAUUUUGAGAAGUUAUUUGAGGUGGACUGUGAUGCUUCAAUCAUUGGCAUAGGGGUUGUCCUAUCCCAAGAAGGAAGACCCGUUGCAUUUUACAGCGAAAAACUUAGUGAGGCUAGACAGAAAUGGUCCACCUAUGAGCUUGAGUUGUACGCUGUAUUUCGAGCAUUGAAAGUGUGGGAACAUUAUUUAGUACAAAGGGAAUUCAUCCUCUUCAGCGAUCACCAAGCACUGAAGUUCAUCAACAGUCAAAAUAAUGUAAACAGAAUGCAUGCUCGAUGGGUUUCGUUCAUCCAACGAUUCACGUUCAACCUAAAGCAUAAAUCCGGCUAGCUGAACAAAGUGGCUGAUGCCCUCAGCCGUAAAGUAUCUCUACUCAUCACCAUGCGGGCUGAAGUUAUAGGCUUUGAAUGUCUUAAUGAAUUAUAUGCAGAUGACGAAGACUUCAAAACCACCUGGAGCAGGCACCGGCAGGGACUAUCUCUUAAAGGGAUGCAUGUCCACGAAGGAUACCUGUUUCGGGGCAACUAGUUAUGCAUUCCAAGGAGUUCAUUGAGGGAGCAGAUCAUACACGAACUUCAUGGAGGUGGUUUAGGGGGACACCUAGGCCGAGACAAAACCGUGGCUCUUGCAGAAGAACGCUACUACUGGCCACAACUGAAGCGCGAUAUUGGUAGCCAUGUCAGACGAUGCCCAACCUGUCAAGCCGCCAAGGGUCAAACACAAAACACAGGGUUAUACCUACCUUUGCCCAUACCAGCGGCACCUUGGGAAGACCUUUCUAUGGAUUUCAUCUUAGCACUCCCACGAACUCAGCGAGGCGCAGGUUCAGUCUUCGUAGUGGUGGAUAGGUAUUCCAAAAUGGCCCAUUUUAUUGCAUGUAAAAAGACUUCUGAUGCUGUGCAUAUUGCCAAUUUAUUCUUCAAAGAAGUGGUGCGUCUACACGGAGUCCCCAAUUCAAUCACCUCAGACCGUGACACAAAAUUCUUGAGCCACUUUUGGAGAACCUUGUGGCGGCGUUUUAAUACCACAUUGAACUUCAACAACACCAGCCACCCCCAAACCGAUGGGCAAACCUCAUCUGUUGCCUUUCUGGAGAGAAGCCUAAGCAAUGGGACUUGACGUUAGCUCAAGCUGAGUUCGCCUACAACAGUAUGCUCAACAGAUCAACAGGGAAAACACCAUUCCAGGUAGUAUACUGCAAGCCUCCAAGCCACGCCUUAGAUUUAGUGCCUUUACCAAGACUUCUAGGACUGAACAUUGCAGCAGAGCAUAUGGCUGAUCGGAUCAAAGCCAUUUAGGAUGAGGUACGUCAGAAUCUAGAAGCAUCGAAUGCCAAAUACAAAACAGCAGCAGACCGAAAACGACGACCUAAACUAUUUAAAGUCGGGGAUCUGGUGAUGGUCUAUCUACGAAAAGGGCGGUUUCCAGUGGGAACAUUUAACAAAUUAAGUGACAAGAAGUAUGGUCCCUGUUGUAACCCAUUUUUGGGUCCCCAUAAAUGAAAUAAAAUAAAUAGCCAAAGGAGGUUAGAAAAAUAACAGGAGGCAGAAGCGCUCAGCAAAUGGUCAGAAAAAUCGGUCAAGGAGGUUAAAAAUACAAAGAUGGAUUUUUUGACAAUAUUUUCUUGAAUGAUGAGAGCCCUAUUGAGAAGGAAAAUUUGAAUUUUGGGGAGAAAAGCCCAAAUUUGGAUGUUUAUGGACUUGAUUGGAUUUUUAUUUGAAUUUAUAGGAGUUUUGAUUGCAAGAAAAAUUGUUUUUUAAGUCAAUUUGGGCUUUAAUUGGAAGAAAUUUAAGUUCUGGGGCCAAAUUAUAAUUUUUAGGAUUUUAUUAAGUCAAAUCAGGGGCAUAAUUGCAUAAAUAUUGAAGUUUAAUGGCCAAUUAGGGACUUAAUUGAGAAAAUCCGAAACUAGGGACCAAUUUGGAAAAGGUGCCUUAAAUUACUGUUCACUUUCUUCCUCAAAAAGCUGCCUGAGUGGCUGCUUUCCAGGCGCGUUUUCCGGCUCGUGUGGCCUCCAAAUCCGACACAACAUACACCAACAUGUCCACAUGCAACCCCUUUAUCCCGGAGAAUGAUCAGGUCGGGUCGAAAAAGUCAUAAACGACUCCGGUGAGUCAUAAACAUGUCCACAUGUUUCAAAACCAGGUACGAAUGCAUGCAUUGCAUCUAAUCAUAAAUCAUUGCAUAUAUGUUAUUUGGAUCGUUACAGGAGGAAAUCUUAGCGCAUUCCAACAAGAUUAUAGACGAAGAAAGAAUCAUUGAGUUGAUUCUAGAACAACAAGAAGAGAAGAUAAUGGUUUUCAAACACUCACCUUCGAUCUUAUUGCAAUAAGAUGGCUGAGGUGAUUCAUGACGAUAAGUUACUGAUCUACUUUUUCCAAGACAGUCUAUCGGGGUCGGCGUUAAGUUGGUACAUGAGGCUGGAUAAUGCCAAAAUCAAGAAAUGGAAGGAUUUAGUUGAGGCUUUCCUUAAGCAAUACAAGUUCAAUUUGGAAAUUGCUCCAGAUCGAACGAGCCUUAUGUCAAUGGAAAAGAGAAGCCAAGAAUCAGUAAGGGCUUAUGCGCAAAGAUGGAGGGACGAGGCCAUGCAUGUGCAACCCCCUUUGAUAGAAACGGAGAUGGUGAAUUUGUUCGCCAAUACAUUCAAGGCACCCUACUAUGAGCAUUUAAUGGGUAGCUCAUCUCAACAUUUCUAUGAUGUUGUACGCAUAGCGGAAAGAAUCGAGCAAGGGAUUAAAGCUGGACGCAUAAUUGAGCCAUUGGAGACAAAGGGUUUUUUCGGAAGAAAAAUGAAAGGUCCCGUUAACAACUUCGAAGGUGGGUCCAAUGACAAGAUAACAGAUUCAUAUAACCCACAAAUACCUACCUCUCAUGUGGCCCACAUAAACUUUAACAAACCUUUUUCCCCUAAUCGAGCAAAUGGCCAGUCAAACACCCAAAACAACCAAAGACCAAACACAAGAUACAUUUCAGAACAACUACCGCCAUUACCCAUGCCUCUGAAGGACAUAUAUGGCAAACUACUGAGCAUUGGACAAAUAGCUCCUAUCCCUACAUUACCACUACAGCCACCAUUCCCCAUCUGGUAUAAGCCCGAGUUGACUUGCGAGUACCAUGCUGGUAUUCCCGGGCAUUGUCUUGAAACGUGCUACGGUUUCAAGAACAAGUUGUUGAAGCUCAUCAAGAUAGGAUGGGUGUCAUUUGAAGACACACCCAAUAUCAGUUCAAAUCCAUUGCCUGGUCAUGACAAAAGUGAUAGGGGAUAAAGGUUGGAAAACCUUGGUCAAGAAUCGUCAAUAAUGAAGAAGGCGAGAUCGAAGGAGAAGACAAGGAAACAAGUGGGGAAGGAAGAUGAAGCAUUGCCUCGGUUGACUUUCCACACACUAGAAGAAGUUUCAGAACGGGUUGACCCAAGAACUUCUCGUAGUUUUCAAAAUGUAAAACAACUUUAUUUGCCUUAGCAUGUUUUUGUCAUUGCUUUUAUUUUCUCUAGUGGGCAUCAGAGCUCAUGAUGUCAGCCAGAUUUGUGUUUGUCUUUGAGCUUACCUUUUCUUUAAAUAAAUGAUGAGUUUAUGCAUUUUUUAACAAGUUUGAGUGGUUACAAAUAAAGUAUCAUAAAAUGGUUUAAUAUGAAAUUUAAGAAAAGCUAACCCUAAAGUACAACCCUACUCUGAUAGCAUAGGCAUGGAUAAAUGUUUAAGUGGUCAUUUGUAAUUGUCUUUUAAAGAAUAGAGUUUAUCAACCAUAACAAUGUGCAUUUUAAAAAAAAAAAAAAUAUCAUUAUCUCACUCACUAAAAAAGUUUAUCACUGGCUGAAUGAAUUGCUUCUCUAUAUAAAAACCCAGACUAAUAUCGCACCCCUAUACUGGGGGCAAGACGAUGUUUUAUGAAAAGUUUUACGAUUUGAAAACCAAGCUAAAGCAUUUGACAAAAGCAUGACAAAGAGGCAAAUACAAGUCAUACAUUUUGAGAAAAGGACUACUUGAAGAAAGUCAAAGACUUUUCUCCAAGAAUAUGAUAGGCAACACGAGAGAUGAAUCCAGCAUACGACUUCAAAAGCAAGUUCAUGUUAAGAGGGAGUCCAUGAACUAGAAGAAGAGGAUGGGGCCUAUGUUUCAAAACCAGGUACGAAUGCAUGCAUUGCAUCUAAUCAUAAAUCAUUGCAUAUAUGUUUUUUUGGAUCGUUACAGGAGGAGAUCUUAGCGCAUUCCAACAAGAUUAUGGACGAAGAAAGAAUCAUUGAGUUGAUUCUAGAACAACAAGAAGAGAAGAUAAUGGUUUUCAAACCCUGCCAGCAGGAAGAACGACAUCGAUAGCAUUCGGUAAAAAGGAAUCGCCAGAUGGAUUCCAAGUUGUUGAGAUCGCCAGAAGGGAUCUCGUAUUUCGAUGGAGGUCGCCAGAAGGGACCUCAUAUUUCAGUUUUGAAUAAAAGGAAUCACCAAGAUGGGAUUCCAAGUUUUGAGAUCGCCAGAAGGGGUCUCGUUUUCGAUAUUCACAAUGAAGGUCGCCAGAAGGGACCUCAAAUUUCAGCUUUGGUAUAAAAGGAAUCGCCAGAUGGGAUUCCAAGUUGUUUGGCUAAAGGAGAUCGCCAGAAGGGAUCUCAUAUUUCGAUGAAGGUCGCCAGAAGGGACCUAAUAUUUCAGCUUUGAAUAAAAGGAAUCGCCAGAUGGGAUUCCAAGUUAUUUGAGAUCGCCAGAAGGGAUCUCGUACUUCGACAUUCAUCAAGGAAGGUCGCCAGAAGGGACCUUAUAUUGAAACCAUUUCUUAGAAAAGCAUGGAGUUUACUAAGAAUUAUUCCCCUUGGGUUAGUCACCCAUACAAUGAGACCAUCAUUUUUCUUGGGUAGGUCACCCAUACAAUGAGACCAUCAUUUUUCUGGGUAGGUCACCCAUACAAUGAGACCAUUAUUUUCUGGGUAGGUCACCCAUACAAUGAGACCAUCAUUUUUCCUGGGUAGGUCACCCAUACAAUGAGACCAUCAUUUUUCCUGGGUAGGUCACCCAUACAAUGAGACCAUCAUUUUUCUUGGGUAGGUCACCCAUACAAUGAGACCAUUAUUUUUCUGGGUAGGUCACCCAUACAAUGAGACCAUUAUCUUGGGUAGGUCACCCAUACAAUGAGACCAUUAUUUUUCUUGGGUAGGUCACCCAUACAAUGAGACCAUUAUUUUUCUGGGUAGGUCACCCAUACAAUGAGACCAUUCUUCAUCUUUUUUUACCUGGGUAGGUCACCCAUAAUAAUGAGACCACUCUUUCCCUUUUCCACCCGGGCAGGUCACCCAUCAUAAUGAGACCACACACGCAUUUUUGUAUUUGGUUAUGGGUAAAGGAAUCGCCAGAUGAGAUUCCAAGUUGAUUGAGAUCGCCAGAAGGAAUCUCGCAUUUUGAUAUUGGUCAAAGGAGGUCGCCAGAAGGGACUUCAUAUUUUAGCCUUGGUUAAGAAGAAUCGCCAGAUGGGAUUCCAAGUUUUUGGGGUUAAAGGAGAUCACUGGAUAAGGAUCUCGAGAUGACUAAGUUUUGAUCAUAGUUUUUGGGCUAAGGAGGAUUGUUGUAAAAGACAAAGUUUCAGAUCAAUUAAGCUUCGACCAGAUCAGUUUUGGGAGUUCCGUUUUGGAUUUAUCUUUAUAACACUUACUGCGCAAAACCCAUGCUCCGUAAGUAUUAUAAAGAGGGGGCAUCUGUUGUAACCCAUUUUUGGGUCCCCAUAAAUGAAAUAAAAUAAAUAGCCAAAGGAGGUUAGAAAAAUAACAGGAGGCAGAAGCGCUCAGCAAAUGGUCAGAAAAAUCGGUCAAGGAGAUUAAAAAUACAAAGAUGGAUUUUUUGACAAUAUUUUCUUGAAUGAUGAGAGCCCUAUUGAGAAGGAAAAUUUGAAUUUUGGGGAGAAAAGCCCAAAUUUGGAUGUUUAUGGACUUGAUUGGAUUUUUAUUUGAAUUUAUAGGAGUUUUGAUUGCAAGAAAAAUUGUUUUUUAAGUCAAUUUGGGCUUUAAUUGGAAGAAAUUUAAGUUCUGGGGCCAAAUUAUAAUUUUUAGGAAUUUAUUAAGUCAAAUCAGGGGCAUAAUUGCAUAAAUAUUGAAGUUUAAUGGCCAAUUAGGGACUUAAUUGAGAAAAUCCGAAACUAGGGACCAAUUUGGAAAAGGUGCCUUAAAUUACUGUUCACUUUCUUCCUCAAAAAGCUGCCUGAGUGGCUGCUUUCCAGGCGCGUUUUCCGGCUCGUGUGGCCUCCAAAUCCGACACAACAUACACCAACAUGUCCACAUGCAACCCCUUUAUCCUGGAGAAUGAUCAUGUCGGGUCGAAAAAGUCAUAAACGGCUCCGGUGAGUGGCUCAAAGUGGCCACCUCGGGCAGUUCACAGCCUGGAGCUGCCAAAUUUGGCAGCUCGAGGUGCACACUUUGAGCCAACGGUUGAGAUGCUUCCCAACUGAAUCAAGGGCUGAAAUUUUUCCCCAACGUACACAAGAUUGCCCUAUUUCACAGCCUAUAAAUAGAGUCGGAUUUUAUGAUCUGAGGGUUGGAAAAUUCAGGUCCAAAGUCAGCCAAAAACCAGCAUUUUCGCCCAAUUUCUGCAGAUUUUUCUUCUUCUUCUUUCUUCCUCUGCAACAGGAAACCGACGCCGUCUUCCUCCAACUCCACCGACUGAACCACCACAUCGCAGCAGCCACAACCUCUUCGGCCAAGUGAGCCCCUCUUCCUUUCCUCCUCCUUCCUUUUCCUUUCCUCCUCUUCUUCUUCUUCUUCCUCCUUUUCUUCUUCUUCUUCUUCCUUACCUACUGUUCACUGCAUGAACAGUAGGCGUGAAAUAUAAUUCACGUCCUACUGUUCACGCAGGACGUGAAUUAUAUAUAUAUGUGUGUGUGUGUGUGUGUGGGUGUGUGUGUAUUAUAAUUUUAUAGAAUAAAAAAAUAAAAAAAAAUCUUUGCAUAUUAUAUGUAUAAAAAUAAGAAACAAUAUUUUGAAAAAUAUUGUUUAUUUUCUGCAUAUUUUUGGUCAAAGUGGUUUAAUGUUGGUUUGUAUUUUUUAUACCGUAAAGAUACAAAACCAGUGUUAAAAAUACCCGGUUUUCAUCAAAAUAUCAAAUAUUUUCAGAAUAAAAAAUGUUUUUGCUUUCAAAAAAAUUUCUAAAAAGUCCCUAAAAAUGUUGUUGAUUUUUCUGCAUAUUUUUAUCAAAGUGGAUUAAUAUUGGGUUGUAUUUUUAUACCGUAAGGAUACAAGCUCAGUAUUAAAAUACCUGAUUUUCGUCAAAAGCAUAAAAAAUAAUAGUUUUCAAAAAAAAUUGUUUUUGUUUUAAAAUACGGCCUAGUCUCUCCAAUAUAUAUAUAUAAAUAUUAUAACAUCAUAUUUUCACACAACAAAGAAAAUUUUCAAAACAAUAUAUGUAUUAACAUGCAUUUUGGCUUUAAUAACCAGUUUAUUCAAGCCAUGAGAACUAGGCCAAUAUUUCAAAAAUUCAAAAAAUCUUUUUUGUUUUCUUUUAGUAUUUGGGAUUACGAAUUUAUACGUAAAACGUAUUCCUAAAUAUUAUUAAUGAAAUUUUGGUAUGGACGUUAGAACGGUUAGGAUUUUACCCGAUAAGAUAAAGUCUUUCUUACCGAGGAGGAUUUUUCUUGAACCAUAGACAGACCAACAACUAGGAAAACAUGAAAAUAUCUUAGAUUUUAUCAGACAAUAAAACAAUGCAGCUUACCUUAGGUAGGGCGUAUUUGGGGUGCUAAUACCUUCCCUUUACGCAACCAGUCCCCGUACCCAAUCUCUGAGACCAGUUAGGGUUCCUAGUGACUAAAAUACUAGGUGGCGACUCCCAUUCCAUUUUCUACCAAUAAAAGACAAUAUUUUUGUUGUAUCCCCAUAGAUAUAGAUAGAUUUACAUUGUAGAUUAAGAAAAUGGAAAAACGUGCGACAGUCCCUAUCAGAUUCUAUGGAAAAUUAAUGAAAAUGCAUAUCGGGUAGACCUCCCUGCAGAAAUGGCAAUCUCUCCUACAUUCAAUGUUGCUGACAUAUUCGAAUAUCAUCCACCCGACGAGUCACCCUCCAAUCUAACCCACUCGAGGACGAGUUCUUUUCAAGCAGAGGAAACUGAUGCAAAACAGCCUGUCAAUGCCACAACACAGCUCAAGGAUGCAGAGGAUGCAUAAGAAGAGGUUGCCUUGAAUUGAAUUGCAAGACUACUACAAUUACUACCAUGCACGAAGUACCAGCAGCACUUUCCUUAUUAAAUUCAUAUUCUUAGUUUUCCCUAUUUAAUUUAUAUUCUUAGAUUGGCCUUAAUGCCUCCUUUAUUUCUGCAUUGUCUAGGACGUGGACUAAGAGUCCUCUUUGAUAGGGGAUUCUCCUGUUGCCCCUUCUAGCUUUCCUAUUUAAUUACGUAAGUUGUAUUUGAGAAGGAUUAAGGGUGAUGGCAAGCUUAUAAAUACAAGCUGCCAUCACCCUCCAGGGGACACUUUUGAUUUUGAAAUAAUAAUUCUUUUUCAGGAAUAACUUGUUACUCGUGGAUUCGGGUAUCGAUUAUCGUUCGUGGACUCAAACACAUUACAAUAAAAGACGUUGCUCUUUUAUUACGUUUUCGCUACGUCAUAUAGUGUUAACUAGCUAGUGAAUACUAAUCUCUUCUUAAUCUAAACCGAUGACAGAAUCGUAUUCCUUCGACACAUUCAUUUUAUAUCGAAUAAUAUCAUAGUCAUUGUCAUAUGCGUUUAUGUUCAUCGCCAGCUCUUGUGUUUUCUUUUGUGAUCUGUCACUCUCACAUUAAUUAUAUAUGGACGACAUGCAUUUUAUGUCUCAUUCAUUUAAUGUUAUAGUCAAUGCCACGUGCUUCGAUGUACCUUGCCAGCACAGACAUAUAUUGGGAAACAAAUUUAACCUAUUUUUUAGAAAUUGUAUUAAUAUUUUAGUUUUUGUUAAUAAAGAUAGUUUUUUUUUUUACAUCUUAGUAUUAGCAUAUAUUUUAUAUAUUCAUAUAUAUAUAUAUAUAAAAUAUUUUCCUUAUGCAAAGUUAAGUCCAUUUAAACUUGGUACCUAGAAGUUUUUAAAAUAAGAAAAUAUGUUUAAAUAUCGAUUUUAAUAUUUAAUUUGCAUCUGUGUUCAUAUUUAUGUAGAUGACAUUUUUUUUCACCCACCUGACUAGUGGUAGGAAAACGUAAAUCUCAUCAGUACAUCGCCAGCUCAUAUGUCAUUCUCACAUUUAUAUAUUUAUCGUCAUUGUCAUUUGCAUUUAUGUUCAUGAUAUCUACGGAUAUACGUACUAGAAAAACUUGAUUAACUUAUUUUUUAAGAACUACAUAAAUAUUAUAUUCUUUUUUAAUUACAGAUAUUUUUUUUAGAUAUUAGUAUUGACAUAUAUUUUAUAUAUUCAUAUUUUAAAAAAAUAUUUUUCUUAUGGAAAGUUAAGUCUUUUUACACUAGUUACCUAGAAGUUUUUAAAAUAAGACAAUAUUUUUAAUAAUUACUAAUAAGCUCCUUUCAAUAUAUUUAAUUGUUUGUUAAAUUUAUGGGUAUUUUUUUCAAAUCAAAUAUUUCAAACAAUAGUUUAUGCUUUUAUAUAUAAUUGCAAGUAAAUGAACAAUUUUGUUUAUAAAAAAACCUUUGUAACUUCUUUUUUUAAAUUGAUGCAAUAUGUUUUUCCUAUUGGUAAUGACAAUAUAUAAAUAUAUAUGCAAUUGACUGUGUAAUUGAUACUGACACGACCAAAAGCUUGAUGUCUUUUCCCAAGUGCAGGAGUGUCGAAGUAAUAAAUAGCCCGGCAAGACCGGGGUCGAACCACAGAGAGGUUAAUUGUAUAAAUUAUAGACAACAAGACAACAACAACAACAACAACAACAACAACAACAAUAAUAACAAUAAUAAUUAUUAUUAUACUCAGUACGUGGCGUUGUUAUACCUCAGAAUGAUCUAAAGAUCGGGUCACAGGUUUCCAGCCUAUAUACUGAGUUUAUGAAAAGAUCAAAUAUAUAUAUUAUAUAAUAUAAACAGAAUGUAAAUAAUAAUAAUAAUAAUAAUAAUGAAAGAAGAAGAUGAAGAAAUUAAUGAGAACUUUGAGAUGAAAGAUUAACGUAAGGAUUAAACAAUGAUAAAAACAAAUGUCAAGGUUAGAGGAUCCACUAAUGGUACUUCAAACAAGUAUAAUAUAAACUCUUAUUACUCAAUUGGAAACCACACAUAAAGGAGGUUCCAAUCAGAUUAUAAAUUAUUAACAUGAUUACAUUAAUUAUCUUAUUCGAAUAAAGCUAAUACUUGUAAAUGUUGGCAGGCAUUCAUGAUUAUAACUUAUGUUAACAACAAAUCAAGUUCCUUUCAUAGCUCAGGUGUCGGUUAAACCAUACAGUAUGGGCUAUGAAAGUGCCAAGUAUUUGUUGUACCAAGUGUUAUACAACAUAAAUCUAGAUUAACCAUUUAACAAGCAAAGUAUUAAAGUGAACAAGAUAACAAAUAUAAAACAUGUUAGUAUCCAACGUUAAGGUCCAUGUUAAGUUUAUAUUAUACUUGUUCUUACACCAUUAGUGUACCCUUUUCACCUUGACAUAAUUAACUUAGCUGACAUAAUAAAAGAAAGAAACAUAAAUGAGCAAGACAAGAACAUAAAUGAGAAAGAAGUUAACUAGACAAAGGAAAGGAAAUGAAGUGCAUAAACUUGAUAUUAAUGAAAGCAAGACAUAAGCAAUACAAAGAGAGAAAGCAAGAGCAUGAUCUUGAUCUGAACACCAAGAUGCCUCAAUACAUGGUAAGUGCCUCCUUUUAUAGGCCAAAAUUUGGAACUAUUGAUUUGUUGACUAAUUGAUGAGUGGGUGGCCACAUCUUGACUAGAUAACAAUCCUUAUCUUCUUGUCUGAUCAAGACGUCAUUGCUAACAUCAUAAUUUGCCCAGAAUCCUCAAGAAUGUUCUAGGAAAUUGUCUCAGCUUUCCAACAAAAAAAAGAUGAGGUCAUUUGGACUUCUAGAACUCAAGAUAUGGGCUGAACACUAAAUAGUGUUUGGGCUGCAGGACAGCUUCGGACUUCUUCGUUGUUCCUUCAAUUUGGACUUCAAAACGACCUUUUCAAAUCUUGGGCUCCUCAUGAAAGUUGUAGGCCUUUGUCUUACCUUUCCAUCCAUAUAAAGUGGACCUAAAUCCGAAAUCUAGAGCUCCAGAUAUGAUCCAAUUACCGAGCACUGUUCCGGUUUAGACUGCACCGACAUCUCUUUUCUAAGUUUGGCCAUCUCUUUGUCCUUUAACUUUCAAUGCUUAAACUCAUCAAUCAAUCCUUUUAUUUAUGUGAUAGUCCUGCAUUUAAAAUGAGCAUUUACCAUAAAUUAAGGUAUUUUAUAAUAUCAAACUUGUUAUAUAAAACAUGAUUUAGUUAAGGAGUUAUUGAUACUUCAAGUGCAAAAUGAUGAUAUAAAACCUUGAUAAACAUGCACUUUUAAGUACUAAUCAGAUACAAUUUAAUAAACUUUAAUCCCAUUGUUAAUUUUGUAUUUAUACGAUGUUUUCAAGUUUAAUAUGUAAUAAGUUGCUGACUUUCUUUCAUCUACUUGACUAUCACGCUUUUUCUCUUCAAAGAAAAUGGGAUCCACUUGACUGGUGAUAGGAAAACGUGUUUUCCAGUCUGUCCUCUCUAUUUUUUUAGUUCCCCUGUUACCACCUGUGAGGGGGUAUUUGCAGUGGUAGAGAGAGUGGGAGCUACCUAUCUCUGUCCAGUCAUGUGGUUAGGGCAGCUUUUAUGCAGCUCCUCAUAGGGCCGUGAUUUUUAUUUUCCUUUAACAUUUAAUUACACUAAUAAUUUUAUUUUAUUUUGUUAAAUUGAGUAUCAAUUAAAUGCCCUGAUUUUUUCUUGACAUUUCAAAAGCCUUAUAUUUAGACAAUCAAAAUAAAUUAUCAAUUCAAAUUCAAGAAAAAAUCAAUUUAAAAAAAAUAAAAAAAUCAUCUAUUGACUGUGUAAAUCAAUUUAUGAUAUUAUCAAAUAAAAGCGACUGUAUACUUGUUUAAUCUUCAAUUUCAAUUCUAAAAUCUGUAAGUUUUUUAAAUCAAUAAAAUUUAAUUUAAUUUUAUCAAAAUAAGCAUUAAUUGAGUGACGAAAUAUUCCACCGACACCACAAGGUCCCCAUAUACAUUUAUAAAAAUAAAUUAUAAAGACCAAUCCUAAAAUAAUACAAUGUUAAAGGGUCAGCUAAAAAAAAAAUUGAGCAACCAAAAUGAAAAAAAAAACUUAGGGAUUUAAAAAAAAAGGAGCUUUUUAUUAUGCAAAUUCACAUUCAAAUCUCUCCCAUACCACAAUAAAUGAAUAAAUAAAUGAUAAAUCUUAGUGUUUUUUUUAAUAGUUAUUGUCAUAUGCAUUUAUGUUCAUAUUUUUACACUUAUAAUCAUUGUCUUAUCAUUGUCUUAUGUAUGCAUUUAUGUUCACAACAGCUGGAGAUAUGUUAGAAAAACUGCAUUAACUUAUUUUUUAGAAAUUGUAUUAAUAUUUUAGUCUCUUUUCAAAUUAGAGAUAAUUUCGUGUCAAAUUUCUUGUCGAAUCAAAUUAUGUUAAAUAGAAAUCUCACGUGAUAAAGCUUUCAAGCUUAUAUGAAAAUCUUGAUUGAUACAACUGUUAAUUAGAGGAUUUGUAAAUCUAAAAAAAAACAUAUAAGAGAUAUUUUACCAUUUUAUAUCCAAAUUUAUUCUUGUAAUUUGAUUCAUCAUUUUUAACGUAUUUUUAAUACACAAAAUUUAUGUAUAGUGUUAAUUAACUAGCUAGUGAAUGCUAAUAUCAUAGUCAUUGUCAUAUGCAUUUAUGUUCAUUGCCAGCUCUUGUGUUUUCUUUUGUGAACUGUCACUCUCACAUUAAUUAUAUAUUGACGACAUGCAUUUUAUGUCUCCUUCAUUUAACGUUAUAGUCAAUGCCACGUGGUUCAAUGUACUUUGCCAGCACAGACAUAUAUUGGGAAACAAAUUUAACCUAUUUUUUAGAAAUUGUAUUAAUAUUUUUAGUUUUUGUUAAUAAAAUAAUUUUUUUUACAUAUUAGUAUUAACAUUUAUUUUAUAUAUAUAAUAUCUUCCUUAUGCAAAGUUAAGUCUAAUACCUAGAAGUUUUUAAAAUAAGAAAAUAUGUUUAUAUAUCGAUUUUAAUAUUUAAUUUGCAUCGACAUUUUUUCAUCCACCUGACUAGUGGUAGGAAAAUGUAUCGACAUAUAUAUAUUUUUAAUUAGAGAUAUUUUUUAAGAACUAUAUGAUUAUUAAUUAUUUGUUAGUAAAUGCAAAAAACUUGAUUAACUUAUUUUUUAAGAACUACAUAAAUAUAUAUUUUUUUAAUUAGAGAUAUUUUUUUAGAUAUUAGUAUUGACAUAUAUUUUAUAUAUUCAUAUUUAAAAAAAAAUAUUUUUCUUAUGGAAAGUUAAGUCUUUUUACACUAGGUACCUAGAAGUUUUUAAAAUAAGACAAUAUUUUUAAUAAUUACUAAUAAGCUCCUUCCAAUAUAUUUAAUUGUUUGUUAAAUUUAUGGGUAUUUUUAUCAAAUCAAAUAUUUCAAACAAUAGUUUAUGCUUUUAUAUAUAAUUACAAGUAAAUGAACAAUUUUGUUUAUAAAAAAACUUUCGUAACUUUUUUUCUUAAAUUGAUGCAAUAUGUUUUUCCUAGGGCUUGUCUCCUCUGCCUCUUUUAUCAUGGUGGUAGGUAGGCCAUGAGAGGGUGUGGGUUAUGUCAGAGUUUUUGAACAAGUGGGAGGAAGAGAAGAAAGGGAGAGACGUUGCAAAGAAAGGGAAGAAAAACUUUCUUUUCCUGUCGGUGCGCGUACGGGGAAAUAAAAGAUACAGGGUGUCGUUUUCAACGACACCAUUUUAAACUCUAGUUUUAAUGAACAGUGCAUUAAGUAGUAUUAAUUUAUACAAAACCCGGUGUUUCAUUUAAAGAAAAAUGGUGCCAAAAAAUUUAUUUUAAAAUCAGUUUUUAAGUUUUUAUUUGUUUAAUCAAGUCAUCAAUUGAUUCUAAAAAAUCAAUUCAAUUGCAUCAUUGUCAAAUACAAACAUCAACCUUGAAAUUGGUCAUCUUAUUCACUUUGAUCCUUGAUUCUGAAUUUGUGUAUUUUAAUCCUUAAUUGAUCAAUAAACUUUAAAUUUUUUCAAUUUAGUCCUUGAUUCAGUCAAUUUCAACCCCUAUAUUUAUGCACAUUUUCCAGUUUGGUCAUUGAUUUUUGAAUUUCUUUAAUCAAGUCUUUAAUUGGCCUUCAACUUCAAUAUUUAUGCAAUUAAGCCCCUUAUUUGACCAAAUUAAUUCUUGAAAAUUGUGAUUCAAUCCCCAAACUUUAAUUCCUUCCAGAUAAAGCCUAAAUUGACUUAAAACAUUAUUCAUCUUGCAAUCAAACCCUUCAUAAACUCAAUUAAUCUUUGAACAAAAUCUAAUUGAGUCUAUAAACAUUCAAUUUUGUAUUUUUUUUUUAUCAAAUUAAAUUUUCUUUGUCAAGAAAGCUCUAAUCAAUAAAAAAUAUACUGUUAAAUUUUAAUCUUUAUAUUUUUAAAUUUUCUUAAACAAUUUUUAAUUAUUUUUUGGGCAUUCUUGUGCUUUCAAACUUUAAUAUUUAUGUAAUUAAGUUUUUGGUUUGCUGAUUGAAAUGUUAAUGAUUGGUUUAAGUGUGUUCAAUUUGGAUAAUUAAACAGGUAAAUUUUAAAUUGAUAUAAUUGAAAAUGAAAUGGAUGAUCCAUGUUGGUGGGACCAAGAUUAGGUGUAAUAAAAAGAGAGAGGAAAUUAAUAAAUAAUGGUUUGAAAGGAAAGACAAACUUAUGUAGUUGGCUUUUUAUAAAGUAUAAUGUUGGUGGGCCUGAUGUUGGAAAAAACAGUAGGUUUUUUCUUUUAAUUAGUUUGCUAUUUGACUAAAUCUUAUUAAUAUUUCCCUUUAAUUACUAUAAAAAAAUAGUGUUGGAAAAGAAAUAACAGAAAGAAGAAAAUAAAUAAUCAUGUUCUAAAUAACUUGUGUCACUAUAAUCAUAUUAAAUAAUAAAAAACCAUGUUCUUUAUUCAUUGCCUAAAUAUAAUUUAUUAACUUCUAUUUUUCUUUCUUAUUUAUUAAUAUAAUUAAUAUUAAUAGAAAUUAGGUUGAUGACCCAAAUCCAUCGAUUCCUUCACCUGAAAAAGGAUCAGCUAGGGAUGGAUUUUUUAUUAUUAUUGUAUAUUCUAGUAUUUGUGUUUUUUCCGAUAUAUUGUAUUUGUUUUUGCUAAGUCCUGGUUAUUGUUUUUGCCUUUUCGAGGCUUUAACUCGGAAUUUGAAAAAUAUUAAAGUUACACCAUUUACAAUCUAGACUCUAGAGUUUUAAGUUUUUCCUUUAAUUUUACAGUCUACUGAUAACCUCUCGAUCCAACAUAUAACUCAACUUAAUUUGAGCUCCCUCUUUACCUAUCGAUCUCUUUCACUAUAACACAUUUUCUCCUUCUCUACUUGUCUUCUUCUGACUCGUUAACUAUAGAUUUUUUCCAGGCGAGUAAUUAUUUUGUCAGAAUUGUGUCGUCUGCUGCGCGUGGAGUGCUAAUUAUUUAAAUGUCACGGUUCUCAAUAAUAACAAUAACAUGUAAAAGUGUAUUAUUUCAUCAAAUUGUUUUACUGUAGUACUAAUUUGUUAUUUAUUUUAAUUAUGUGUAUUAAUUUCACAAUUUGUUGGUCAAAGCAAUUUAAAAAACAACAAGUCAACAAACGUAUAUCAUAUAGUCGGUGAUUUGGUUUUAUUAUUGUUGACAUUAAAAUAUUAAUGGUAUUAUUCAUUUAUUGCUAUUAAUAUUGUUAUUAUGGUUAUAAUAACAAUAUUAUUAUUAUUGAUAAAUAUAAAUAUAGCACAGCAUGGCAUGCAGCAUACAUCCAUUUAUGCCCAUCAAGCCAGGGACUACAAAAGCAUGACUAUACAGCGAUGAGAGCAGGAGUGAGCAACAUAUGUAGCACAGCAUGGCAUGCAGCAUCAACCAGAACACAUGGCUUAAGUCAGCCAUCAGAAACCACUAAAUCCAGCAGCAGGGACGACCAACCAGAGAUCAAUAUCAGCCAAGACUGGUAAGGAAAUGGUUCUGUUCAUGGAAAUGCAACACCAUGUAAAACACAACUUGGAAUUUGCGAAAUAGAACAUCAGCUAAAGUGCAAUUGUCUUCAAAAAUUCUUUUGUUUCUCAAAAGAAUUAACAACAAAGAAAUAAAAGAACAAACAAAUAAAUACAAAUUUGCUUACUUGGAACACUAGCAUAAACAGUCAGGUGGAAAUUCGUCAAUUUCCUUUCUUCGUUUUUUUGUUCUUUUUUUCCUUUUUUUUCCCUUCACUAUUUUUCUUUUCUCUUUCCUUUUUUUCCUGAUUUUCUUUUUAUCUUUUUAUAAUUUUUUAUAUAUAAUUUCAAUUUUUUUAAUUUCAAAACAAAAUAAAAAGGUUGGUGGCUGUUAGAGAAUAAUAUAAAUUAUAUCUUGAGGCCUCACUUAAGAGUUUAAGCUAUUGGGUUGAGAUGGUUCUUUGACAUGAUAUCAAAGUCUUGAUGAUCAAGCGGUUACGAGUUCGAAUCUCACCAUCUCCAUUUAUUUGAUAAAAAAAAUUAAACAUAAGGUAAUGUAAACUUGUGCAAGUUUCAAGCUUAAAGAGCUUUUACUUGAGGGGGUGUGUUUCAGAAUAAUAUAAAUCAUAUCCUUGAACCUCACCUAAUAGCUUAAGCUAUUGGGUUGAGAUGAUUCUUUAACAUGGUAUCAAAGCCUUAAUGACCAAGCGGUCACGAGUUUGAAUCUCACCAUCCCUAUUUAUUUGAUAAAAAUUAAGCAUAAGGUAACGUGGGUUUGUGCAAGUUUAAAGCCUAAAGGGCUUUCACUUGAGGGGUUAUGUUAGAGAAUAAUAUAAAUUAUAUCUUGAGGCCUCUCUUAAGAGUUUAAGUUAUUGGGUUGAGAUGGUUCUUUAAUAGUGGCACUUUUGUAAACAAACAAAAUAAAGUGGAUGGGUACAGCUAGUUGCGAGUCGAGGAGUGGACCCUUGGGUUAGGCUAUUUUUGCACGUCACCUGCGUGACGUCGUUUGGCGAUUUUCUGUUGUCUUGAUUGAUUGGUUAUUUGAGAGUCGUCACCUAAUAUUUGAUUAAGGGUUACUAGGAAACCCAAAUGUACUGGUCAUUGUCAGAGAUUCGAGGGUAAGGGACUAGUUGUGGCUAGGAAAGGUAUUAGCACCCUAGCGCACCCUACUUGAGGUAAGCUGCUUCGUGAUUUGGUGUGAUUUGAACAUAUUAGCCAAAUUCUAAGGCUUUAAUAAAUCAGUUAUUAAAUCCCAGAAUAUAUGUAGAAACAUGUUUUUACAUUUUCUUGGAAAAUACAACGUGAUUUUAUUUUUCCUUGAGAUAUUUAACCAUAUUCAAAUUAUACACUUAAUUCAUUUUUUCUUUUUAUAAUUCAAUAACUUACAUAAAAAAAAUACAAACACACACACAUUUCUUUUUAUUAUGUUUUUCUCAUUCACCCACAUUUACAUAUUACAAAAUAACAAAAAUUCAAAAUAAAUCAAAUAAAAGUAAUCUAAAAACACCUAUCAACAUUUGAAAAUUACAAAAGAAAGCCUCGGGAACAGUGCUUGAAGGUUUCUGGGCAUGGAACAGUGGCGGCGCGUCUUCUCCACACGCCACCGCAACUGCCGUCGCGUAGGUUCACAGGCCGUCGCGAAAUCUAGAGAGUGAGGGGGGGAUCUUCACCUUCUUGUUGGCUAUGAGCAACGCCGUUACUUGCAAAACACCAAAAAACACAAGAAGCAUGUCAUAACCAAUUCUGGGUUAUUCCCAAAAAAUCAUUUCUUUUUCAAAAUAAAAAUCAAAAGAUAAAAUAAAGGCUGGCAACGUGGAGAAAGCAGGCCUGGAAAUCAAGCUGCAAUUUUUGGAGAAAAUUCAAGGCCUAAUUGUACCGCAUUAUGCCAAAAAAAAAUGGAGAAAAAAUGCAAAUACAAGGUCAAAUUAAAUGAUUAUUGAAUGAAUUUUUAUAAAAAUUAAGUCCAAUGACAUAAUUAAAUUUUUAAUAGGCCAAUUUGAUUUAUCAUGGGCCAAAUUGAAUUUUAAUUAUAUUUAAGAAUUAAUUUAGGUCCAAAUUGAAGGAUUUAAUUAAGUGCAAGGACUUAAUUAUACUUUAAAUGGGUCAAAUUAAUUUUAUUUGGGGCUUAAUUGGUGAAAAAUUAAGUUUGGGAGCCUAAUUUGGGCUUAAUUGAGAAGAUUGAGAUUUUAAGAGACUAAAUUUAAUUUUUUCCAAAUUAAUUGAUUGAAAUUAGAGGCAAAAUUGCAAGAAAACUGAAGUUUUUGGGUCAUUUAGGGGUUAAAUUGACAAACUUCGCAGCCAAAGCCCAAUCUGCAAAAGGCGCCAAACUUUAGGGGUGAAAUUGACAAAAACCAGGGGUGAAAUUGAAAGUUUAAUGGUCAAUUAGGGGUUAAAUUAACAAAUUCUGAGACCAAGGACCAUAUAUUGUAAAAGGCGUGUAACUUCAGGGUUCCAAUUGAAGUUCAGAGGGGGCUUAAUUGCAUUAAAUCAAAAGUUCAGGGUCAAUUAGGGAUUCAAUUGAAAGCAAUUGAAAGAAAGAGGACUCAAUUGAAAUUCAAUAAAAAUCCCUCAUUUAGUCUAAAACGGCAUCGUUUUACUUAUAUAAAAAAAGAGAGGACCAGACAAUGCGUCGUCUGGUCACUGUUCAUUGUCUUUCCCAUUUUACCUGAAAGAAACAGCGUGGGAGUCUACUUUGCACGUGCAUUUAAUGCUUCAUUUCUUCAUCAAAUCAAACAAAACUUGAAGACCCCACAGACACCUUUCUUCUCCACCAACAUAAGGUGGCGCAACCUCCCUGCAAACCGAAAUCCACACCAGUGGAAGAACAACCACCGCGACCGUCGAUCCCUCUCCACUUGCAGAUUUGCUUCUUCUUUCAUCUCGCUCUAGCCAACUCAGGCAGCCAACUCCACCGCCGGUAUAACCACUGCACAACGUCUUCUAUUGUCAGAUCACCACUGCGCCCGGUAGCCUUCUCCUCUACUCGUUUGCAACUUCUACAACCAUUUGGUUGCAUGCAGAACAUGAAUAGUAGCUGUUCACGUUUCUGCAAAUAAUUAGCAUUGAAUUUGGGCCAUGCUAGUUACAGUCCAGCCCAAUUAGUUGGUCUAGCUCGGCCCCAAAAAAGAGAACAAAAUAUGUUGGGCCGUGAUCAACCCAAUCAUUUUGGGCCAAGAUCAGCCCAACCAUUUUCUGGUUUUAUGCCUGGCCUAGUUAUCUGGCCCAGCCUGGCCCACCUGUUUUAAUAAUAUUUAAUUAAUAUAUAAUAUUAUAUUAUAUAUUUCCUUUUUCUAUAAAAAAAAAUUCAAAAAAAUUCAAAAAUCCUUUGAAAAAAAAUUGUGAUUUUCUCAAAUACAAAUUUGGUAUUAAAAUACCUGUUUUUCUCCAAAAUAUUUCAAAAAAAAAAUUUAAAACAUUCUAAAAAAGAAAAAAUAUUUCAUUGUAUACGGCCAAAUCCUAAAAAUUUUCCAAUCAUAUUUUUCAUAAAAAAGAACAAAAAUUGCAUUUUUUUAUGUUUAAAAAAUAAAAAAUGGAUAUCGUAACCAGUUUAUGAUUAUCCAUUAGGGUUUGACCAAAAUAUCAAAAAUAUUUUUCUAAUUUUUUUUAGGGUUUAGAUGUAGACUUUUUCUAACCUUUUUUAGGGUCUAGAUGUAGACUUUAAUAUUUGAGGGGUGUAAAAUUACAUGAUAAAGCAUACCCUCAUGUAUUAAAGAUACAAGGUGUAAAUAAAUACGAUGCUAAAAUUUAGACUUUAGAAUGGUUAGGAUUUAAUCCGAUAAGGCAAAAACUCUCUCAUGAAGAGAUAUUUGCCUUGAACCUUAGAAAAGACCAACCCGACUUAGAAAAAAAACAAUCAAACAACAAAGCAGCUUACCUUAGGUAGGGUGCACUAGGGGUGAUGCGUCUUCCUCUUGCACAACCAGUCCCUUACUCAGACUCUCGCAGACCAUAGGUUCCUAGUGACCAUAAUACUAGGUGACAACUCCUAAACAUUAAUCAUAAUUUUAUGAUUAAAUAAAAAAAUCCUUCCCAACACACAACACCCCUCACACAGGAGGCACGAUAAAGAGCUUCUGCCGUCGCCAGACGACAUCGCACCCCCACGACAAAGCAAGUCUGUUUUAGUUUUGUUUUCAGAUCGGCUUCUCUUCCCCCUUUUCGAAUCUGCUUCUCUCUCUCUUUCUCUUUCUCUUCCUCUUCCUUCAAAUCUGCCAAAUCUGGAGCCGGGCGUUACACGCGCCUCUGACAGACCAGGUGUGUGGAUGGCUGCAUCGGCAACUUCCCUCCUCCUCUUCCUUCAUAUCUACACCGGCGGUGUCGUCCACUACUGCCAUGGUUGGGAGACUGGCACCCUUAAAGUCUCGGUUUUCUACCCCCUUCUACUGUCAUUCAGCCUCCCUUUUUAUUUCUUCAUCUUCUUCACAAUGAGCUGCUAUUAGCAGCGAAGAGGAAGGGAGGGUGAGGGGACUGCUGUUGGGAGAAGUGGGGAGAAGCUGCCGCUGUUGGAGGUUGAUGUGGGUGUGGCCUUGGCUGUUUUUUGGAGUUGGAGGCAAACCAGAGAAGGGAAGGGGUUUUGGCUUGUUGGGAAGAUGUGGCCAGGGAGCUGGCGGCUGGAGGAGGAGAGCUUUCUCUCUUUCUAGCUUGGGUCAAAAGGAAAGGGAAAUGAGGGAGGCCGAGAGAGGAGCUGUGAGGGGCUGUCUUGGUUAUGGGGAAGCAGUGAAAACCAGCUGUUGGGAGUAGGGGUCGUUUAUUGGUUUGUUCUAGGUAGAGGUAGGGGUCUUUUAUUGGUUUGUUCUAGGUAGAGGUAGGGGAACGUGAGAGGCUGUCGUGGAUGGAGAUCUGCAAAGAGGGUCGAAGGAAAAAUGGGGGGUCCCUCGUUUCAACCCUCUAGUGCUUUAAAACAAAAGGGUGGCGGCCCUCCUAGAGAAGAUGAAACAUUGGGUAUUUAGGGUUUUUUUUUGGGCUCCCUAUGGCUUUUCCCCUCUCAUAUAAAUUUUUCUCACUGUGAGUAAAUUUUUUUUUCCUCCCUGUUUUUCACUAUAAUAUGGUAUUUAUAGGAGAAGUGUGGCUUGGCCAAAAUCACAUUGGUUCCUCAUCUCUUUAUUUUUUUGUUAAUUUUGAUUUUCUCUUAUUUUUUGUAUUUUUAAGAGCGGGCAAUUUCAACAUCGACUCAAUAAGAAAAAUUAGUGAUCAUAAAAUUUACGCGUUAAAGGUUGAACGUGUUCAAAAUACCUUUGAAAAUUUAAAUUUUUUUGAGAUGUUGAAAAUGCUAAAAAUGAUGCAAAUAUAUCAAAAAUAUAUUUUUUGGGUUUUUUAUUGUUUUUUUUUUUUUUUCCCAUUUGUUUUCCUAAAAAUUUAUCAAAAAUAUGAGUAAAAAAUUGGGUAGCAACAGACGUGAGUCGAGCCCAAUGGAGCUUUUUGUGGAGACUCAUGUAUGGAGUGAAGACAACCAAAAGAGGUUACAAUAGUUCAUCGACAACCACGCUCAACACUUUGUGGUAUUUUUUUCAACUAUUUUCUUUUGUAAGUUGUUAUUUUCUUAAAUUGAAUUUGAUGCUUUUAGUUUUUAUUUCCAGGAGCAUAUAAUAGCUAGCAGAGAUACGGUGAUGAUCUUUCAACCCACCUAAAUUUUGAUUAGGAUUUAUGAAUGGAGGCAGGAUCGUUUGGUGGACCUAAUAGAAAUUGAGUGUACGGACUCUCCUACACUACGAUCGAGAACUUGUGAACGACCCAUGGUGUCUCCACUGUUGGGAGCUUACAAUUGGUAUCAAGCACCUAGUCUCAGGAGUUCGUGGCCUUGCAGCAAUAUACGACCCAUCUCACCAAAAAAAAAAAGAGCAACUCUAGACAGAUUAUGAACAACUCCACCAAAUGAUCAUGGACAUGAUAUCAUAGAUGGGUGGUAUGUGUGAACACCCUUUUUGGCUGUAUGGUCCUGAGAACGACCAGCCUCCUCCAACACCAUCAUUUUUAUAGUUUAAUUUUAUUUGAACAUAUAAAUUUGUAAUGAAUAUUUGGAUUUUAUAUAAUUUAAUUUUUUUAUAUAAUUUUUUUAACUAUUUUAUUUUUUUGUUCAAAAGAUCUUUUUAUAAAAAUAAUUUUUUUAAUCCAAUAGAUUAAUCUGUAGGUAUAUUUCAAAGAGUUUGAAACAAUUCACUUUUACCACAUCAAAAAUUUCCUUUUAGUUUGACUUGAUUUUUAAAAUCAUACUACAAAUUUAUUUUGUUUGUAAUAGUUAAUUAUAAUUAGAAUUAUCUUUUGGAAGUUCCUACAACAUAUGAAGUGCAAACUCAAUUUGAGUACAAUACAACAUUACAAUAUUAUUAGUUCAGAAUUACACAAACCCAAAUUUUAACAAUAAUAAUCCAAUUCAUCAUUACGUAGGAAUAAUAAAGCUAAACAAGAUAAAAUCCUAGAAUGCCGAUUUUACGGAAGCUAUAGUCUGUAUGAAAGUGAGGAUCAGCAGGAUAGCUGCUGCAACAGUUGCCGUACCUCUCCAAAUAUUGGGGAAAUAUAUAAGUUUCAAGGAUGCCUUCGUAUGGUUAAAGCGGUUCUCAUAGUGGCGAUUUUUAUUUCUAGAGAUAUAACCAAAACAAGUACAAUUGUCACCAAUAUUUUUGCAAAAAUGGUUCAUCAUAUUUGAAACUGCGGCAUCGUCGCCUAGCCCGUUGAGAAUGAUUCCCUUUCGGACUAGCAAACCCACGUCUUCUGCACUGUCGAUAAGAUUGUCCAUAAACUUAAUGUAACUGCAUACGUAAGCUUGAGACGGGUAGCAGCACUGCUCCAAGGCCAUGAUAUGUCGUACAAGACGUUCGAAGCAGUAACGGAUAUCCAAGAGUGGUAUUUUCAACACUCCUUUAUCAAAUUUUAUGUUGACCAAACAUUUGUCUUCUUUGAUGACCUGAAACUUCACUCCCGCCUUGCGAAGCAUGACGGCACUAUAUUUCAGCUUCAUAGGAUUCAACGUAUAACGUUUCUUAUCGGCUCCCUCCAACAAGAAAUUCCUUAGUAAAUCAGUGAAAUGCCUGCUUUCCACUGCAGUCGGGUUCCUGUUUUUUAACCCUUGUGAAGACGUGUAACGUGCAAAAUAAGCGGUAGCAAGAUUAAGAAAAGGAAUGCUUGGUGACUCUUGGCUAAGGAGAUUGACCUGGUCAUAUAUUUCCUGAAUAAUGAAGAAAGGUAGUUGGUUUUCGAGUAGUAUCAAGUCUUCUUCUAUGUCAAAUAUCAUCCAGGGCUCAAACUUGUUAGAAAGUGUCCGAUCAUUCGAAUCCUUCAUAAACUCAAUGACGAAGACAGCAUCCAGCAGUAUCAUCUGUAUGAAAUCAGAGCUCCUAAUUCUGGUUAAGUUCUCUGAAUAAGAGACUCGGAUAGCCAUUUCUUUCUUCUGAAUGCUGCACACAAGAUCACUAAUUUUCUCCUUAUCCAUCUUAUGCCGUUUAGUAAACUCUGUGAAAUACCUCACUUUCUGCUUUUCCAUGGCCUCUAGUCUUUUAUUGCUGCGGUGAAGAGGACCUAUUGAAAUCAGUCGUGGAGUGUAGAUUUUCGGUUUGAUGUUUCGAAGCGAAUUGAGCACCCUGUAGAUACAGCACACAGCCCUGUCCUGUUGAGAGGUCAACGAGUCCAUCUUAGUUUGCAGCUGUUCCAUAAUAUCUCUAUUCACAUAUUCAAUAAUGGAGGUACUUUCUAUAUCCUUUCCUUUGUUUGAAGCAUUUAAGGUGUCAUCCCUUUCCAUAUUUGAGGUACUUGGUUGUUAAUAUCCUUAUCAACUUCUGAAGCACUUCCUACAUCAAUACGGUUUCCCUUGUUUAGAGGACUUGCCUUAUCCUCUUCCAUAUUUGAUACACUUGCCUUUUCAACACCAUUAUUCGUGUUUGAAGCACUUGCAGAAAAAUUUAUCCUUUUCCAGUCUGCAUGUUCGGUGAAACAAACCGAGAAUGAAUGGAUGGUUUAUAUAGUUCAAUUUUGGGGGUUUUUUCCCCUCAGAAUAAGGUACUUUUUGAGAUAUAUUUUACCAAACUAAUACAAUGAGUGAACGAACGAGGUAGAGAAAACAAUGUGUAAAAAAUAAAUUACACAUAAUAUGAAAAAAAUGAGCAGGCCACAUGAGCAGAGGCUAGUAUGAAAAGAAUACAUCGAGCAUAUGAGCUGGAGCUAUUGAUUUAAAAAAUAAUUAUAUAAAUGUUAUGGCUUCUAGCGAGAAAAAUUAUAUAUUAUGAUGUCCGCAUUAAUGGCAGGGAUUAAUACAUGAAAGUAAACUAGUCAUAAUGGCAAGGGCCAAAGAAUGUUCUAAUGCACAAGUUAUAAGUAAUGAAAUGCGUUAAUGAAUAUAGAUAAUGUAGAACAUGAACUACAAUUACCGUAAUGAACCGAUGAGUACAAGUUAUACAGUACAUGCUAUAAGUAUUAAGAUAUAUUAAGGAGUGUCUUGUUGAUGUAAAGUAUAAGUCUCAAAUAUUGAAACGUACCAUUAAACGUGGUUGAUGUAAAUUACAAGCUAUAGUUAUUGAAAUACAUAGGUGAAUCUAUAGUGAUGCAAGGAAUGAGAUGAUGAUCAUUAAAAUAAAUAAUGAAAAUGGUUGAUAAAAACCUCAAGCAAAGGUUAUUUAGAUUAAUCAAUAAAUAUAUUAAAGAAUAAUAUAAAUUAUAUUUUAUGACUUCAUCUAAUAACUUAAGUUUUGGGAUUGAGAUUGUUCUUUAACAUGAUAUUAAAGCUUUAAUAAUGAAGCGGUCACGAUUUUGAAUCUCAUCAUCCUUAUUUAUGUGAUAAAAAUUAAGCACAAGAUAAUAUAGGUUUAUGCAAGUUUCAAGCCCAAAGGUGUAAUAUCUCAUAUCAACGGGUGAGCACUUAGGGGAGUGUUUUAUAUGAGCAUGCUCACCUUGACUAGUAAGACGCAUUUUAAAGCCAUACAUGGCUGCCAAGAAAAAAUCCGUAAGGCUCGUGAGCCAAAGCAAACAAUAUCUUACUAGUGGGGUAGUGUGUUACUAUUUGGUAUCAAAACCCGACUCACUAGUUGUCCGGUGAUGUCGUCAGGCUCCUUAAAGGGGGUGAACUGUAAUAUCCCACAUCAACAGGUGAGAACUUGGGGGAGUGUCUUAUAUGAGCAUGCUCACCUUGACUAAUAAGACUUGUUUUAAGGUUAAACGUGGUUGUCAAUAACAAAUCUGUAAGGCCCGUGGGCCAAAGCAGACAAUAUAUUACUAGUGAGAGGUAGGGUGUUACAAAAAGUCUUUCACUUGAAGGGGUGUGUCAGAGAAUAAUAUAAAUCAUAUAUUGAAACUUCACGUAAUAGCUUAAGCUUUUGAGUUGAGAUGAUCAUUUGAUAAAAUGUAUUAAAUUUAAGGUAUAAAUAAAUGUAUUAAAUGGGUUGAUGGACCUAUAAUCAAUUUAAACCAUAAGUUUAGUGUGUUUAGGAACUUCUAAUCAAGAUAAGGUGUGACUAAAUGUAAAGAAUAAAGUUCACCAAACUAUAAUCAAAUUAAAGUAUAAGUAAUUGUAUUGAAUGGGUUAAUGAAACCAUAAUCAAAGUAAAGAAUGAGUUAAUGUAUUAAUGAAACCAAAGUAUGAAUUUAGUGUAUGGAAGGGGUCAAUGAACUUAUAAGGAGGUUAAAGUAUGAGCUGCAAGGAAUAUGAUUAAUAGAAAUCACGAGCUAGGGGUAUUGAAAUGAUUCAACGAAUACAAUUAGCUUAAAGUAAAGGUUUCGAUUAAUGGAAAUAGAAUAAUGAACAUAUAGUUGAUCAGAUCAUGGUGCAUUAUUGAGGGUGAUAGCCCAUGGCAUAUAAUAAAGGAAAAGGUAGUAUUGGUUAAUGGCAUGAAUGCAAUGAUUUAGAAAUCUAACAUAGAUCAAAUAUGCCUAUAAAAGAUCUAAUGAUGUUGUGAUUACUGCUAAAGAUGGUGAAUAUUAGUAAGAAAAUGACUAUAUAUUAUAUUUAGGGUUUAAACUUAGAAAUUUUAUGUGUUAUAUAGGUACUUUUCAUCUAGAAUCUCAAUCCUUAAUAACUAGUUUUCAAGCUACAUAGCAUGUCCCAUGCUAUAUACAUUAUGUAUAGAAAUUAUAAUGUCUGACUUAUAUUAUGUACAUGGUCUAUUAAAUGUAUUUAUGUUUGAUUUUUAUUGUAAGAAAAAGAUAGAGUUAUAAUUUUAGAUUAGUGGAUGAUUAAUAGUAUGUAAAGAAAGACUAUGACAUGGUUACAUAAUAUACUUGAUGUGUAUAAUUAUGCCCUUGAUUGGUUGGAUGGUUGGUGAGCCUAAGGCCACUCUUAUGUGAGUGCUGGUUUUAUAAAAUGAAUGCAGCUUGGAUUUUUAAGUAUUUAGAACUUUAUUUUGUAUGUAUAUAUAUAUAUAUAUGCUUGCAUUCAUCUCUUAAAACAAUAUUAUCUAUAUUAAUAGAAUAAACAUAUGGUAAAUAAAUAUAGUUGAUGAUCUGUGAGUAUGAAUGGCUUGAGUUGUUGUUUUGGGUUGUUGUUGGUAUUUACAUGUAUUUUAAAGGUGGAUAAAAUUUUAAAAAUAGUUUUCAUGUAAGGGAAAUUUUACUAAAAUUUGGUUAAAAUUUUAUAUUUCCUCACUUUAAUAAAAACAAAUCCCUUAUCAUAGUGGAUAGUGAUGUGAUUUAUAAUUUGUAUUAUGUGUGAUGACUGAGGGUGACUUUGUAUGAGAAAGACUUUGAAUAAUAAAAACAAUUACCCUAUUUACACUCGCAUGAUAAUUGGAAGAAGUGGAAAUUGCAUUUAAUAGUUCUGGCAUUACAUAAUUUGAGUAGAAUGGUUAUUUUGAAUGCUUUAAAUUAUCAAACUUGGAAUGGAAAAAUGAAAGACCUUUUAUUUGAGAAACAAUUUCAUCUACUGGUGUUUGCUAAUAAGAAGCCUAAAAAUAAAUCUAAUGAAGAAUGGACUUUAAAACAUCGAUAAAUGUGUAGAUACAUAAGGCAGUCGAUGGAUGAUAAUGUUGAAUAGUUAUAUGCUUAGAAAACUGGAAAUAAUAAAAUGUUUUUGAUAAAGCAUUUGAUGACUUGAGUUGCCAAGAUUGAUAUUGAUAGAUCACUUGAACACAUUCCUAUGGAAUAAACCUGGACAUUAUAUGCCUGGAAAAUUGGAAAUAAUAAAAUGUUUUUAAUAAAGCAUCUGAAGACGCAAAAGAAUAAUUAAUCUAGAACGGGCAUCAAGUUUGAUGAUAAGGUACAGGGGUUGUGUUUCCUUGGUACAAUGCUGGACUCCUGGGAGACAUUCAAAAUGUCAUUAUCUAACUCAGUUGUAAAUGGCGUAAUGAAUAAAUUAUUUAAAUCAGAAUCGAGAUAGUUUUUUGGUUUUAUGGAAGUUUCCCUUGAGUUCUUAGCUUGGCAGUUUGGUUUGUGUGGAGGCAAAGCUGCAUCCUGUGGUUGUUGCUCUGUUUUUGUGGUUUUCUUGGGUUUUUUUCCUUUUUUGUUAGUUUAAUUUGCUAAACCUGAGUGUUGUGCAGAUUUGUAUCUUGUCCUUCCCGUCUUCUUUUGGCGUUUUAAUGCAAUACUUUAGUUAUAAAAAAUAUAGAUCUAGAAAAGAGCAAUGUUUUGAAUGAAGAAAUGAGAAGAAAAUCAUAUUGUUUUGCUUCACAGCUAGAGGUUUUAGUUACAGAAAGGAGAAGGAUGAAUGUUGAUGGUUGCCUCAUUUGUUGCCGAAGAAGUGGUCUUCGAUGCUAAGAAGAUUAAGUCAAGAUUAUCUCCAAUAAGUUAGGAAGUUCUUUACAAAUAAAGCUGUUAUAGAAUAACUUUUUUUUUGUUAAAAUCUUGUCAUUACUUUUCUGAAUUUAUUAUCAGAACUCUUAUAUAAAAGAGUGAUUCAAUCAAUAAAAGAAUUAUCUUACGGUCACAAUAACAACUAUUCUAUAUUGCUGGUUUUACUUCGUUCUUCAGUUUCUUUAUAUCUAUACUAUCAAAAACUACAAAUUGGUAUCAAAGUAUAAUUGAUUUUAAGGGACCAACUUGAGUGAAGAUAUUAAGGGACCAACUUGAGUGAAGAGAGUAACCUGUGAGAAAUCCUUUUCCACCAAAAAUAAAAACACCUAAACCUCCUAUCAUUUUUAAUGACAUAAGACAUUUAUUCUCUUGCAUCACUACCAGUAUUUGUCGGUGAAAACUAUCAGAUGUGGGUUGUAAGAAUGAAAACAUACUUACAAGCCUGUAAUUUUAGAAUGUUGUAGAACAAGAACAUGAUCCACAACCACUUCCUGCAGAUCCUACUAUAGCUCAAAUAAGAAACCAUCAUGAGGGAAGAGCCAAGAAGUUCAAAGCUAAAACAUGUCUUUACUCUACUAUUUCUGAAGCAAUAUUUCCAAUAAUCAUUGCACUUGAUACAACCAAACAAAUAUGGAAUUAUCUGUUGUAACCCAUUUUUGGGUCCCCACAUAAAAAAUAAUAAAAAUUAAAAAAUUAAAAAAAUAUAUUAUAAAAAAAACGCAAAACCAUGCCGUUUGGAAACGGCACCAUCGUCUUCUUCCCCUGGACGCGCAGAGAACAGGGGAGAAGAAUCGUUUUUUUUCUUCUCUUUUUGCCUACUUUCUUUCCCGUUUAUUGCGCAAAAAGACGCCCACCAUGAACACCCACUUGUCUGGCGUUGUUAUCCGUUGAAGGUAGUGGAGGGGGCGGCCAACAGUAGCCGCCCCAACACGUUCGCUCUCCCUUGUUUUCCUAUAAAUACAGGGGAGGGCUGUUGAAAAAAAAAGAAGGGAAAAGACCAAGAGAGGGGGAAGAGAAUAGAAGGGAGAGACAGAGACAGAGAGAUAGAAUAAGAAGAAGAAGAAGCAGACAAAAGAGUAAAACAGAGGAGAGAGAGAGAGAGGAAAACAGCACUGCCGGCCACCGCGAACUGCCAGCGCCGCCGCUACCACCCCUUCCGCCUCAGCUGCUGCCAGCAUCAACACCGUUCCAGGUAACUUUCUCCCCUGUUGUUUUUUUUUUUGCUUCAGCUUCAUCUGCAUGCAGAACGUUUACGUUCUGCAGCAGAUGAAGAUUAAUUAGCUAGACUGGCUAAUUAAUUCACGGGGUUACUGUGUGCACAGUAACCCGGUUACUGUACACGCUACUUAAUUCUCUGGUUACUGUGCACACAGUAACCCGAUUACUAUGUCGUUGGGCCCAGCCCAUGCAUUUGGGCCUGACCCGGCCCAUUUCAAAGAAAAAAAUCAAAAAUAUUUGUUUCAGCAUUUUAUAAUUUUUCCGCGUAAUUUUUAUGUCAUUUUGAUUAAUAUUGGGUGGUAUUUUAUGUUGUUAAAAAUACAAAAAUCUGAUAUUAAAAUACCCGGUUUUCGUCAAAAAAUUCCAAAAGUACAAAAAAUUGAAAAAAAGAGAGAAAAAAAUGUUUUUGUGCAUACGGCCAAGUGUCUCAAAUCUAAAAAUCAUAUCGUAUUUUUCAUAUGUCAAAAAACAAUAUUUUAGCAUUCAUUUUGGCUUUAAUAACCAGUUUAUUAAAGUCAAGAGAACAUUGACCAAAAUCUCAAAAACAACAAAAAUAUUAUUUUGUUUGAUUUUAGUAUCAGGGAUUAUGAAUUUAUACGUAAAUCGUAUUCCUGAUAUUAAAAAGAUAUUUUCUUUUGACGACUUCGAAUAAUUAGUUUUUUACCCGAUAAAGAUAAGGAUCUCCUUACAGAGGAGGACUUUUCUUAAACCGUAAACGAACCAACAAUUAAAAAACCACAACAUGAUUUUAGAUUUUAUCAGACAUUAAAACAAUGCAGCCUACCUUAGGUAGGGCGUAGUUGGGGUGCUAAUACCUUCCCUUUACGCAACCAGUCUCCGUACCCGAUCUCUAAAGACCAGUUAAGGUUCCUAGUAACCAGAAUACUAGGUGGCGACUCCCAGUCCAUAUUUUCACAUAUAGAGACAAGAAUUCCUUGUCUCUUCCUAUUUUCAAGGAAUAAAUAAAUAUUUCGAUUUUUCCUUGAGGGUGGACGAUUGUCGCGCCGCCGCACAUGUGCGACAUUAUCUUAAAGUGGAUUUCCACAAAAAUAAGAAAACAAUUCAAAUACAAGUCUUGAAUUUGAGAAGUGAGUUUGAGAUGCAAAAAAUGAAGAAAUCAGAAACAAUCAGAGAAUUCUCUAACAGAUUACUUUCCAUAGUCAACAAAGUAAGAGUAUUGGGGGAAGACCUUCCUGAUAAAAGGGUUAUUGAAAAAAUUCUUGUGACUUUACCUGGAAGGUUUGAGUAAAAAAUAUCUUCAUUAGAAGAAUCUAAAGAUCUGUCAAAAAAUUCUUUGGCAGAAUUGCUCAAUGCUUUACAGGUAGAAGAACAAAGAAGAACAAAAAGGCAAGAGGAGUCCAUGGAAGGAGCUUUUCAAGCUAAAAUACAAGUCCAGGAAGUAGACAAAGGCAAAAAGAAGAACAAAAAAAAGUAUAAAAGAGCCAGUAGCAAUAAUAAAAGAAUUGGAAACUUUCCUCCUUAUCAACAUUGUAAGAAAACAAAUCACUUACAAAAAUAUUGUUGGUGGAGACUUGAUGUUAGAUGUAGAAAAUGUAAUCAAUUAGGACACAUGGAAAAGAUUUGCAAAAGCAAAACUAAUGAGCAAGAAGGUGAAGCUCAAGUUGUUGAUCAACAACAAGAGGAGCAGCUAUUUUUGGCCACUUGCUUUGCUAGCAAACAUGCAAGUGAUUGCUAGCUUAUAGAUAGUGGUUACACAAAUCACAUGAUGAAUAAUGAAAAUCUAUUCAAGCAACUUGACAAAUCAAGUGUCUCUAAAGUUAGAAUUGGCAAUGGUGAAUAUACAUUCAUGUCAAAGGGAAAUGAACAAUUGUUAUUGAAGGAAAUUCGUGUAUAAAACUCAUUUUAGAUGUUCUUUUUGUACCUGAAAUUGAUCAGAAUCUGUUGAGUGUUGGUCAGCUUCUUGAAAAAGGAUACUUAGUUGUGUCAAAGAUAAACAUUGCUUAAUUUCUAAUCCUGCUGAAAUAGAAAUAUUCACUAUAAAGAUGAAAGGAAAAGGCUUUUCACUGUACUGGAUGGAAGAGGAGUCAGUUGCCUUUUCAAGCACAGCAAAUCAGAUAGAAUUAUGGCAUAAGAGGCUGGGGCAUUUCAGUCAAGCAAUGUUGGUGCAUAUGCAGAAAAAGAAGAUGAUGCAAGGAAUGUCAAACUUGGAAGAAUAAAUCUUAGUUUGUACCUCUUAUCAAUAUGGUAAGCAAAACAGACUUCAAUUUUCUCUGAACAAGCCUUGGAGAGCAAUAGAAAAGCUUCAGCUUAUUCAUAUUGAUGUUGUUGGACCUUUGAAGACAAUAUCCUUGAAUGAAAGCAAUUAUUUUAUUGCUUUCAUUGAUAAUUAUACAAGAAUAUGCUGGGUCUAUUUCCUAAAGUUUAAGUCUGAGGUAGCAAAUGUUUUUCUAAAGUUCAAAGUCAAUUUGAUUUUCAAUCCAGUUUUUACAUUUUCUGAACAUCAAUAUAAUGUGCUCUUACACUCCUCAACAUAAUAGUGUGAGUGAAAGCAAAAAUAGAACAAUUAUGGAGAUGACAAGGUGUUUGUUAUCUAUUUGAGAAAGAUUUACCCAAGAAGUUUUGGGCAGAAGCGGUGAACAUUGCAAUCUUCUUAUUGAAUAGGCUACCAACAAGGGCAUUACAAAACAAGACUCCAUAUGAAGCUUGGCACGGUUAUAAACCCUCACUCUAAAAUUUAAAGAUUUUUUGGUUGCUUAUGUUUCACUUAUGUUCCUCGGGUAAAAAUAGAUAAGCUUGAUAGAAAGGCUGAAGCAGGCAUUUGUGUUGGCUAUAGCAAUGUUACAAAAGGCAACAGAGUGUUUCAACCUCUAACUGAAAAGGUGAUUGUUAGAAAAAACAUCCAGUUCAUUGAAACCGAAAGGCGAAACUUCAAAGAUGCAGAAAGAAGUCAAAGUAAAGAGAUUGUGCAAGAUCUUGGUUAUUAUGUUGAUGAAGCACCAGUCAGAGGAACUAGAUUGCUUGAUGACAUUUAUCAAAGUUGCAAUGUAGCUGUAUUGGAGCCUGCAGAAUUUGAAGAGGCUAACAACGAUCCAAAAUGGAUUGAUAUUGUAAUGAAAGAAGAGCUGAGGACGAUUGAGAAGAAUCAAACAUGGGAAUUGGUGGACAUGCCGAAACACAAAAAACCUAUUGGUGUAAAAAGGGUUUACAGAACAAAACUGAAUGUAGAUGGCACCAUUAACAAACACAAAGCUAGAUUGGUAGUUAAAGGUUAUGUAUAAAUUUUUGGUGUAGAUUUUUCAGAGACCUUUGCACUAGUAGCACGAUUAGACACUAUUAGAAUGCUACUAGCAAUUGGAGCUUAAAAAGGUUGGAAAAUAUUUCAACUUGAUAUGAAGUCUGCAUUUCUAAAUGGCUAUCUGUAGGAGGAGAUUUUCGUGGAACAACCUAAAGGAUUUGAUGUCAAAGGUGAAGAAGAAAAGGUUUACUUAUUGAAGAAAGCUUUGUAUGGAUUAAAACAGGCUCUAAGAGUCUGGUAUAGCAGGAUUGAUGAACAUUUACUCAAACAUGACUUUAAGAAAAGUUUGAGUGAAUCAACCUUGUACAUCAGAAAAUCAAAUUCUGAUUACAUUAUGGUUUCACUAUAUGUUGAUGAUCUAUUUGUUACAGAAAAAAAUCCAAGAAUGAUAGACCAAUUCAAAACAGAAAUGAUAAAGGUCUUUGAAAUGACAGACAUCAGUGAAAUGUCCUAUUUUCUUGGCAUGGAAGUGCAACAAAACCAGCUUGGGAUCUUUAUUGGCCAACAAAAAUAUGUCGAAGAGAUUAUAAGGAGAUUCAAAAUGGAAGAAUACAAAUCAAUGAAUACACCUAUGAAUUUGAAGGAAAAGUUAUGUAAAGAAGAUGGAGCUGACAAAGUAGAAGAAGGAGUUUACAGAAGUUUGAUUAGAAGUUUGAUGUACCUCACAACAACAAAACCUGAUAUCAUGCAUGUUGUAAGCUUAUUAUCAAGAUUCAUGCAUUGUGCAAGUGAAGUUCACUUCAAGGCUGCAAAAAAGAAUAAUAAGAUCUAUCAAAGGUACACUAAGUUAUGGCAUUCAAUUCGGUUGUAUUGAAAAUUAUAAGUUACAAAGAUAUGCAAACAAUGAUUGGGCUGACAGUUUUGAUGACAUGAAGAGCACCUCUGGAUAUUGAUUUAGUUUUAGAUCAGGAAUUUUCUCCUAGUGUUCCAAAAAGCAAGAAAUUAUUGCACGGACAACUGUAAAAGUGGAGUAUGUUGCAGCAACUGCAGCUACAAAUCAAGCCUUAUGGCUUAGGAAGAUCUUAGCAGAUUUAGACAUGGAGCAAAGGAAAACUACUAAGGUUUAUGUUGAUAAUCAGGCCACAAUUGCAAUAUCUAACAAUCCAAUUUUCCAUGGCAAAACAAAGCAUUUCAAGCUAAAGUACAAUUUUAUGAGAGAAGUUCAAAAAAAUGAAGAAUUACAUCUAAUUUAUUGCAAGAUAGAAUAUCAACUUGUUGAUAUUGUAGCCAAGCCCUUAUCUAAAACAAGGUUUCAAACUUUGAGGGAUAAAAUAGGGGACUGUAGUAAAAGAUGCAAGGAGGAGUGUUGAUGGUUGCCUCAUUUGCUGCUGAAGAAGUGGUCUUCAAUGCUGAGAAGAUUGAGUCAAGAUUAUCUCCGAUAAGUUAUGAAGUUAGUUGCAAAUAAAGCUGCUAUAGAACAACUCCUUUUUUGUUAAAAUCUUGUCAUUAUUUUUCUGAAAUUUGUUAUCAGAACUCUUGUAUAAAAGAGUAGUAAUUCAAUCAAUAAAAGAAUUAUCUUGCGGUCACAAUAACAAUUAUUGGUUUUACUUUGUUCUUCAGUGUCUCUAUACUAUCAAAAACAACAUAUGAAUAGAAGUAGAGGAUCGAAGAACAAAGAAAAAGGUAGAAGCAAGUCUAACAAUUUUGCUAUUGAAGAGAGAAAAUAAGGAGUACAAGAAUGAAAACAAGAAUGAUGAUGCAAAGGAUAAUGGUUGAGUUAUCACUACUACUACCGAAGACUACUCAAUUAUUUAUGAUAGCGAAGUUAUUAGCAUUGCAUAUCAUGAAACUAGUUGGGUUAUUGCUAAUGGCACCUCCAUUCAUGCUACACCUUGAAAUCAUUUUUCAUAAAAUAUACACCUAGUGACUUUGGGAUAGUAAAGAUGAAUAAGGGUGGUUUGGUUAAAAUCAUAUGUAUUGGAGAUGAGUGUUUGGAGAUGAAUAAUGGUGUUAUUAUAGAAUGUAUAGCAUGUAUCUAUCAGAAUAGAAAAUUAAUAUAGAAUUAUUUCAAUGUUGUAAUCCCUAUAGUUACUGUAGUGUUCUGCUGCAUAUAUAUAAAUAGGAAGGUUAGCUAAGGCACAACCUAACACAUUCUAUUAUUCUCAACUUGGUAUCAGAGCAGCAAAACCCUAAAAUAAUUAACCUACUUUUCUCACAGCCUCCCUUCUUAAAUGGAACAGCCGCCACAUACAUCUUCCUCUUCUGCAGCACCAGCAGUCCAACCUUCUUCUCCGGCAAUGCAGCCUUCUUCUCCUGCAGCGCCUCCUCUGCUCUCCUCUACUGCCUCACCACCUGGUUUCUCCUCUACCAUGGUUGGUGAACGCCUCACCUUGCAGCCCACGUCUGAUGCAACUGUUAUCUCUACUACCGCAAUCAUUAUCUUCCUUUCUCACACUCAUCAAGUCAUCUCCCUCAAAUUAACAAACACCAAUUAUUUAUAUUGGCAUAUGCAGAAGGAGUUUUUGGUUUUGUUGAUGGCUCCAACACAUGUCCCCUUCACAUGUUCUUGCCGGAGAUGGUAUCUCUCUUUAGGUAAAUCCGCUCUUUCUUCGCUGGAAACAACAGGACCAACUCAUUCUGAGUUCUCUUCUUUCCUCCCCAUCUAUGGAGGUUUUGCAUCUUGUUGUUGGCUGUCAAAGCUCUUGUUCAGCUUGGCGCACUCUUGAUCGAGCUCUUGCUUCCACCUCCAACUCUCAUAUUAUGCAACUUCACGGCUCUCUUUAGGAUCUUCGACAGGGUGAUGAAUCAGUAACUCAAUUUAUGCAAAAAGCUAAGGCCUCAUUUGAUGAAUUGGCCACUACUGGUCGGCUAGUUUCGCUUGAAGAUUUCAAUUUAUAUAUGUUUCGUGGUCUUCGAGGAGAGUUUAAAGACUUAGUUACAAGGACAAACCUUUAUCAUAUGCAGAUCUUUACAGUCAUCUCUUCACGCAUGAAUUUCUUCAUAAAUCUCCAGCUACCAUACAUGCUCCUCUGCUGCCUACACCCAACACUCCAUCAUCUGCCCUUGUUGCGCAGCGCCAGACCUUUAGCAAUUCUGGCCGCAGUAGGGGCCGCUUCAACGGUGGCUGGUGUCCCAACUAGUCCAGCAAUAGAGGCAACCGGUUUGCUGGCUCCAGACCUUCUCCUUCGGUGAUAGUCGGCAGGGCACAUGGCAGGGCUCUUGGCAGCACAAUAGGAGGCAGAAUCCACGCUGCCAACUGUGUCAAAAUUUCGACCAUACAGCUCCCCACUAUCCUCAAUUCCAGCAGCGAGGUUAUGGCAAAUAGCCUCAUGCCAAUCUGGUGCAGCGCAAUCUCUCCUCAACCGGUUCUAUUGAUUGGUUUCUAAAUAUCGGUGCCAAUCAACAUGUCACGCUUGAUCUUGCCACCUUGAUUGCUUCAGAACCGUAUCUUGGUAAUGAUAAUUUUCAUGUUGGUGAUGGUAAGGGCCUUCCUAUAUCUCAUUUUGUUCAUACAAAAAUAUAUACACCACAUCGUUCUUUCACCUUAUCACGAAACCUCUACUCUCUGUUCAUAAAUUUUAUCUUUAUAAUGAUGUUUAUUUUGAAUUCCACCCUCGUAUGUUUUAUGUCAAGGAUCUCAACACCCAUGAAGUCCUUCUCUCAUGUCAGAGUAAAGAUGGUCUCUAUGCCCUGACCAAGUAUUUCAUCACGUUAGUUCCUCAAGCCUAUUGGUCUCCCUGCACUUCUGCCUCUGCCGAUUUAUGGCAUCGCUGACUAGGUCAUCCGACUUCAUGUAUUUUCAAUUGUUAAUCUCAAAAAAUAACAUCAUUUGUAACAACAAACGCCUUAAUUUUCAAUGUCAAAGUUGUCCUUUAGGAAAAUCAUCGCUUUUAUCUUUAAGACCUAUGGGUCACAAAACUUAUACUCCGCUUGAAUUAAUUUUUAGUGAUGUAUAGGGCCCUGCUCCUCUCUUUUCUUCAGAUGACUAUUGUUAUUUUGUUAUCUUUGUUGAUGCUUAUACUAAAUAUGUAUGGUAUUAUCCUCUCGUUGCCAAGUCUGAUGUUUACUUUGUUUUUCAUCAAUUUCAGACUAUUGUUGAACAUCAAUUUUCAUUAAAAAUAAAAUUUGUUCAAAUUGAUUGGGGCGGUGAAUACCAGAAAUUAUCCACAUUUAGAUCGUUGGUAUUCAUCAUCGUCUGAUUUGUCCCCACACUCAUGAACAAAAUGGCAGAGUAGAGCGUCGUCAUAGGCAUAUUGUGGAAACAGGUCUUACUAUUUUAGGGCAAUGUAAAACACCUUUUUGAUUUUGGAAUUGUGCUUUUGAAACCUCUGUUUAUCUUAUAAAUCGCAUGCCUACUCUUGUUCUUGCCCAUCACUCUCUGUUUGAUUGUUUAUUUCAACGGUCUACUGAUUAUCAUUUUUUGCGUACUUUAGGGUGUCUCUGUUUUCCUUUUCUACGUCCAUAUAAUAAUCAUAAAUUGGAUUUUUGUUCCUCUUAAUGUAUGUUCUUUGGAUAUAGUUCCUUGCAUCUUAGUUAUCGAUGUCUUGACAUUGCAUCUCACCGUAUUUAUAUUUCCCAUCAUGUUCGCUUCCAUGAACAUGUCUUUUCAUUUGAUAAUUCUGAACAGAUUGCAAAGGUCUCCACCACAACCCCCACCCCACCCGCUACUGUCACCCUCCCAAAUUUACUAAACCACCCACCACCACCCACUUUCACCAGCCACCCAAACAGCCCACAACACUCAGUUCUACCACUCCAAACAGUCACCCAACCACAACCUCUACCUAUCCCUUGGCCAUCAUCCCAUACUUGUUUAUCUAACCAUUAUGAUGCAGGUUCAGAUCGUCAAUUGGUCUCAUCUCCUCAUGGUCUUAGGGCACUCUUUAGUCCCUCUGCUUCGCCUUCCCUGGCUAGCAUUCCUGUAGAUUCGGUCUCUGCUUACAGCCCCUCCUCUACUGACAGUCUUAUGCUUGAGGCUGCUUCUUCAUCAUCCUCUCCCACUGGUCUGCAACUUAUGGUUGAUUUGUCUUCUUAUCAGCUGCCACAGGUCUCCUCGCUACCACCAUCUUCCUCUGCAUCUCCACCAACACGUAGCAGACAUCCUAUGUCUCUCAGACCGCGGCAGCCAAAGACAACAAAUAUGGUUGCUUCUGCUGCCACCAUUUAUACCUCCACACGGGUAUUGUAUUCUCUCUCUUCUAAGCCUUUUGCAUUCUCUGAUGCUGACCAAUAUGCAGUUUGGCAUAAUGUUAUGUGUGAUGAGAUCGCCGCUUUACGCUCAAAUCGCACUUGGUCUUUGGUUCCAUCUCAUCAUUGGAUGAAUGUUGUUGGCAGUAGAUGAGUAUAUCGGAUAAAACGUCGUGUUGAUGGUAGUACUGAGCGAUAUAAAGCACGCCUUGUUGCUAGAGGUUUUACCCAGUAGGAAGGUAAACCUUCAAGCCAGUUAUUAAGCAGGCCAUUGUCCGAUUGGUUUUCUCUAUCGUGGUUUCGCGAAAUUGAAAGAUUCAUCAGCUUGAUAUUCAUAACGCUUUCCUCUCCAUCAGUUUCCAAGCUUCCAAGGUUGACACCUCCCUGUUUAUCUUAUCCGAUGGUACUAAUAUCUUUUAUCUCUUGGUGUAUAUUGAUGAUAUUUUGCUUACGGGUAGGAACUUUGCUAUGCUUCAUCACCUUAUACAGUUACUCAGCUUUGAGUUUAAGCUUCAUGACUUAGGUGUUGUUCACUACCUUCUAGGUAUUGAAGUUCAUUCUACCGGUAUGGGUUUAAUGUUGUGUCAACAUAAAUAUAUUCUUGACAUCCUCACCCGAGCUGGUAUGACUUCCUGCAAACCUGUUGAUACUCCAGUCUCCCCUUUGAAAGUCACUUCAUUACCGGAUCACUCAUUCUAUGAUCCUACACGAUUUCAUCAAAUCGUGGGUGCUCUUCAAUAUCUUACCUUCACCCGUCCAGAUAUAUGUUUUGCUGUUAACAAAGUCUACCAGUUUAUACAUGCUCCUACAGAUUCUCAUUAGGCCGUUGUCAAACGUAUUUUACGCUAUCUUAAAGGUACGGCAUCUUAUGGUUUUCAUAUCACUCGAGGCUCCUCUUUUGCUCUACAUGGCUUUACAGAUGCAGAUUGGGCUGGUAGUAUUGAUGAUCGCAAGUCUACGGGUGACUAUCUUGUCUUUUUUGGUCAGAUGUUGAUUUCUUAGAAAUCUGGCAAGCAACACACGGUUGCUCGCUCCUCUACUGAGGCUGGGUAUAAAGCCCUUGCUGAUGGUAUCGCUGAAGUCAUUUGGCUUCAAUACCUGUUAACAUAUUUGCAAGUUCCCUUAGUCUCUGCUCCUACCAUUUGGUGUGAUAAUCUUAGUGCUAUCUAUCUCUCAGCAAAUCCUAUCUUUCAUGCUCGUACUAAGCAUUUUGAAGUGGAUUAUCACUUUGUCUGUGACCACGUUACCAAGAAAGAGAUUCAGAUUCGUUUUGUUCCCUCUCGGGAUCAAUUUGCCGAUAUCUUCACUAAACCGCUUCCUGUUGCAUCCUUUACUGUUUUUUGGUUCAAGCUUCGGGUUGAUAUCCUACCCUCAGCUUGAGGGGGCAUAUUAUAGAAUGUAUAGCAUGUAUCUAUUAGAAUAGAAAAUUAAUAUAGGAUUAUUCCAAUGUUGUAAUCCCUACACUUACUGCUGCAUAUAUAUAAAUAGGAAGGUUGGCUAAGGCACAACCUAACACAUUCUUCGAGAUGUAAUCCUUAUGGAGUGAUACUUUGAGUUUAUUUGCGUAUGUACGUAAUCUUAGAUUGUGCUAGCCAUUGCAAUCUAUUCAGAACAUGAAGAAUGUGUUUUCUUAUGGGUAGUGAUAUCUAAACAAAUAUCAUGAACAUGUGUUUUCUUUUACAUGCACACCUGUUAGGAUCCUUAUGGGGUGAUACUUUGAGUUUAUUUUCGUAUGUACUUAAUCUUACAACAUGUAUUCCGCUUCAGUUUGAUGUAUAAGACGGAGUUUGGACUAGCAAAAAUGUUUUAUAUGAUCACUUAUGUGUAUUUACAUGUAAAGCGUUUAUGCAUAUUCCUAAAAAUGAAAGACUAAACUCAAUAUAUAUGUAGACUCGACGAUUCAUCCUUCUUGGUUAUGGUUUGAAUGAGUUUUGGUGCAUGUUAUAUGAUUAAAAUAAUAAGAAACUAGUGAGAAGUCAAGUCUUUAUAUUUAUUGAAUAUCAACCAUGCAAGAUGUUGAGAAGACAGAAAAGGUAGUGUUUUUGUACAGUGAUGAUGGUCUAAUUGACUUGUAUCCAGUUACUUUGAUAUAUAUAUUAAUUUGCGAGUACGGGUUGAACAUGAAGUUCAGUAUGGCCAACAAAGUCCAGAUGAUGUGUACGCUCAAUUAUAAGAUGAGAUAAAUGAUGAGAUUGUUGAUUCGUUGCCAACACUAGAGUUGCCAUCGGAUGUUCCACUUAGGAGGUCUAAUACCAUAGACCGACAUCCUUCAGCUCGGUACUCCACAAACGAAUAUAUAUUAAUUAUUGAUGAGGGAGAGCUCGAGUAUUAUGCAGAAUCAUGAAAGAUGAAUUUGUUUCUAAUAUGGAAGGAGAUGUGGAGAUGUGGAUAGUUAUUUAAUCACUUUCUCAGAAGGGGUUAUUGCUUUUUAUAGUCGAGGUUACAAAAAUGUUCGUACCUUCUAUUAUUUGUUAUGGAUAAAAAAAGUUGUUGAAAAAACUAGUAAUCUGAUAUUAUUAUUUUUUGUUUUACUUCUUUUGCAAUACUGCUGCUAAUUUUUUUUUGAGAUAUGCAGCUAGCUAGACGUUCUCCUAAAUAAAUUAGUAUGGAUAAAGUGAUUGCAAUGGGUAGUGAUAUCUAAAGUCGAACUUUUGAUUCCACAGCAGGUUCAAUGACAUUAACAACAAAAUUUAAGACAUCGCAUAUAAAAUAUACUCUGGAAAACUAAAAGAUAAUUAAGCAAAUCAACUUUAAAAAAUCUUCUUUAAAAAUUACAAUCCCAUAUAUAUAUAUAUAUAUAUAUAGAAAUCAGCUAGAUUUUGUUCUUGUAAAAUGUUCAUGUAUAUAAUGAAAUUUCAUGUUUUAAGAAAAAAAAUUGGUUCUUUCUGUUCAACUGCUUACAUUCUAUUAAAAAAAAAAACCGGAUCUAGUUUAGUUUUUUUUUAAAAAAAAAAAUUAAUAAAUAAAAAUGAAACUACAUACACCGUGCACCUUUAUAGGGAAAAGGUAAACCUUAUGGAUAGAAUUUCCAUAAGAAUGCUUUUAUAUGUAUUGAACCACCUAAAUGUCUGCAGAGCUUAUACCAAAUCCAAAACAUAACAUUUCAAAAACUAAACAUUUCAAAGAACAGAACAAGUUAGUGCUGACCUGAGUGCGAAGAUCAGAAGACAGUAUCUAUAUAUAGGGUCCCAAGCAGCGAGCCUCUUUCCUAUGUAUUGCAGCACCGCUCUCCCUCUCCCUCUCCCUCUCUAUGUCUCUUGCCUUGUCCACCCAAAUGCAUAUGACAAUGGCUAUAAAUAUAUAAAUGUGAACAUAAAUGCAUAUGGCAAUAUAUAAUUAGGGGACUUGAUUCUAUAUGCUGUCUAGAUUCUAGCUUGACAAGGGCGGAUCUAGGAAAGUCCCUUAACUUUAAAAUGAUUUCUAAGAGAUCAAGUAUAUUUGUACAUAAUAAUCCCUGUAAAAAUAUUAAAUCUUCAUUUUAGCCCUUUAAUGUUGAAUCCUGGGUCCAUCUUUUUUUACAUCUGCAGGUAGUCUUUAAAAAACAAAAAAAAAACUCACCGAUCAACCCACCAAAUAAUUUAGGCUCAUCAUCCCACUAAGCAUGAAAAGAUAAAUAUUUCAAAUGCAUGAAGGAAGACCCCAAAAUGAAAACAAUGUUUGAUGAUCUUAUAAUUAUAUUACCCCCUCGUACAGCAAACAAUUUUCUCUACAAAGAUAAAACAGCAUGUAGGACUGGAAAGCCACAAAUGGCCAGAUUCUAAGCUUUGGAGAGUGUAAGUGUAAUAAUUGGUGUAAUUGUAGAAAGUUUGGAUGACACUACUUGGAAAAUGUGCAGCCUUAGCAGCGUUCACACUCACCUGCCGACAAAGAAAAACGUGCAGUUCCAAUCGUCCUUUAAAGUUGAUGGAAAAAUUGAUGGUGAGAGGGAAAGAUGGUGCUUUUCUUUGUUGUCGUUUCUUCCUUUACAAGACAGAUGCAUUAUUAAAAAAUUGCUUUGAAUCAUUUCCAUCAAUUGUCAAGUAUUUCAUAACAGCAAUUCGAUUCACUUAAAAAACUGGUUUUUUCUAUUCAAUUGCUUAAGUUCUAUUAAAAAACCGGACCGGAUCUAAAAAACUGGUUUUUCCUAUUCAAUUUAGUGAUGCUGUAGAUUAAUUUUUUUUUGCAUUAAAUAUAAAAAAAUACUAAGAUCUAAAAGUAUUAGAUCUUUCUGCAAAGUUAUAUCAAAGAGUCUUGGGUCUCGCUGCAACGCCUGACCCAAGAAUAAUAUUUAUAAUAUUAAUAAUAAUAUUAAACUUUCAUGACUCAAAUUUAAGUGAGUCUGGCUGCAACACCAGACCCAAGAGCCUACGAUGUUGGUCUAGAUGCAAGGUCGUGUUAUAAAAAUAUGAUAAUUAAAUAGAUUAAUUAAAAAUAAAAAAAAUAAAAAAAGAAACCAACAGGAAGAAAAAUAAAUAAAAAUCUAAAUUAAUUGGGUUAACCCUUCAAAUCAGGUUAACCCGUCAAACUUGGAAUUCGCGUCAUGAAAGUUUGAUAGCUAAAUAGAAAAAAAAAAUUGACGACUUAACUUGUGAAAUUAACCCGUCAAACCCAAGAUAUAUGUCAUGAAAGUUUGAUAACUAAAUAGGAAAAAUUUAACAUUAACAAACUAAACUAAAUGAAAAAAAUUAAUUAAAAAAAAGCAAAAAAAAUAAAAUUGGGUUACCUCGUUAAACCAGGUUAACCUGUUAACCCGAAAUCCGUGUCAUAAAAGUUUUAUAACUAAAUAAACAAAUUUAACAUUAACAAACUAAAUUAAAUAAAAAAUUUUAUUUAAAGAAAAAAAAAAUGACGGGUCAACCUAGAAUUAACUAGGUUAACCCGUGAAACCAGGUUAACCUUAAACCUGAGAUAUGUGUCAUAAAAGUCUGAUAACUAAAUAGAAAAGAACAAAAUUAACAUUAACAAACUAAAGUUAACGAAAAAAUUAAUUAAAAAGAAAAAAAGAAAAAAAAAGUUCGGGUUAACUCGUCAAACCAAGUUAAUCUGUUAAACCCGAGAUUCGUGUCAUGAAAGUCUGAACACUAAAUAAAAAAAAUUAAUAUUAAAAAAAUAAAUUAAAAAAAUUAUUAAAAGAAAAUAAUAAAGAAAGAAGCAAAAAAAAAAAACAUUAACAAAAUAAAUCAAACAAAAAAAUUUAUAAAAAUAAAGAAACAAAAAAAAAAUUGAUUGGUCAACCCAGAAUUAACUAGGUUCACCCGUGAAACCAGGUUAGCCCGUGAAACUCAGAUAUGUAUCAUGAAAGUCUGAGAACUAAAUAGAAAGAAAUUAAACAUUAACAAACUAAACUAAAAGAAAAAAAUUAAUUAAAAAAAAAAAAUUGGGUUUACUUGUCAAACCAGGUUAACCCGUUAAAUCCAGAAAACGUGACAUGAAAGUUUGAUAAUUAAAUAAAAAAAAUUAAACAUUAAUAAACUAAAUUAAACAAAAAAACUUUGUUAAAAAAAACAAAGAAAAAAAAAAUCCUUAAAAGUAUAUGAAAAAAAAAGCUAUAAAAAAAACAACUUAAAAAGAAAAAUUAACUAAACAGUCCACGGUAAAAAACUAAUACCUUUUAAUAUAUGUUAUAAUAAUAUAAUAUAAUAAUAUAUAUAUUUCUCCAACUCUGGAUGAGUUUGGGCCUCCGGCGCCUCUUUUGAGGACGGGAGGAAAAAAACAUAUAUAUAUAUACACCUUGCACCAUAGUUAUUAAACCCGGCCCGGGGUUGACCCGGCCAAGGGACCGAGUCUCGGUUUCAUGGGUCAACCCGAAAAAAUUAAAAAAAAAUUAAAGUUUUAAUAUUUCAUAUAAAAAAAUCCAUGUAAAUAUAGAUUAUACAUAUUAUAAAUAAUGAAGUUUAAAAUAAUAUUUUUAAAAGUUUUUUAUCCCACAUUAAAAAGAUAUUAUGUUAAGCUUUUAAGUUGAAGUAUUUAAACUAAAAAAUGUUUUUUAUCCCACAUUAAAAAAACAUAACGUUUUUUUUUGGAACAUAGAAUAUAUAUACUAAUGGGUUUCAAAUCCCACAUUGAAAAAACAUAACUUUUUUCAUGGGAACAUAGAGUAUAUAUAUGAAAGGGCUUCAAAUCCCACAUUGAAAAGAUACUAUGUAAUCCUUUUAAGUUGAAGUAUUAAAACCAAAAGGUUUUUUUAUCCCACAUUGAAAAAACAUAACUUUUUUCAUGGGAACAUAGAGUAUAUAUAUGAAAGGGCUUCAAAUCCCACAUUGAAAAGAUAUUAUGUUAUUCCUUUAAGUUGAAGUAUUUAAACCAAAAGGUUUUUUUAUCCCACAUUGAAAAAACAUGAUUUUUUUCUUGAGAACAUAGAGUAUAUAUACUAAUGGGUUUCAAAUCCCACAUUGAAAAAAUAUAAUUUUUUUCAUGUGAACAUAGAGUAUAUAUAUGAAAGGGCUUCAAACCCCACAUUGAAAAGAUACUAUGUUAUCAUUUUAAGUUGAAAUAUUUAAACCAAAAUUUUUUUUAUCCCAUAUAAAAAAAAAUAAAAAAAACAAAAAAAAAACCCCGGGUCUCGUCCGGGUUUGCCCGGGCUGUUGCCACAGCCGGUCUUUUAUUAAACCCGGACCAGUCCAGCCACCGGAUCGACCGGGUCCUGGGUCGACUCGCCGGGCCGGGCUGGGUUUAAUAACAUUGCCCUGCACCCUUUUAGGAAAAGGUAAAUCCAACGUCAUAGAUAUUUUUUUAACCACUCAAAACUAGAAUCAAUGGAAGGUAUAUAGUUCAAUUUAGAGGUUUUUUUUUUUUUUUGAGAUAUAUUUUAACCUAACUAAUAUAGUGAUUUCUAUGUUAUUUCACAAAAUCAGAGCACAUUUUUCCAUACUACUUCAUGACUAUAUUUGUCCAUGUAAUUUUUCAGAGCAAUGCUAUAAGAAAAUCAUACGAAAAUUUCAGAUGAACUGUUGUAAUUACUCUUGAUCAAUCAUUUAAUAUUUUUCGAACGUAUGUACACUCCAUCGAUUCAGUCGUUAUCACUUAAACGUCAAUUUAUGUGAAAAUUUGAUAUAAUUUGUUUAUAUGCAUGGUGUUUAAUUUUUAGAUUUUUCAAAUUUGAAGCACUUAAGUUAUUGAAUUCCUUUGGAUUGAUGAUGCAUUAUACAAAGGUUAUUCUUGAAAAAUCAUCUCAACCCAAUAAUUUAAAAUACUAAGUAAGAUUUCUAAAUAUAAUUUAUAUUAUUUUAUAAUAUACUUUUUUAAAUAAAAAUCUUUUAAACUUGAGACUUGUAUAGGUCUGGAUUAUCAAAUGUUACUAUAUGUGUAUAUUAGCUUCCUAGAAAUAGUAUUUGGGUUACUAUAUGCGUAUAUUAGCUUCCUAGAAAUAGUAUUUGGGUGAUUUAUCCAGUUUUGAUCAAAUGCUACUAUAUGUAUCGUAUAUGGAUCAAUUUAGCUGAGAAUUUAUGAUACAAUUACGAUACGAGGAUCUAUAAUCUAAAUGGUGGAGAUCAGAUUUCGAACAGCCUAACUAAAUUUUUUUACCCAUAGUAAUCUAAAGUCGAACCCAGCAGGACUGUGUCUGUAUAUAGGAUUCCAAGCAACGAGCCUCUUUCCUAUAUAUUGCUGCACCUUUCUCUCUCUCUCUCUCUUUCUGUCAGAAAACUUUUCACUUAAAAAUAUAUAAUAAUUUGAAAACAUUAAAAAUAUAUAUUUUAAAUAAAAAAAAUUAAAAUUAAAAAAAACCCAAUUUAAAUGCAUAUGAAAAUGGCUAUAAAUAUAUAAAUGUGAACUUAAAAAUGAUUUCUAAGAGGUCAAGUAUAUUUGUACAUAAUAAUCCCUUUAAAAUUAUUAAAUCUUCAUUUUAGCCCUUUAAUGUUGAAUCCUGGAUCAUCUUUUUUUCUAUCUGCAGAUAGUCUUUUAUAUAUAUAUAUAUAUAUAAAAACCCACCGAUCAACCCAUUGAGCAUGUGAAGUUAAAAAUUUCAAAUGCAUGAAGGAAGACCCCAUAAUGAAAACGAUGUUUGUUUAUCUUAUAAUUAUAUUUGGAUGCAGCCUUAGCUGGUUCACACUCACCUGCAGACAAAAUUUCCAAGCGUCCUUUGAUGUUGAUGGAAAAAUUGAUAGUGAGGGGGAAAGAGGGUGCAUUUCUUCGUUGUCGUUUAUUCCUUUACAAGACAGAUGCAUUAUUAAAAAAUUGGAACUACAUUCACUCUGCACCCUUACAGGAAAAGGUAAACUUUACUGAUAGAAAGCUUAUCCUUAUAUUGAAUCAACUAAUGUCUGCCGAGCUUAAACCAAAUCCAAAACAUCGUCAGUAUGUUGUUUGUAAGCUAUAUUUUAGUUUAUACACAAGUAGUUUUAUAUAAUGGUAAUCUUGCAAUACACUAAAUCAUUUAACAGUUUUAUCGAUGGAAUUUUUCUGUUGGCGUGAGAUUAUCAUUCCAUCAAUAAAAAAUUUACCAACUAAUUCAUCGACAAAAUACAUCCGUUGAACUAAUGUUUGUUGGUAAUUCAUACAUUUUCGCUAAUUUUAUCGGUAAAAAAAUUAAAAACCAAUGGUUUUACAGACGGAAAAUACACGCCAAAAUAAAAAUCCCCGCUGAAAAUAUGCCAACGGAAUUUUUCCGUCGGUAUAUUUUCAUCGAUAAUAGUGGCAUAUGCAGUAAUGUUUUCCCAACUCUCUAGAAUAUACCAACGGAAUGAUAAUUUAAAAAUAUUUUAAAAAAUAAAAUUGUGUAGAAUAAAUAAUAUAAAAUUGUAUUGAAUAAUAGUGAAAAAAAAUAAUUAAGCAAAUAAAAUUGUAUAAAAUUGAAAGAUGUAAAAAUAAAAUAAAAUAAUAUAAAAUCCAAAUAGUCAUUACAAUUUUAAUUGUACAAAUAACAAUAAAAAUAGAAUAAUGGCGAUGCUGAAGGAGGAGAAGGAGGUUAGUCGUUCUUGGGAUCAUAGGACCAAAAAAGAGGCGCACAUGUAUCAAUCAUCUGUGAUCUCAUGUCCAAGACCAUUUGAAUAAGUUGUUCAUAAUCCGUCGAGAGUUGAUUAUAUUUCUCGGUGAGAUGAGUCGUGUGUUGUUUUAAGGCCAUGAACUCCUGAGACUAAGUGGUCGAUAUUGAUUGGAAGCUUCCAAUAGUUGAGACAUUAUGGGCCACCCGCAAGUUCUCGACUGUAGUGUUAAAGAGUCCGUACACCCAAUUUCUAUCGGAUCCAUCAAACGAUCAUGCCUCUAUCCAUAAAUUCAAAUCAAAAUCCAGGUGGGUCGAAGGAUUGUCCCCGUAUCUCUCCCUCAACCGGAUAGUAUAUGUUUCCUGAAAAUUAAAAAAGAAAUCAUCGAAUUCAAUUUAAAAAAAUAAUAACUUACAAAAGAAAAUGGUUGAAUGAACAUACCAUGAAGUGUUGAGUGCGGUUAUCGACAAACUAUUGCACCCCCUUUUGGCAGUCUUCACUCCACAAGUGCAUCUCCAUAAAAAGCUCCAUUGGGCUCGGCUCACGUCCAAAAGACGUAGCCUGUAAGAAAACAAAUGUUUGCAAGUUAAAUAUAUUUAUAAAUAAUAAAAAAUUAAUUAAAAAUACAUGUCAUUAAAAUUAAUCUUACCAUCCGCUUCGCAUGUGCAAUCUACCUGAAAAUUAAAAAAGAAAUCAUCAAAUUCAAUUUAAGAAAAUAAUAACUUACAAAAGAAAAUGGUUGAAUGAACAUACCACAAAGUGUUGAGUGCGAUUAUCGACGAACUAUUGCACCCCCUUUUGGCAGUCCUCACUCCACAAGUGCAUCUCUAUAAAAAGCUCCAUUGGGCUCGGCUCACAUCCAAGAGACGUAGCCUGUAAGAAAACAAAUGUUUGCAACUUAAAUAUAUUUAUAAAUAAUUACAAAUUAAUUAAAGAUAUAUGUCAUUAAAAUUAAUCUUACCAUCCGCUUCGCAUGUGCAAUGUACGAAAUGGAGCUGCCGGUGUGCGUGGUAAUCGAACCAUGAAUUUGCAUGUUCCAGUUAUUGGCACUAGAUUCUGAGUGUCAUGUGAACCACUCAGACAUCACAUGUUGGAUAUAUUGCAUCCAUAUAUCCUCCGGGAUGUAUGGCGGCUUGCAAUCCGUCCUUACUGCCAGAUCAUUUAAUCCUUAUAAACCAUUAUUUCUAAUGUAUUUUUUUUUCUUUUUUAUGUGCUUCAUACCAAAAGUCACGCAAUCUACAUCCAUGAACGAAUUUUAUGAGUCAAUGUCAAAUUAGAUUAUAACAUAUAGAAUUUUUAAAAAAUAUAUGGUAUCAUUUUCUAUGUUACCUAAUUGCCGUGUGAUUCUCCCACACCCUCUUCGCAACAUUAUCACUCACAUUGUCCCACUCGAAUUUGUUUUGAGUAUAAAUAAUUUAUUAAAAAUAAAUCAAUAAUUUCAAUAUAACAUAAAAAUAGUUAAAAUUUGACAUUAACACUAACCUCAAAUCUUCUAAACCAUGCAUCAAGAUGUCAUCAUAAGUCGCCGCAGGUGCCUUUGCUUCAUCAGCACCUAAUGACACAUCAUCAUCACUGCUAAAAGAACUAACUGCGACCAUGUGCUCAUGAUAUUCUGUUGAUUUUGUUAUACGCAUCUACACAAAUUUCAUGGAUAAUUACAUAAUCAAAUUCGAUUUUUUUUUUAAAUAAAGCGGUAGCACCUCCCCUAUAUUGGAGACUACCCAAAUUAUUCAAACCUACAAAUAUAUUCAAUUAAUAUGCCACAAACCAGUUGAUUUUAUUCUAUUUCUACUAGAAAUUUUGAAUUAUUCAAUUUCAUCUCAUUUACAACGUGAUAAUAUAAUGUUUCUAAUCAUAAAAUCUAGAAACAAAUCGUAUAUAUAAGCUAACAUAUAUACAAAUUUAACAAUAAAAUAGAGAAAAAAAAUUAAAAUUUAUUUAUAUAUAUUCAACUAACAUCUAUACAAAUCUAACAAUAACAAUUAAAAUUCAACCAAACAAUCAAACACUCUAUUAUGCAAUAUAGACAAUAAAAUUGAGAUAAGACAUAUAAAGUUAAUCCUAUAUAUUCAAUUAACAUUUAUAUGAAAAAUUCAAUAAUUAAAUUAAAAUUGAACAAAAUAAUCAAUUAUUUUUGCAAUAAAAAUAAUAAAAUAGGCAAGAAAUUAAUAUUAAAAAACUAUAGAAUUUAGGAAUGAAAAAUGUUUACCUUAAUAGUGUGUUUACUUUUAUACUUUAUCUAUGUUCAAUACAAAAAAACAAUGAAAAUAUAUUGUUAAUAAACUGAAAAAAAAAGAUGAAAAAUAGAAAAGCAUAACAAGCGAGGAGAAUCACAAUACAUACCUUUUAAACUUUGAAGAUGAAAAUUGAACUACAAAUUGAAGCCAAAUCAUUUAAAUUCAGAGUAAAAACUACAAAGAUUCAAGAAAUGAACGAAAGAAAAAAAUAAAUUGAGGGGGUGCUCGUUGGGUUUUAUACUGUGUUUUUACCGAUGGAAUAUUAAUCCACCGGUGAUUCCCUCUGUAACGUCACUUUGAAAUCUUAAAUUUUGCACUAAAUUUUUCAAAAAACCCUCCAGAAUUUUAAUGGUUCGUUAGUAUUUCCCUUGUUAAUUUAAAAUAGUACACACUAUCAGAAAUACAUUAAUUACCCACGCUUUGGAUUACAUGUUGUUGCCGAUGGAAUCACCAACAAAUUAUUAAAUAAUAUUUUUCCAUCAAUGAUUCCCUCGAUAACUUGCAACUAAGUCAGAGGAAUCACUCGCAUGGGAUGUGAACAAUUCUCUCCGCCUCUGGACUAUACCAAUAGACACGAACCAUCAGUGUUUCGAUCAGUGAUUGGUGAAUAAUAGUCUCUUCCGCCUCUAGAAUACACCGACAGACUGUGUUCGUCAGUGUUUCCAUCAGUGAUGGGGGAUGUGAACAGUUCCCUCGCCUCUGGAAUUCAACGACGAACUGUGUCCGUUAGUGUUUUCCAUCAGUGAUGUGCACAAUGAAUGACAGAUUGUGUCUAUAAUCCCUGUAUUUCCUCUCUGCAAACACUUAAAUUGAAAGUUGCAUGCAUAACACAAUAAUUGCAGUUCACAUAAUACUUAUAAAAUAAUUAUUUAUUUGUACAAAAUUUCAUCCAUAAAUAUUACAUGAUAAAAAAUUCCUUUACACUUUCGUGUUUUGAUAGUUAGUCGAAAUUAUCUUCUUCUUCUUCAAUUGAAUUGUCAUCAGCUCCAUCGCAAUCUUCAACAUUGAUAUCAUCAUCAUUUUCUUCAUCGAUUUGUGCUUGUCUGAUGAAGCUCAGAACAACAUUCAACUCCUUAGCGUCAACAUUAACAAGACUAUUAUCGAAGACGUGAGAAUUUAAAUUUUCUUGUAAGUCAAUUAAUGGAGCAACUCGAUAUGGUUUAACCAACUCAUUAACUUGAAAGACAUCAUCUUCUACACUUAUAUCUUCGUUCUCAUCCUGAACAACCUCGACAUGACCCCUGGGUUUCAUUUUUAAAAUGAAUAACCAGUUAACUCUUGAUUGAUCCUUCAUAAAGAAAGAGGUACAUGUGUAAUAAACUUGUUGGCAUUGCUUGGCGAAAACAAAUACAUUGUUUACAUUGCGAGGUCUAGCUUUCGAGUUAAUUUUGACCAGACCAUAGUAAGGAUCUACUAUGAUUUCUCUGUCAGUGGUGUCAUACCAAUAAUAUUUGAAUAAGAACACUCUAUUAUGCUCGUUAUGAUAUUGCAAUUCAACGAUCUCUUCUAAUUUACCAUAAUAGUCAACUUCAAACUCAUUGCAAGACAAUCCCUUAACAUAAACACCAUUGUUAUAUGUUUUUCUUCCAUGCCCGUAUUCUUCAGUAUGAAACACAUAUUCAUUGACAAAAUAUUCGUUGUAGCACUUCAAUUUUCUUUCAGGACCCGAGCUUAGUAAAGACAAUGAAACACUAGCAUUCCUUUAUAUUUGAUAAACCUUAUAUAUCAAGUACAACAAUGAACAAUAAAUGAGAAUUCUAUAAUAAAAUUAAAUAUCACAGUACAUAUUUAGUUUGUGAUAGUACUUAUAUGUGUUUUGAACCACGUAGCAAAUUGUUCAUCUUGCAAUCAAAAGAUUUGAGAUUCGAUCAGGUGUGAGUUGUUAGACAAUAAAUAUUAUCAAUGUUGCCUAUAAGGUUUCAAAAUUGUAUGAGUUUGUGAUAUUACAUAAGAUGAAUAGUCCAUUUAUAACAAAGAUUAAAUAUUAGAUAUACUUACUGAAUAAAAGGUCUCUGUUCAUCGUCGUUAAAUAGCAUAUAAUUAUGUGCCUAUUUGAACUUUAUUUCAGAAACAUAUCUUUCCCUUACAACAUUUUUAGGAGUGGGUUGUCCAACAUUGAAGAAUAUUGACAAGUUUCCACUUCAAGGCAAUUCAUCACCAUCAUCAUGUCGUAAAACACGGUACAUUCUUGUUCUUAAAUAAGGCUCGAAAUAGUACGAGAUAAAUAUUGAGAUCUCCUCAACAAUAUAGGCCUCACAUAUCGAAGCCUUAACAUGUGCCUUGUUCUUAACAUUUUUUCUUAAAAUUAAACAAACACCUAUAUGGAAUUAAACAAAUAUUUUUAAUUAAGAAAAACAAUAAAAACACAUUAAUAAUUUCAUUACAUCUGUAAUAUCUAACCUCUUGAAUGGAUAUAUCCAUCUAUACUGGACUAGGCCUCCAAAUUUUGCCUCAUACGGUAAAUGUAUCGGUAAAUUCUCCAUCAAGUUAAAAAAUAAUGAAGGGAAUAUCAUCUCAAGACUACAUAUUGUCUCGACAAUAUUUGUUUGAAGCCUCUCAAUGUGAUGUGUUUGUAACUUGUUAGAGCAUAUAUCUCUAAAGAAAUUACUAAUCCCCAUGAGUGCAUCUCAUAUCCCAUUUGACAAUAAAUCACGAUAAACUAAUGGAAUGAGUGUUUGUAUAAACACGUGACAGUCAUGACUCUUCAUUCCAUACAAUCUGCAUUCCUCCAAAUUAACUAACCUUGAUAUGUCCGAGGCAUGUUCAUUGGAAAAACAUAGACUUUUAAGCCAUUAGUAGACUAGUAGUUGUGCAUUCUUCUUUAAGGCGAAGCUUGCUUUGAGCUUUACGACCCGUGACCCAUCAAAAACCAACUUCAUAUUUUUACAGUUACAAAACAACACUAUAUCCAUUCUAGACUUAAUGUCAUCCUUUGUCUACCCCUUCAAGUUUAUGACCGUGUUGAAAAUAUUCUCAAACACUUUUUUUUUUAUGUGCAUGAUGUCAAGGUUAUGGCGGAAGAGAUUAGUCUUCCAAUAAGAAAGCUCCUAUAAAAUAUUUUGCUUUACCCAUUUGUAGGUCAAACCAAAACCAGGAAACUUCUACUUACUGGAUUGGAAACCAAACACAAUGUCAUCGUACUUUGAUACCAUGUUAUGCAAUUCUUCAUCAGAAAGACAUGGGGGUGCAACAUCCUUUUCAACUCUGCCAACAAAAAAAUCGUUUAUGUUCUUUCUGUACCUGUCAUUUUUUGCAAAAAACACAGAUGUCAGUAAAAAAAAGACGUUUUACCUCCAUUUAUUAGCGUGGAUGCCUUGUUGUUUUCCAUAUAGUAUGGAUAUGCUAGUUUUCAUGUGUGUUCUAACUAGAAACCAUUUCAUAAGUUGAAAAAUCAUUGAUAGUCCACAUCAAAGCUGCCUUCAUAAGAAAAUUAUGUUUUCUCGAUACAUCAUAAGUCAAAGCCCUGAAUGAACACAACUAUGUCAACUCAUCAAUCAACAGUUAAAGACUAACAUCUAUAUUCUAGCCUGAACUAUUAGGACCGGGUAUGACCAUAGAUAAAAAUAUGAACUCCAACCUCAUACACAUCCUCAGUAGCAAGUUGUAAAUCGUGAGUAUAACCAGCCAACAAGACUAAGGAGUACCAAAUGACCUGAAUGGGUUGAAUUUGUAUGUACAUAACCCAAGACACACGUUACUUGAUUCAAAUGAAAAGUGAAGAUGCUCACUGUUAAAGUGUUUCCAUGCUUCACUGUUGUCAUAACCUAAUUUUUGAAUAAAUAUUAAAAAAAUGAUAAUAGUUGAGAAUUGGGUCAAGACAACACAAAUUCAAAGUUCAAGGUUGAAAUUUUUAAAAUUUAAGAGUCAAUGGUCAGAAAUUGAAGAAUUAAUAAGAUUGAGAAUUUAAUUAAAAUUUGAAUUAGUUUAAUUAAUGAAAUCAUGAGCUUAAUUAAAGAAUUGAUGAGUUUGAGGACUUAAUUAAACUUUGAUUUAAUUAAUUAAAGGAAUCAGGUGUUCAAUUAAAGAAACACCAAAGUUUGGAGCUCAUACAAAGAAAAAUUAUUGGAAAAUUAAAGUCCAAGGACCAAAUUGAAUAGUCUAGAAACCCAGGACUGUUGUGUAAAUGGCACUAUAACUCAGGGUUCAAUUGAAAUAUAACUCAGGGUUCAAUUGAAAUUAAUCCAAGGGAAUAAUUAGAAAAUUAUUAUUACUGAUUGAGAUCCAAAUUGUUGAAUUUAAAAGGUUUAGGGACCAAAUUGAAAAUAGUUAAACAGUGCCGUUUGCAAAACUGUUCGUCAUCCCGUCCAUUUCGCCAGGGCAGCCGAUUCAACAAGAAAAUCACAGUGCAUCCGAUCCAAAUCGUGACCAUGUCUUCUGCCACGAUCCCGGUCGUGGAGGAGAUGGUUUUUAAAGAUCUUUGGCCUUAUAAAAGGCAGGGGGAAUCGAGAAUGGAAAGAGGGGAAAUCAGACAAAAAAGAGAGCAAAUAACAGAGAAAAAGCUAGUCGAAAAUCAGAGGGAGAUAAAACAGAACCGGGAAGGGGAUUUUGACAGAACUGAGAAAACGGAAAAAAACACAGAGAGAAGGGGAGAAAGGCCUCAACAAUAGAGGAGAAAACAAAAGCUAAACCCAGAGGGACAAAAGCCAGAGAAUAAAAACCCAGAACACAGGGGAAUGAGCAGGGGAACGAGGAGUGACAGACGAAAAUAGAGAAGGAGUGAACCAGCAGGAGAUAGAUCACAAAAUGAAUAAAAAAGAAAUAGAGGACCAGAAGGGGAUGAGAGCAAAAACAGAGUAGAAAUCCAGAGAAACAAAAAGGGCACAAAUUCACAGAAAAGAGGAGCGAAAAGCAAAGGAACAACCAUUGUCUUCGUUCCUGCAAAAAGAAAAAAACAACCCAGAAAUCAGUCAAAAUAAAUCCAACCAGCGUCUUCAUCAUCUUCUUAGUUUCUUCAUCAUCUCAAAAGCUAUUGGAACACGAAAGCAAUCGGUCAACACAGAAGCAAAGGAAAGCAGAAGGAGCAGAGGAGAAGAGAUAGUAUCGGCCAGUCAGAGCUUCGCCAUCGUUUCCAUUGCCUCUAAGAUCAAGUUAUCGAGUUCUUGCAUUGUUUCAGUGAAUUAUCAUUUACACUGUGCAAGCGAAUUUUAAUUCACUUGCACAGUGUAGCAACACGCGUGCGUUAGCGCACGCUUGUUGCUGAGCCCAGUCAGGCCACUGGCUUAGGCGAGUGGCCGAGUCGGGCUGGCUGAGCUUAGCCCAGCCCAUGUGGGUUGAGCUGGGCCCAGCCAAAAAUUAUGUUGCCCAAAAAAAAACAGAAAAAUAAAAAAGGUAGAAAAAAAAAUUAUGUAUGUAUGAAUAAAAAUAAUGUAAAUUUAUUGGUUUAUUCACUGACAUGAGAGUCAGGAACAAAAAUACCGGUUUUAAUUUAUAUUAUUUUUAUUCAUUUUAUUUUAUUUUAUUUAGCUAGAAAAAUAAAAAAAUAUGUGCAUGCAUAAAAAUAAAUUUAUUUUCAUUUAUUUAUUCACUGGCGCUAGAGUCGGGAAUAAAAAAUAUUAAUCUAAUUUAUUUUAUAGCUACGUGAUAUUUACCAACGCCGGAGUUGGAAGUAUCUGUAGUUGAAUAUUCAUUGGUGCCAGAGUCAGGAAUAUUAUAAGCAAAUUAUCAUAGCGUAAACUAAUAAACAUUUAGCAAUUUAAGACGAAACUAGCAAUGCAGCCUGCCUCAGGCUGGAUGUUUUAGGGGUGAUAAUAUCUUCCUUUAAUGUAACCAGUCCCGAACCAUAGAAUCUCUGUUGACUAGUUAGGGUUCCUAGUGACCAUAAUACUAGGUGGCGACUCCUUAAACAAGACCAUUGCCCAUCAAAGAAAAGGAUGCCAGAAAUCCAUUCUUUUCCAAAGAAAAAUACUAUUUUUAAGGCCACCGCGAUGUCGGGUGCGACAACCGUCAGAAGGAUGCACCAUCACUCCAUUCACUGCAUCAUGUGAUUGGUGUCAUAUUAUGUGUUUUGUAAUCUUUGGUGACAUGAAUUACCUCUGCAAUCUAGGUGUGAUUGAGAAGUAUCGAAGUUUUUUAUAUGCCACAAGAGUCUUUCUCAUGCCAGUUAUGGGUUUGUAACGAGAAUGCUCAUAUAUCAUGCACUCGGUCAGCUCAAUUCAAGGUAGUACAACAUGCAAAAGUUUGGACACAUGUCAAUUUUCUGGUAUCGUAAACCAAGAGGUUUCAUCAUGGACUUAGUAGCAUAAAAGUUCUCUUUUAGCUUGUUUUCUUCGGGUAAAAUGCUUCUCGCCCAUUCUAUAAUUCUAUCAUAAUCGGUCUUACUCAACCCAUAAUCCGACUUGAUAAUAAACAACUAUGUAACAACCGAUAAUUUACUGUGAUUUAUACAACCAUUCCAUAAUGGUUGUCAUAAUCUUUCAACAUAUCAAAAAACCUGGUCGCGUCUGAAUUAGGUUCUUCUGGCUCGAUUGGACAUUGACUAACUGACACGACCAAAAGAUUGAUGUCUUCUCCCAAGUACAGGAGUGUCGAAGUAAUAAAUAACCCGGCAAGAUCGGGGUCAAACCACAAAGAGGUUAAUUGUACAAAUUAUAAAUAACAAUUAUAAAUAACAAUAAUACAACAACAACAGUAACAAUAAUAACAACAAUAAUAACAAUAAUUAUAAUAGUAAUAGUAAUAGUAAUAAUAAUAAUAAUACUCAGUACGUGGCGUUGUUAUACCUGAGAAUGAUCUAAAAGAUCGGGUCACAGGUUUCCAGCCUAUAUACUGAAUUUAUGAAAAGAUUAAAGAGAUAUAUUAUAUAAUAUAAACAGAAUGUAAAUAAUAGUAGUAGUAGUAGUAGUAGUAAUAGUAAUAAUAAUAAUAAUAAUAAUAAUAAUAAUAGUAGUAGUAGUAGUAGUAAUAGUAAUAAUAAUAUUAAUAAUAAUUGUCAUAACCCAAUUCUGGGUUAUUCCCCAAAAAUCAAUUUCUUUUUUCAAAAUAAAAAUCAAAAAAUAAAAUAAAGGCUGACAACGUGGAGAAGGUAGGUCGGGAAAUCAAGCUGCAAUUUUUAGAAGAAUACAAUGCAAAUUCAAGGUCAAAUUGAUUAUAUGCAAUUUGAGAAGAUUAGAAUUUUAAGAGACCAAAUUUAAUUUUUACCAAGUUGAUUGAUUGAAAUCAGGGAUCAAAUUGCAAGAAAAUUGAAGUUUUGGGGUCAAUUAGGGGUUAAAUUGACAAAAUCCAAAGACAAGGACCAACUUGCAAAAGGCGCCAAACUAUAGGGGUCUAAUUGACAAAAUCCGGGGGUAAAAUUGAAAGACAUUGAACGCUGGAGGGAUAAAUUGAAAAUCAGCAAAAAGCCCUAAUUUUUAUCCCAAACGGCGCCAUUUUUGUGUCGAGGGAAGGGACCGGUUACUGUUCAUCGUCUUCCUCACAAAGCUGCCCGAGUGGCUGUUUUCCAGGCGCGUUUUCUCACUCGUUUGGCCCCCAAAUCCGACAAGGCGUGCACCAACAUGUUCCCCGGAAACAUCGUUAUCUCGUAGAGGGGUCUGGUCGGGUGGAAAAACUUUGGGACAGCUCCGUUUAUAGGCCCAAAGUGGCACCCUCGGGCAGUCUGCAGCCUUGGAUUGCCAAAUUUGGCAGUUCGAGGGGCACACUUUGAACCAACGGCUUGGAUUCCUCGAGUCGAAUCAAAGGCUGAGACUUUUUCCCCGUUGAACACAAGAUUACCCCCUUUCCAUCCCUAUAAAUAGGAGCCAAUUUAAUGCUCUGGAGGAGGAGAAACCUGAGCUCAAAGUUGGACAAAAAUCAGUUUUUCCUGCCCGGUUUUCCUGCAACCAGCCCUCUCUUUCCUUUUCCUCUCCGCCGUGGCCUCUAGCCGCCACCACUGAUCUCGCCACCGUCCUUCCCACGAAACACCACAUCCCAUCCAUCACCCAGCAACCUCACCGAAGUCUGCAACACCUCUCUCUCUCUCCCGCUCUUCCCUGCAAAACUUCUUUUUUUCUUCACCACCGCAACCCAGCAGCAGCAGCAGCGAAACCACCCUUUCCAGCGGCUUCCACCUCGACCAGAAGCUUCUGCCUUUCCCAGAGACCGCCAGGACAGCAGCUCUCUCUCCAGCCGCUCCAACAUUUGCAACCGUGAGCUUUCCUUCUCCUCUGCAGGGUCUGUUUCCUUCUUCUUCCAGCCGGGACCAGUGCACGCCGCCGGCCUCGCCGCCUCCAGUCACACCGCGCACCACCAGCCAGGCUGCUGACUCUCUCCACGCCAGGUAACUCUCUCCUCCCUGCUCCAUUUUUUCUUCUUCAUUCUUCGUAGCCGCUGCAUGCAGAAUUCAUUUCUGCAUGCAGUGGCUAAUUAAUUAGUCACUUGGGCCGGGCCGGUUCUGGCCUAGCCCGGCCCAACAAAAUAAAAUAAAAUAAAAUAAAUAAAUAAAUUUCAAAAAUAUUCAAAAAAAAUCAUGUAAAAAUUUGUGGUUUUCUUAAAUAUUUUUCCACCAAGUUUUGCAUAAUAUCGAGUUGUAUAUUUACAUUGUAAAAUACAAAUUCGGUUUUAAAAUACCUGGUUUUCUCCAUUUUAUUUACAUUUUCGAAAAGAAAAAAAUAUUUCAUUGCAUACGGCCAGAUUCUAAAAUUUUUCCAAGCAUAUUUUUCAAAACAAAAAAAUACAAAAAAAUGAAAAAUUGCAUCUUUUUCAUGUCUUUAAAAAAAUAAAAUGGAUAUCGUAACCAGUUUAUGAUUUAUCCAUUAGGAUUUGGCCAACAUGUCAAAAAUAUUUUUCCAAUCCUUUUUAGGAUCCAAAUGUAGACUUUAAUAUUUGUGGGGUGUAAAUUACACGAUAAAGUACACCCUCAGGUAUUAAAGAUACAAGGUGAAGACAUGCGAUGUUAAAAUUCAGAUUUUAGAACGGUUAGGAUUUAACCCAAUAAGGUAGAGACUUUCUCAUGAAGAUAGAUCUACCUUGAACCUUAGAAAGACCAAUGAAUAGAGACUCGACCUAUAAAAGCAAUCAAACAAUAAUGCAGCUUGCCUUAGGUAGGGUGCACUGGGGGUGAUGCGUCUUCCCCUUGCACAACCAGUCCCUUACUCAGACUCCUGUAAACCUUAGGUUCCUAGUGACCAUAAUACUAGGUGGCGACUCCAACGAACCAAGCAAAACACAAAUAAUAAAAAAUCACCAAUCGAUGUCGUGCGGAAUUUUUCGACGUACGACAAUAAUAAUAAAAGAAGAUGAAGAAAUCAAUGAGAACUUUGAGAUGAAAGAUUAAUGUAAGGAUUAAACAAUGAUAAAAACAAAUGUCAAGGUUAGAGGAUCCACUAAUGGUAUUUCAAACAACUAUAGUAUAAACUCUUAUUACUCAAUUUGGAAACCACACACGGAGGAGAUUCCAAUCGGAUGAUUUGUCAUUAAUAGCUCAGUAUAAAUUAUUAACAUGAUCAUAUUAAUUAUCUUAAUUACAUAACACCAAACUUUUAAAUAUUGUCAGGAAUUCAUGAUGUUAACUAAUGUUAACAACAAAUCAAGUUCCUUUCAUAGCACAGGUGUAGGUAAUACCAUACGGUUGGGCUAUGAGAGUGCCAAGCAUUUGUUGUACCAAGUGUUAUACAACACAAAUCUAGAUUAACCAUUUAACAAGCAAGGUAUUAAGAAUUAGUAAGAUAAAAAGAUAAGACAUGUUAAUAUUAAACAUUAAGGUCCAUGUUGAGUUUACACUAUACUUAUUCUUACACCAUUAGUGUAACCUUUUCACCUUGACAUAAUAAACUUAGCUAAACAUAAUGAAGAAGAGAAACAUAAAUAAACAAAACAAGAACAUAAAGAAAAUACAAGUUAACUAAGUAAAGGAAAGGAAAUGAAAAGCAUAAACAAGAUAUUAAUGAAAGCAAAACUUAAAAUUACAAAAAAUAUAAAGAGAGAAAUAAAGAGCAUGACUUGAUCUGAACAACCAAGCCCCAAAUACAUGGCAAAUGCCUCCUUUUAUAGGCCAAAAUUCGGAAUUAUUGAUUUGAUGACUAAUUGUUGAGUGGGUGGCCAACUUUGACUUGGUGAAAAUCCUUAUCUUCUUGUCUGAAUAAAACAAAAUGCUAGCAUCAAACUGGGUCCACUGAAAACAUGAAAGUUGUAGGAAAUUGACUAGCUUUCCAGGAAAAAAAAUGGAGGUCAUUUGGACUUCUAGAACUCCAGAUAUGGGCCAAACACUGAACAUGUUCGGGCUGCAGGAUAGAUUCAGACUUCUCCAUUGUUGCUAUAAUUUGGACUUGAAAACGGCCUUCUUAGAUCUUGGUGUCCAAAUAAAAGUUGUAGACCUAUGUCUUACUGAAUCUGUGUAAAAAUUUGAGGUCAUUUGGAUAUCUAAAACUCGAUAUAUGACCCAAUUACUGAACAGUGUUCCAGUUUGGACUGCACCAACAUCUCUUUUCUAAGUUUCACCCUCUCUUUAUCUUCACAAAUUUCAGUUGAAUUCAUCAAUCAAUCCUUUGAUUUAUGUGAUAGGCCUGCAUUUAAGAUGAACAUUUACCAUAUAUUAGGCAUUUUAUAGUAUUAGACUUGUUAUUAUAAAACAUGCUUUAGUUAAGGAGUUAUUGAUACUUUAAGUGCAAAAUGAUGAUAUAAAACCUUGAUAAAUAUGCACUUUUAAGUACUAAUCACACCCCCAACCAGCUUAUUACUAGUCCCUAGUAAUCAAAGCGUUAAAAUAGAAAAACAAUUUGCAAAUUCCAUAAAGCAAGGCAUUCAUCAUUCAACUUACUUUAAUUUAUCCAGAUAAACAAACUCUCAUUAAAUUCAUAUAUCUGCUCAAUACCUCUUAAACAAGAUAUUACUAAACCUUUCUUUUGUGCUCAAAAUAUCAACAUAUAGUUAUGGGGCUUUACUUGGAAGAAAAACAAAUUUUUGUUCUAAUGUUUAAGGUUAACUUCCUUAGGUUGGGAUUAUUUUUUUUUUUUUUAUUUAUUUAUUUAUAUACAAUACAACUUGAAACACAAUGCAUCUUUAACCCAUGUAACGAGUUUUAGGCUAAUGACUCCCAGACCAGUUGGUCUUAGGGCAUUAGGUGUUGAGACACCCCUACGAGCUUAGCAACUCGGGUUGCAGAUACUGAUACGUAGAUAGUGCAAUGUUUGAUUCCCUUAAGCUUUUCUCCUCAACCCAUGUAACAAGCGUUGGGCCAAUAGCUCCCAAGUCAGUUGACUUUAGGGUAUUAAGUGUUAAAACACCCCUUCGGGCUUAAUUGCUUAGGUUAGGGAGGCUACGAAACCAAACUUAUCUACCUUUUUAUUAUCAUUUUUUUUUUUUUUUGCAAAUUAUAUACUAUCCCUUUCCCUUAGUUGUUACCUUUAACAAAAGAACAUAAAUAAUGUAAUGAUCCGAUGUGCAACCCACAAUCAUAUGUUAAAGUGUGUGUGUGAAAAUGAAGAUUUAAAAUACUUGUUAAAUGAGCAUAUGAGCAGAAUCAAGUGCUACAAUACGAGAGUUUGUAAACCUGAAUAUUUCAAGAAGUAUUCUGAUAGACCUUGUUAAGAAUGUUUACUAAGAUGCGUCUCAAGAGUCACUUUAACAAAAGAACUCCUUUUACUCUGCCAUCCUAGUAACAACAGUUUUGCAAAUAGUUUAUGAAAUAGAAAAACACAUUUUUUUUUUUAAAUAUCAACUACUACCCUUUCCCCCCAACCAAAAUGAGACAUUGUCCUCAAUGUCUUAAGGUAGAAAGAUAGAGUAUAGAAGACAUCACCUGAAAUAACGAACACUGACAAACCUGAAACACACUUAAACAAAUAUAAGAAACAACAAAACACAUAAUAAAACCAAAAGACACAAAGUUUUUACAAACGAAGGCUCAAAUCCAAUCUAAGCUUUUUACGGCUUUCCUUAGUUGACCAAUUUAUGCGACUCAUGGAGGGAUUAAUUACAGGGAUGAAAGAUUGUAGUUGGUCAAUCAAUUGUUCAGCAGUAGCAGCAGAGAUUAUGAUUUGUCGUGCUGAAGAUGUUAGAAAUUCUGUUCCACAGCAUGAUCAAGAAAAGACAACAACUUAUCAUAAAAACCAUUAACAUUUAAAAACCUAUGGGUUUAUGGUGAAUGUGCAGUUGGGCCCAAGAGGAAAUAUGAAAGAUCUCUUCCAAUGUGCCCAGACCACCUGGUAAGGCAAUGAAGGCAUCACAUGGUUAAACAUUGUAUUCAGUCGAUCAGACAUUGUGGGACCUGUAAUUCCUCUCCAAUUGUUUUUCCAAUGAUGUCCCCUUGUGCUAAAGCUUUGGGGACAACCCCCAAAACUUGACUACCUCCUAAAAAUGCAGCUUUGACACUCCCCCCAUUAACCCAAGGCUGCCUCCUCCAUACACUAAAUGAAUCUUUCGCUCAGCUAGUACCUGACCAAGAUGAUUUGCUGAUUCUAAAAACUCUUUUUCUUUCCCAGGACUGGAUCCCGAAAACACAAAUAUUUUUAUUGAUGACUUGAGGAACCUGCCAUUUCUACACACUUCUGUAUUUGAUGAAUGUAUGGGUUGAGUAGAAAUGAAGGGAAAGAGAAGAAUUUAUAGAUGAGAAAUUGAAAAUGCAAUCAUAUCACCUAUAUGUAGGCCAGUGUAGUCUCACUCUCUCUCUCUCUUUCUUUAUUUAUUUAUUUAUUUUGAAAAAGCAUGUGUAUGUACAGGUAGUUGUGAUUGUGGCUCACAUCUUUCCUUGGUUUUACGUCCAAGAACGGCUUAAACGCCCUCUAUGGGUCGGGGAUAGGCUUCCCAUCCAGUUUUCUUAAAAACUGGCAAACAAGUCUUUUUUUAGUCAGAUUCCCAAGACUAGUGAGCAUGUUCUUUAUGAAAAUGGGUCAUAAAUCAUGAAUUGCCGAUGCACAUCUCCACUAUGAUGAGACUUAAGAGUCAAUAGAAGAUUAUCUAAAGACUCUCUAUGUUUUGAAGUAAAUCCUACCUUUUGAUAAUUUUCACAGGUUUUGCAGAAUGCAUAUAAGUCCUUGAACAUAGUGGGCUAAUAAAAUCCACUUUGUAAGAUUUUUGUACUCGUCUGUUUUUGACGAGAAAUGAUCCCCACAUGCUUUAGAGUGAUAAAAUUUAAUGACACUACUUACCUCAUUGUCGGGAAUGCAUCUUUGAAAUAUUUGAUCAGGACAAUAUUUGAAUAAGUAAGGGUCAUCCCAAUAAAGGUUUUGCACGUCGCUCAAAAACUUUCUUUUAUCUUGGUUAUCCAAAUGAGCUGGCAAAAAUCCUGAAGCAAGAAAAUUGUUAUUUUUAGCAAACCAAGGCAUUGAACUAAGAGAAAGUAAAGAUUCAUCAGGAAAGUAAUCAUUGAUUGGUGUGAUGUCAGAUGUCGAAUCUAUUGUCAACUUUGACAAAUGAUCCGCGACAACAUUUUCGGUGCCUUUUUCAUCAUCGAUUGCUUCCUGUUUGGUCAUGGCAUGAGGAAAUGGAAGUGCUGGUGGGAAAUCAGUCUUUUCUUUGCAAUGUUCAGAUUCAACCCCUUCCUUACCCUCAGAGAUUGAUUCAUCAUCUUUCUCACAAGGUUCAAGAGUGGGUUUUUCAAUAACCUUACCACUGCGAAGAGUGAUGUCUGAUUUGACUUGAUCCAUGUGUUGACUUCUGGAACUACUUGCAUUUACAUUGUAUUUCUCCUUUGGAUUUUGCUGUGGUUGAGAUGGAAACUUACCGUUCUCUUGAAAACUGAGAGCAGAUGUUAACUUUGCAAGAGUAUCUUUAAAACCUGUCAUUUUGAGCAAGUUGAGUGUUGAUUAUCUCUUGCUUUUCAAUGAAUGAAUGCAAUGUUUCCUCAAGAUUUCUUCUAGGAGGUGGAGCAUAAGGAGGUGCAUAUCCAUGAGAAUUUUGGAAAUUAUGGUGUGCUUGAAACGAUGGCUGUGAAGUUUGUGCAUUAUUGUUAUCACUCUUCCAACUAAAAUUUGGGUGAUUUCUCCAACCAGGAUUGUAUGUUUGCGAGUAUGGGUUAUGAUUGGGCCUUUGGAAACUGUUUAAAGCAUGGCUUGUUCAUGGAGGCAUUCCUUGAAAGAAGGCAAAGUUGGACAAUCAUUGGUUGCAUGUUCAUUUGUUUCACAGAUUUGACACACAAUGUCUUGAACAGAUUUUAAUUGACCACUCCUUUUCAAUUCUAGUGCCUCGACUUUUCUAGCUAAAGAUGCAAACUUGGAUUGGAGGUCAUGAUCUUCCCUAAGGUUAUACAUACCUCCAUUAGAUGUAUGAGGUUGAGUUUUACUUGGUGCCUCAUAAGUGCCCGUAGUGUCCCAAUUUUGAGCAUUUUCAGCUAGCAAGUCUAGGUACUCCAUUGCUUCAUCAGGGUCUUUAUCUUCAAAAGUUCCAUUGCACAUCAAUUCCACCAUUUGCCUAUCUUUAGGUGUUAAUCCUUUAUAAAAAUGUGAAACCAAUCUCCAUGUUUCAAAACCAUGAUGAGGGCAAGUAUUAAUCAAGUCUCGAUACCUAUCCCAACAUUGGUAAAAUGUUUCUCCUGGUUUUUGAGUGAAAGUGGUGAUUUGUCUUUUGAAAGAGUUUGUUCUGUGAGAUGGAAAAAACUUCUUUAAAAAUUGUUGUUGCAUUUCAUCCCAAGCACGAAUGGAUCCUGACCUAAGAUUUUGUAGCCAUGUUUUAGCUUUAUCUUUUAAUGAAAAAGGAAAAAGCUUUAAUCUAAUGGUAUUCAUGCUACAAUUUAAGUCAUUAUAUGUGUAACAAACUUCUUCAAAUUCUCUCAAAUGCAAGUAUGGAUUUUCUAGAUCUAAGCCAUGAAAAAAAGGUAAAAGUUGAAUAAUGUCUGGCUUAAAAUUAAAAUGAGAUGCAUCAGGAGGAAAAAAUAUACAUGAUCGCGCAAUUGUUCUUAUUGGAUUCAUGUAGUCUCUAAGUGUUCUAACCCGAUUAUUCUCAUUAUAAAGCGAUUGAUUAUCCUCUUCGGCCAUGUUUUCUAAAAAUGAUGAGGAUACCCUACAACGUCUACCACUUAAUGUAAGUGACCAAACACUCAUGCACGUAUAGAAAAAGAAUAAAAGGAAGAAGAAAACAAAAGAAAAAGAAACAAAGUUAGAUACAAGAAAAGUGAAAAGAAAAAAAAUAAAAUAAAUAUUAUACUUUAUACAAGAAUUUACCUCCCCGGCAACGACGCCAAAAACUUGACACGACCAAAAGAUUGAUGUCUUCUCCCAAGUGCAGGAGUGUCGAAGUAAUAAAUAACCCGGCAAGACCGGGGUCGAACCACAGAGAGGUUAAUUGUACAAAUUAUAAAUAACAAUAAUACAACAACAACAGUAACAAUAAUAACAACAAUAAUAACAAUAAUUAUAAUAGUAAUAAUAAUAAUAAUAAUAAUACUCAGUACGUGGCGUUGUUAUACCUGAGAAUGAUGUAAAAGAUCGGGUCACAGGUUUCCAGCCUAUAUACUGAGUUUAUGAAAAGAUUAAAGAGAUAUAUUAUAUAAUAUAAACAGAAUGUAAAUAAUAAUAGUAAUAAUAAUAAUAAUAAUAAUAAUAAUAGUAGUAGUAGUAGUAGUAGUAGUAGUAGUAGUAGUAGUAGUAGUAAUAAUAAUAAUAUUAAUAAUAAUAAUAAAAGAAGAUGAAGAAAUCAAUGAGAACUUUGAGAUGAAAGAUUAAUGUAAGGAUUAAACAAUGAUAAAAACAAAUGUCAAGGUUAGAGGAUCCACUAAUGGUAUUUCAAACAACUAUAGUAUAAACUCUUAUUACUCAAUUUGGAAACCACACGCAGAGGAGGUUCCAAUCGGAUGAUUUGUCAUUAAUAGCUCAAAAUAAAUUGUUAACAUGAUCAUAUUAAUUAUCUUAAUUACAUAACACCAAACUUUUAAAUAUUAUCAGGAAUUCAUGAUGCUAACUUAUGUUGACAACAAAUCAAGUUCCUUUCAUAGCACAGGUGUAGGUAAUACCAUACGGUUGUGCUAUGAGAGUGCCAAGCAUUUGUUGUACCAAGUGUUAUACAACACAAAUCUAGAUUAAGCAUUUAACAAGCAAGGUAUUAAGAAUUAGUAAGAUAAAAAGAUAAGACAUGUUAAUAUUAAACAUUAAGGUCCAUGUUGAGUUUACACUAUACUUAUUCUUAUACCAUUAGUGUAACCUUUUCACAUUGACAUAAUAAACUUAGCUCAACAUAAUGAAGAAGAGAAACAUAAAUAAACAAAACAAGAACAUAAAGAAAAUACAAGUUAACUAAGGAAAGGAAAGUAAAUGAAAAACAUAAACAAGAUAUUAAUGAAAGCAAAACUUAAAAAUUACAAAAAAAAUAUAAAGAGAGAAAUAAAGAGCAUUAACUUGAUCUGAACAACCAAGCCCCUAAAUACAUGACAAAUGCCUCCUUUUAUAGGCCAAAAUUCGGAAUUAUUGAUUUGAUGACUAAUUGUUGAGUGGGUGGCCAACUUUUGACUUGGUGAAAAUCCUUAUCUUCUUGUUUGAAUAAAACAAAAAUGCUACCAUCUGAACUGGGUCCACUUGAAACAUGAAAGUUGUAUGAAAUUGUCUUAGCUUUUCAUAAAAAAAAAAAAUAGAGGUCAUUUGGACUUCUAGAACUCUAGAUAUCGGCCAAAUACUGAACAGUGUUCGGGCUGCAGGACAGAUUCAGACUUCUCCAUUGUUGUUAUAAUUUGGACUUCAAAACGACAUUCUUAGAUCUUGUUGAAAACAUGAAAGUUGUAGGUCUAUGUCUUACUGAAUGUGUGUAAAACUUUGAGGUCAUUUGGACAACUAGAACUCGAGAUAUGACCCAAUUACCGAAUAGUGUUCCAGUUUGGACUGCACCAACAUCUCUUUUAUAAGUUUCACACUCUCUUUAUCUUCACAAACUUCAGUAGUUGAAUUCAUCAAUCAAUCCUUUGAUUUAUGUGAUAAGGCUGCAUUUAAGAUGAACAUUCAUCAUAUAUUAGGGCAUUUUAUAGUAUUAGACUUGUUAUUAUAAAACAUGUUUUAGUUAAGGAGUUAAUGAUACUUUAAGUGUAAAAUAAUGAUAUAAAACCUUGAUAAAUAUAUAUUUUUAAGUAAUAAUCACUGGACAGCCUGUCAUUACUCCACUUGUAAAACUUCAAUAAAUAAUUUGGCUAUUUUGUGCUAUUUGCACAUAAAGUUAGUAGUGAAGGUAAUUAAGUCUAUUUAGCAGAUUAUAUUUAUAUAUAUAUAUAUUUCGUUGCAAAUCUAUUAUUAAAUUAGCAAAUAAAUUAUCUGUUACUACAAUCUAUGCUAAUAGCCCCAUUUUUUUCAGUAGUAGGUAAUUAAUUAAGAAUAGCAUGUGGAAAAAGAAAGUAUAUAUAUGACAGGCAAGAAGGGCAACCAUUAUCAUCUUAUUGAGUAUGUUUCCCAUCAUGGUGGGUCUUAGCAUGAUGUUUCCCAUCAUAUGGUUAUAUUUCACUUUUCUCUUCUUUUCUUUUUGAAAGUACAUUUCACUUUUUACUUUUUGUUUUGGAGAAUGCACGAGCUUAAUAAAAUUACUCUCAUGAUCUGCUUUUGACAAUAAAAUAAAAUAUCACAUCACAUAUGAUAUAGUAUUCUUAUGGCGUUGAGAAAAAGAAAUUUGAGACCUACAAUAUACAUUUUGUAUCUUAGAUAGACAUAUUAAAAAGCAAUUUUAUAGUAAUUGUUUUUUAAAUAAUUAAACAGUCACGCAUAUAAGAUUAAUUAUCAAGAUUAUGAUAUAUCGAGAUAAUAAUACUUAAUAAUUAAUAGUAAUGAUGAUAUUUAAACUCAUAACCACUUUAACUCAAAAGCUCAAAUUAACAAUUAAAUUAGAUAUACAAAAUUUUUUUUAAAUUGCUUAUUAAUUACACAGUACACACCACCUGAAAUUUAGAUAAUAACAAAUUAUCAUUUGAAUCUAAACUUUUUAUAUUAACUAAAUCUAUAGUACGCCCCAUUCAUACGUACAAGCCCUCAACGGAGUUUUUCAAUUAAAGAUUUGGACUAGCAAGAAGUCAAAAUGAUUUUACAUAGUAUUUCAGAGAUUCUAGAUAAUGAUUAUAUGUUAAAUGGAUUUAAUAAGAUUUUGGGAAAAUGAUGUAAAUAGUCUUUUAUAUAUAUAAAAAAACCCACCGAUCAACCCACUGAGCAUGUGAAAUUAAAAAUUUCAGAUGCAUGGAAGGAAGACCCCAUAAUGGAAACGAUGUUUGUUUAUCUUAUAAUUAUAUUUGGAUGCAGCCUUAGCUGGUUCACAGUCACCUGCUGACAGAUGCAUUCUUGAUAGUGCGAGGGAAAGAUUGUGCUUUCUUCGUUGUCGUUUAUUCCUUUACAAGACAGAUUCAUUAUUAAAACAUUUGACAUAUUUUUGCGUCAUUUGUUUUUAAAUGAAAUCACAUGUACUAUUUAUUAAAAAACAAAGAGAAAGAAACCCAAAACAGUACUGUUUUGAACAAUUCUAUAUAUUUUUUUCUUUUCCUGUCGCGCAAAGACAGGGGAAGAACGUUUUUCUUCCUCUUUUUCGCAGAGCCAAUUUCCCCUCUUUCUCUCUCUUCUAAAAACUCAAAACCAAGCAAGACCCACACCCAUUCAGCGUUAAAUACUAUAAUUGAAACACUAUGAUUGAUUCCUCACUUUCCAUGGCCAUGAGUUUCAGGCACAUGAAAGCCAGCAUUUGAUUAAGAGGAUCGAUGGCCCAGGUUGGACAGCCCAUCAUUACUCCACUUGUAAAAGUUCAAUAAAUAAUUUGGUUCGUGAACAUUGAAUUAUCAAACUAUUAAAGGAUCUAUACUUAUAAUAUAUUAUUUAUUGGAAUAAUUUUUAUAUUUAUUUUUUAUUUUAAUUUCACUGUUUAACAACACCAUCUUUUAAUUUUUUAAUAAAGUUUCUCAAAUUUAUGAAAUAGAUUACAGGUUUGUUAGAUUGAUGAAAGUUGACACAAUUUAAAUUUUAAACCAUGUUUAACAUUGAAUAUGUUUUUUAUAAUUAUUUUUUCUUCUCAAGUAGAUACUCACAUUGAUUUAAAAUAAUUAAAAAAAAACUUUGGCUGAGAACACAAAUUGGCUUUUAAAAAUUACGUGAGAAUAUUUUACAAAUAUUUCUUAUUUACGUGAGAUGUUUUCCACGCGAGUAAUUAUUUUGCCAGAAUUGUGUCGUCAAAUAUUUCUCAUUUACAUGAGAUUUUUUCCAAGCGAGUAAUAAUUUUUCUAAUUAUUUUGUCAGAAUUUAUUGUUGCUAUUAAAAUAUUAAUGGUGUUAUUUAUUUAUUGCUAUUAAUAUUGUUAUUAUGAUUAUAAUAACAAUAUUAUUAUUAUUGAUAAAUAUAAAUAUAGCACAGCAUGGCAUGCAGCAUACAUCCAUUUAUGCCCAUCAAGCCAGGGACUACAAAAGCAUGACUAAACAGCGAUGAGAGCAGGAGUGAGCAACAUAUAUAGCACAGCAUGGCAUGCAGCAUCAACCAGAACACAUGGCAUAAGUCAGCCAUCAGAAACCACUAAAUUCAGCAGAGGGACGACCAACCAGAGAUCAAUAUCAGCCAAAACUGGUAAGGAAAUGGUUCUGUUCAUGGAAAUGCAACACCACGUAAAACACAACUUGGAAUUUGCGAAAUAGAACAUCAGCUAAAGUGCAAUUGUCUUCAAAAAUUCUUUUGUUUCUCAAAAGAAUUAACAGCAAAGAAAUAAAAAAUAAACAAUAUAAUCAAAAAUUGCUUACUUGGACAACCGGAAAGUUUGCUAAAAAAACAAAGCAUAAACAGUCGGAUGGAAAUUCGUCAAUUUCCUUUCUACUCUUUUCUCUUUUUCCUUUUUCACUUCACUAUUUUUCUCUCCCUUCCUUUCUUCCCUGAUUUUCUUUCUUUUAUAUUUUUAAUAUAAUUUCAAUUUUUAAUUACAAAACAAAAUAAAAAGGUUGGUGGCAAUUUGUAAACAAACAAAAUAAAGUAGAUGAGUAAAGCUAGUUGCGGGUCGAGGAGCGGACCGGGUCAGGCUAGAGGCUAACACAUGGAUCAUAAUGUAAAACGGUGUCGUUUAAUCACAAUAAAUACGAUUUUAGACUCUUUCUUUAAUUUCUUGUCUUCUAUGAUUUCUCCCUUCUCUCUUUAAACCCAGAAAACGACGAUGGUGGCUUUGUCGUACAUAUGUCUUUGCCUCGAGCUAUAAUAACAAUGCACAAGACUAGUGAUUUUAUUAUUUUAAAAAUUAAUUGUUUAAGUUGCCCAAUGAGACAGUAAUAGUUCAAGGAUGCCAGUCGAAAUGCCCCCUCAAGCAAACUAAUGCUUCCAUUUCUUUGAGUGAAAUGAACAAAAACAAUGGGUGAGUUGAAACUUGGGGCAUUGAUAACAGGGUCAGGUUCUGUGUCAGCAAUAAAGCCAACAGAAUUGCAUUGUUACAGGACGCGUUUUAGGACAAAUUACAAUCCAAUAGUAGGUUUUAGCACAAAAGAAACAGUUAUAUGCAUGCUUUUCAAUAAUAUAUGGGCACUUUUGAGUAGUCAAUUCAAGAACACUGAAAGUCAAUUGUUAAUUCCACUCUCUUGUACAAACCAUGCAAAUCUCACAAUAAGCUACUCUGAUAGCUGAUUGGAUUCACCAAUCUGUCGAUUUCAUGAGGAAUCCAUCGUUAUAUGCACUCAGAUUAGGAGUACUCAGCAGCGUACCAAGAUAUUGUACAGAGAACAGUAUAGAAUAGAAUAGGGUCUUAAUGGGAUUUAGGUGCUCUUAUACAUUGCCUUUGGUGCUCUCUCUCUUAUUCUUCUCUUUUGGAUGUCUUCUCCAGAUUUUUGGAAUUUGCUCUUUUAUCCACAAGAAAAAGGAGGCCUCAAUUAGCAUAACUUUCAUGUUUUUCUUGAAAAUUUAGCAUGUUUUAAGCCUAAGCCAACCCUUAUUCAUCUGUACAUGUUUUUCUGUUUCCUAGCACGUUAUCCAUCAAUGCAAGUUUACAUGAAGUUACAAGGAUCACUACAAUAGCAUAAAUAUACCUUUGUUCCAUUCUUAGAUCAACAUGCUGCUCCAUAACCAUCAACUACCCUUAUCCCAAAGACAGCCCCGUGUUGUGGAACAGCAUGAAUGUUUUGCCAGCAAGAAGCAGCUAUUACGCAAUUUAUGACAUCCCUUGCAAGCCUAUUUUUUUGUAGAAUUUAGUAAGAUAAAAGUGAUGAUAAUAUAUUAGAUAGUCACCAAGCAUGCAAUGGUAAGGCCAACAAAAGAAAAGUCCAUGUGUUCUUUUUGGUCAUGAGAAACUCAAUUCCUUAACAAAGGACCAUAGCCCUGCACAACCAUGUAACUUGCAAGACACAUCCAUUUUCUUAUAAUAAGUGACGCAUUUAGCAAGAGUUUUAUGGAUGUUUGGUUGUUGGAAAAAGUUUGAACCUUUGAUCUUAUAAUUUGCAGAAAGAGUUUUCAAAUGCAUAUCAAAGAGUUUCAUCUUCAUUCCUCGAGAGAAACUUAAGCUUUGGCUUUUAUUUAAAACACAACAUCCUAGCUAUAGCACUAAGAUUACAACUAUAAUAUUGAACCAUAGCUGCAAAUGGAAUUGGAAAGUGAAUAUCUAUGUGACAGUGGUUGUUGAGUGUGAGUGGGCGAUGUUUGUGUCACUGACAAAUCUAGAAAUGAAUGACAAGUCUUGCAAAGCGGUUAGUUGGAAGAUAACUUCCAUACAGAAUAAUGAAGAAAGAAAUCUAGUUCAAGGACUGAAAUCCUAAAAGGUACUCCUUUCAGCAUGCUUCGCCAAGGCACUGCCUUUGAUCUCGAGCCAAUAAAUAAAAAACCUCAGAAUCAUGAACCACAAUAUAUUUAGAAAAUGAAGCUUGAAACAAUUCUACAAUUGGCAUGCAUAAACCUGCUCAAACAUAUAAUGAACUGAGAAGACAGCUGCUUCCUUGACAGUUUGACAAAAAGGAAAAAAAAAGGUAGGAAAUGUACCCACAAAGAAUGCUGAAAAUCAACCUUGGUUGCCACUACUUGAGGGGUCUAAAGGCAACAUGAAUAUUAAGUCCAGCAAGCAAGAAAUUGUUCCCUUUGUACAAAAUAAUUCUCUCACGGAUGACUAAAUUGGAACAAGAUCAAUAGAUUAACAUAUCAGAUAUUAAGAAAAAACAAGGUAGAUGAUUGCUCUCCCUAGAAUAGUCAUUGUUUGUAUUUUAAUAGAUAAGUAAAUUCUGCUAUGAGCUUUCUCUACUAUGACUUUCUAUUGAAUCCAAAAUUUGAACAGAUCAAUUCAAUGCAACCCAAUUUCUUAUCAUAGGGCCCAGAAAAAGCUAAAAACAAAUCUCUUGAGAUAGCUUACGGCAUGAAACAAUUCAUUAUGUACCAUGAUCUUACAUUCAGAUUAUAUGGAAAAAUGAAGGAUGAGAGAAGUGUCGAUCUUGGAAUAGGUAGGGCAUUAGAAACUGUUCAAUCAGUACCUGCAGUACCCAGUUGACUUUGAACACCUCCAUAAAAAUCCCUGCAGUAGAGACACCAAAAUAACCAAACUUUUAACUCUAAAAGCCAUUUUACAGGUAUGACUAUUUCAAAACAUGAUCCACAUGAUAAAUAUUAUGUCACAUCUGUAUCCCAAAGAUCUCCAUUAUAAAAUUAAACUUAAGUCCCACACAUGAAACAUAGGAAUCAAAAGGGUCAGGAAAACUCACAAACAGUAUGCUAGCCAGAGAAAGGUAUGGCUGGGCAGCCAGUUUUGAAACACAGAUUGCCAGGACACCAUUAGACACUUCCUUUUCUUCUGCAUAUAAUUUCCUAUAAAUCUUGACACCCGGUUUGCCCUGUUAUACAAUUCAGACCUUAUAAAUUCAAGAACACAAUCACCAGUAACAAUUUUUUCAACAAGUCUCUCAUUUCAAACAAUACAGAUUUAAAAUGAUUUCUGGGAGCAAGGAGUGUAAUGUAAAGAUUCUUGCACAAAUGCAAACCGAAAUAUUUAGAAGUUUACAACCCAGUAACGGUUACGCACAAAUAACAGAAACCCUACUCCUUAUCCCUAACUAGCCAGACUAAAAUCUUGGAUUUUCCCAGCAUUAUAGGCAGUUACGAGGUAUGACAGCUUAUUCUAGCAAGUCAUCCUCGCUAUGUCUCAACUGAGAACAUCAUUUCGACAGCAACGCAUAAACAUCAACACAGAACUAGGUUUACCUUCUUCAACAGUUUUAACUCCAGGAAGGACUUUCUCGAGACUCUCAGCUUGCAACAUCUUAAAAAAUGAAGCAUAUCUGUGAACAUUCAGGAAACAGAUGAAAGUAUAUAGACCAUACUGAAAAUAUAAAUGAAUGAUCUCGACAAUGCGGGCUCAACUCACCACAGUUUUGUUUAUGAGUAUCACAUCUCCCAGCCCAAUUCUAUAGCAAAACAAACUGAAUAUAAGCUACAAAAAUAUAUAAGAAAAUAAAGACAUUCAUCCACUUUCUUGCAGGGAGUUCUUCAAAGGUUGCACAAUCAUAAACUUGCAAAUAUUCAUGAUGAUGUACUUGAAGCAUAUGGCAAACCAUCUACAUUAUGUAAUCACCAGUAGCACACCUUCCUUCGACUGUUUUGCUCUCAUCUACACACACAACCCCAGGUUACGAAAGAAAAUGUCUUGAACCACAUAAACAGCAGAUAAUAUAUUAAAAAAAUGAAAACUAAAAAAUGGAAAAACCACAUAUCAAAGAAACAAAAACAACACCUUUCAAGAGUGAAAAGUAAGGUUCUUGAACAUGAAUUUCACAAAAUACACCCUCCAAAACCCGACAAAGAAAAACCCGUAAAUCACCAAUCAAUAUUAAUUAAAAACACUCAAUAACCAACAGAAAAUGCUUACAUUUAUCAAUUCAAGUCCCUUUUCUUUAAUCAACUGAUUCCAAUUCUCUUAUUUCUACUUCAAGUUACUAUCUUCAUCACAAAACAUCAUCUUCACAUGAGUUCUCCAUAAAGCACCACACUUUACAGAAUGAUACAAAACUAAACGCUUAUACAAAGGAUAUUGAGCGACCCCAUCAAAAGAAUCUGCAGUCCAUUCAAUUAUUUAUGCAUAAAAAUCAAAUCUUUAAUCAAAUAAUUGAAAAAAAAACACAGAAAACUUUUUUAUACGGUUUUUCAUUACCCGUUGCUGGACAGUUACAUGACAUGACAUGUCAUUUGGGUCUUCUUCUAGGAGGUCAAUGCAGAACUCUUUGGAGAGUCCCAGAUUGAAUUCUAGCGUUUGGUUAACGUGGGAUUCAAGAGUGAAUUUUAGCAGGUCUCCUAUGCUGUCUCGCAAUCUCUCUCCAUUUUAUCUGUCACAUAAACUGGCCUUUCUGUCACGUGUGAUGCACGUGACAUUUUUGCCUCGUUUUCAUUUCCAUUGAAAUUGCAAUCAAAUUAAUAUUUUGGGUUAUUAUUUUUUAAACUGUUUUUUUAUUUUAAGAUAUAUUAAAAUAAUAUAUUUUUAAUUUUUAAAAUUUAUUUUUGAUAUUAACAUAUAAAAAAAAUUUAAAAAUUUAAUUUAAAAUUAACAAAAUUAAAAUUUUCUAAAACAAUAAUGAACUGGUACUAAACACAUUCUUAAUUUGAUGAACUUAUUUUGGAAUUAGAAUGUGUUUGAUAUUGUAAUCAAAAUAUUGUUUGCUUAAAAUUUAAUUUUUUAAUUAAGUUUUUAGUAUAUUUAGAUUAUUUUGAUAUGCUGAUAUUAAAAAUAGAUUUUUUAAAAAAAUUAUUUUAAUAUAUUUUAAAAUAAAAAACAUUUUAAAAAGCAAUUAUUAUCACAAUCUCAAGCAAGCACUUAAUGAACUUAGUUUGAGUUUUAAGUUGAAUUAUAAAAAGAUAUUAACAUGAAUGGAUUGAUUUGGUCAUGUCUAAUAUAGACAUGACUGCAUUAAUAUCAAGAUUUUUUUAAAAAAAUAAAAUGAUAUUAUUUUAAUAAAAAUAACUUAAUAACCCAUGAGUUAACUUAGUAACCAAUGUCCAAUACCUUUUUUUCAGUAAGAUUCUAGGUUAGAUUUGAAAAUUAUAUCUGAAGUAUACUAUAAUAAUAUUUUUCGUUAUCAAAGUUUUUGUAUCUUAAAAUACUAAGUUUUAAAUUUUUAAUAUAUUUUUAUCUAAAAAUAUUUUGAAAACAUUGUAAAAAUCUCAAUAAAAUUAUUUUUAACUUCGAAACAUCUGCUAAUCUAUUUAAAAACUACAAGUCAAUUAGAAUAAAAAAACUCACAAAUCAUAAUUAUUUACAAGAUAAAACCACCAUCAAACUCCAUUUUCUAUAAGUUGGAAAACAGAGGCAGUGUUCUUGUGGCAACUGGACAAAGAGAGUUUCCUGUAAGGAAAAGGAGAAGAAGAGUCGAGAUUUAGGAGGCUUUAUAUGUGACAGAAAUAGCCUUGGAGACAACAACUCAACCUCGAAGAACUUGGUCUCUGACUUGAGGAGUUCUGAGUUCUAAAUUGAUUUGAUUAGUAUUAUUUUCAAGCAAGUAGAAUCCCUUUUGAGCUAGGAAAUAAUUUACAAAGAGAGCAAAAACUCCAAGAUAAGGGACGGGAAAGAGUAAACUGAAUGCAAAAACUCCGCCGAUGCUCAGUUUACAGCAAGAUCAUCAUUCUCUGAACACAUAUUAUGUACUUUACAGCAGAUGAGUACAGAGUCCGCCGAUGCUUAGCACGCCGUGAUUCAAUCUGUUCAGGAUAUUAUUCUUGGUGGAUGAGACAUUUUAAGAACAGAUGGGUGAAUUACAGAUCAUCUCCCUAUAUCACCCGUAAAAUCCACCGAACUAUAAUCAUCGUAAGAUGCCUUGGUGAUAAUAGCUAAUUACACUCCGGAGAUAAUCAAGGCAGCAAUUAACGAGAAAAUCACUCCCAGCAUCAAGAAUCAAUCAAUGAGAAUCAAGACGUUAUGUGGAGCUGAUUAGUUAUGUAUAUAAAAUCUUAAAUAGCUUUCCUUAUAGAGCUGAUACAAUUAUUAUUAUCAGAUUGUAUUCGAUACUGUCAUUAUUAUUAGGCUGUAAUAGUUUUUUAUAUAAUACAACAUUCGAUACCAUAAGUACAUGUGCUGUGGUUUUCAUUAUUUCUAAAACUCUACAUGGUAUCAGAGCCUCUAUAGAAUUAAUCUCCACCUGAUUUUAUGGUCUCAGAAAAUUCUUCCAUGCUCUCCUUCAAUACUAUAGUUCACAUGGUAACAAUGAAGCUAUCAUCAACAAAUUUUCUUCUUUGGCGCAAUUAGGUAGUUCCCCUGCUGCAAUGUCAAAAAUAUUAUGGAUAUAUUGAUGGCUCAACCCUUAUGCCUUCCGCUACCACUAAUUCCACAGCCUACAAUCUUUGGAAACAAAUUGAUCAGCUAGUCAUGAGUCUUCUUCUUUCUUCUCUCACAGAAGAAGCACUUUUUGUUACCAUUGGAUUUACAACAUCAAGAGACAUCUAGAAUGCUCUUGAGACUGCCUUCAGUCAUAAAUCUAAGGCUCAUGAACUUCAAAUAAAAGAUGAGUUGUAUCUCCAUGAAUCGUGGCUCUCACAGUAUCUCUAAGUACUCUAGAGUAUUCAAGGCUCAUUGUGAUCAAUCAUCAACCAUGGGAUGUCCAGUUGAAGACACUGAAAAAGUGCACUGGUAUUUGCGUGGUCUAGGCCACGAGUUCUCAAGUUUCUCCACCACUCAACUCUCUUUAACUCCCAUUCAAAGUUUCAAAGAUAUUGUUCCUAAAGCAGAAAGCUUUGAUCUUUUCUCCAAGUCUAUUGAUUAUACUGCAGGUGGCCCCUCUGCUUACAUGGUUCAUUCCUUUGCAUCUUCUUCCAACCGACAUGAAAGGCCAUAUAAUAAUCAGAACAGGUAUAAAGAAGGCUACUCAAACGGAGGAAAUUGUGGGAAGCAGCAUUAUAGGAGGCCUCCUCGAUGUCAGAUAUGUUGAGAAGAAGGUCAUUAUGCCACAAACUGCAAGAUCAGAUACACAAAAUCUGAUGCAAACCUUGCUGAAGCACUUGCAACCUGUACUAUCAGUAAUGACACAACAAAUUGGUAUACUGAUACAGGAGCAUCUGCACAUAUGACUCCUGACGUGUCUCAGCUUGAUAAAAUGGAACCUUACACUGGUAAGGAUAGAGUCAUUGCUGGUAAUGGAUCUUCCCUACCUGUUACACACAUGUAUUCCUACUCUCCCACUCCAACUCUUCAAUUAAAAGAUGUCUUUGCUAUGCCAAACUUAACUAAAAAUUUGCUUUCUGUUAGUAAAUUAACCAAUGAUUUUCCUUUUGCUGUUCUUUUUACUGACAAUAAAUUUAUCAUACAGAAUCUUCAAACUCAAAAGGUGGUGGCAAGCGGUGAUCGUGUAUAUGGACUUUAUGUAUUGAAGUGUGGACACCAUGUUUUCUCUACUAUCAUUAACAAGCAUAAUUUAUGCAAUUCCUUUGACAUUUAGCAUGCCCGUUUAGGCCAUGUAUCCUCUCAAACAAUUUCAAUGCUUAAUAAGAAAGGUUUUUUUUUUUUAUCUCUUACCUCUAUACUGCCAAAUCCAUCCUUAUGUGUUAGUUGCCAAAAAGCUAAAAGCCAUAAACUAUCUUUUUCCUUUAAGUGAUAGUCGUUCUCCAACAGUUUUAGAAUUAAUACAUUGUGACUUAUAGGGACCAGCACCAAUAAACUCAAUCUCUGGCUAUCGAUAUUAUGUUAUUUUUAUCGAUGAUAACUCUCGCUUCACUUGGUUCUAUCCAUUAAAGAACAAAACUGAUUUUUAUCACACCUUUAUCAAGUUUCAAACACUUGUUGAAAAUCAAUUCUCAGCAAAGAUAAAAACAUUCCAGAGUGAUAGGGGAGGAGAAUUCACAAGUAACAUUUUUCAAUCUCACUUAGACAAAUGUGGUAUCCAACAUCAACGUUCUUGUCCCUAUACACCCUCUCAAAAUGGUAGAGCUGAGAGAAAACAUCGACAUAUCACUAAAACAGGCAUUACAAUGCUCUUUCAUGCACAUGUUCCUCUUAAUUUUGGGUGGAAGCCUUCAGUACAGCAGUGUUUACAAUUAAUCGCUUGCCCACACCUGUCUUGAAUGGAGUUUCUCCAUUUGAAAUUCUGUAUGGUAAGUCCCCUACCUAUGAAUUAUUUCGUAUUUUUGGCUGCUUAUGUUUUCCAUACUUAAGAGAUUAUGCUAAACAUAAAUUUGAGCCCGAAGCCUUCCAUGUAUUUUUCUUGGUUACAAUUCAUCUUAUAAAGGAUUUCGAUGCUUAGAUCCCCAAUCACAUCGAGUCUUUAUCACUAGACAUGCUCGGUUUGAUGAAACAGUCUUUCCAUCAUCUUCAUCUCAUAUGCAGCCUUCCCCUGCACUGUCAGAUUUAUCUCUUUUCAUGAUCCCAGUUCCUCAACUUCUCCUUUGUCUAGCACUUAUUCUUCUGCAGGUUCUCGGUCCUUACCAUCAAUUACUCCAUCUAUACCAUGUAAAUCAUGUGCUUUGGAGCUGCCUCAGAGUCCAUCAAUUUUGCUACCACCUGCGUCUCCUACAAUAGCUGAGAGAGUUUCAGAAUUACCUGUUGUGCUUUCCAGAAUUGAGCCUACUUCAGAUAUACCUAUUGCACCGGCUCAACAUUCUUCUUCAAUCUGAACUCUCAUCCCAUGAUAACUCGUGGAAAAGCUGGUAUCUCCAAAUCCAAACAUUAUAAUUAUGUUUGUCAAAUUCCUGCUCUUUUAUUAUCAUCGCUAUUAGUUAUGAAGGAACCAAAAGGAUUCAAAAGUGCUGCUAAAUCACCCGAAUGGCUAGCUGCAUGGAUGAUGAAAUUCGUGCCUCACUCAUAACCAAACAUGGGAACUGGUUCCUAGACCACCUGAUACCAAUGUGGUUGGAUCCAAAUGGAUUUUUCGGAUUAAAUAUCAUUCUGAUGGCUCCAUUGACAGGUUCAAAGCACGCCUAGUUGCUCAAGGCUAUACUCAACUCUAUGGACUUGAUUUUCACGACAUUCAGUCCAGUUGUUCGAGCUUCUAUCCCAUUGUCCUCUCUAUUGCAGUAACUCGUGGCUGGAACAUACGUCAACUUGACGUUAAGAAUGCGUUCCUUCAUGGUCUUCUUCAGGAAGAGGUUUUAUGGAACACCACCCGGUUAUAUUGACACUUCUCUCCACACCAUGUUUGUCGCCUAAAAAAAGCCAUCUAUGGUUGAAACAGGCACCGAGAGCCUGGUUUCAUCGCUUUAGCAAUUUCUUACUCACAAUUGGUUUCCUUUGCAGCAAAGCCGAUUACAGCUUAUUUGUUCAUUCAUUAUAAUGGUAUUAUUUAUUUGCUGCUAUACGUAGAUGAUAUUGUUCUAACUGGAAGCAAUGUAUCUCUCAUUGACUUUCAUUCACAAGCUCCAGCAAGAGUUUUCUAUGAAGGACCUUGGAGAUCUACAUUAUUUUUUGGGUUUAGAAGUUACUCAAUCUCCACAGGGCAUGUUCCUAAGUCAGGUCAAGUAUGCAAGAGAUAUUCUUAUCAGGGCUGAACUUCAGGAUUCGAAGCCAAUAUCAACACCGAUGAUUGUUUCUCAUCACUUAACUUCUGAUGGUCCACUAUUUCAUUCACCAACAAUCUAUCGAUCUCUUAUUGGUUCGCUGCAAUAUCUCACCAUCACCAGACCGAACAUUACACAUGCAGUAAAUUUAGUGAGCCAAUUCAUGCAUGCACCACGAGAAUCACAUUUUCAGGCCGUUAAACGAAUUCUCAGAUAUGUUAAAGGCACUCUUCAUUUCGGUCUUAGCAUCAGUUCAUCAAGUCAUCUCAAUAUCUCGGCUUUUUUAGAUGCUGAUUGGGCUGGUUGUCCAGAAACCAGUCGCUCCACAUCAGGGUAUGCAAUUUUUAUGGGUGACAAUUUGAUUUCAUGGACCUCUAAAAAGCAGACCACAGUUUCUAGAUCUUUAGCAGAAUCAGAAUAUAGAGCAUUGACACUCACUCCAGCUGAGGUUAAAUGGUUGCUAAACAUUCUUCAUGAUUUACGUAUUCAACUACCAGCAUAUCUGACUUUACUCUGUGACAACACCACCACUAGUUUCAUGACUAGGAAUCUAGUAGCUUAACGAAGGUCUAGACGCAUUGAUAUUGAUGUUCAUUUUGUUAAAGAAUUAGUCUGCAAUGGUAUAUUGAUAGUUAAACACGUGCCAUCCACUUUGCAAAUAACAUACAUUUUUACCAAAAGUCCAUCUAAAUCUCUAUUUCUGCUGUUUCGAUCCAAGCUUCGUGUGUUGCCAACUACGCUUGACUUGAGGGGGGAUGUUGGUGAUAAUAGCACAUUACACUCUGGAGAUAAUCAAGGCAGCAAUCAACGAGAAAAUCACUCCCAACAUCAAGGAUCAAUCCAUGAAAAUCAAGACGUUAUGAGGAGUUGAUUAGUUGUGUAUAUAGAAUCUUAAAUAGCUUUCCUUAUAGAGCUGAUACUGUUAUUAUUAUUAGAUUGUAUUCAAUACUGUCAUUAUUAUUAGGUUGUAAUAGUUUUCUAUAUAAUGCAACAUUCCACACCAUAAGCAUGUAUGCUGUGGUUUUCAUUAUCUCUAAAACUCUACAAGAUGAGCCUCCAUCUUCAACAUCUUUCCUUGCCAUAUCCCCAAAACUAUUUGCUCUCCUCUGUGUUUCCUCUGCUUUCUCACCUAGCAUUAUCUCCUUCACUGCCAUAUCUACUACUUCACUAUUAACACAUACCCCCCACCAGCCUUAUGCUUUGUUAAACACCGACUGCACGACACAGGGUCACUCCUUUUGUCCACCACGCAGACUCAACUGAAAAGCAACGUAAAGAGAGCAGGGCUCAUAAUGUAAAGCCGAUAAAUUACGUCUAGCAGAACAUAGUAAAGUUAUUACUUAAUUUAAUAAUAUUAAAAAAGAAGAAGCUAAAUAUCAUUUAGUUUAUACAAUCUUUUACUUGACAUAACCAAUUCUUGCAUCCUGGAUUGGAACUGUGUAGACAUACCAACAUGGGGUGAUUUGUCAAGUAAACGUAUCAUAAUUUUAAAUUGUUCAAAUUAAAUGUUAGAUUUUUUUUGGAAGAACAUGUGUGGUAUAAGAUCAAAAUAGUAAUGGAAAGUCAAAAGAGAUGGAGAGGAAUGUAUAUUUUUAUUAAGUGUUUCUCUCUAAACUUUCUUAAUUAUUCUCACUUUUUUAUGUUGCUUCCUAAUGCUAAAUUACAAGACUUUUUAUAUGCAUAAAAUCAUAAACCAUCAAAGAAUUAAACUAAUAUAAAAAAAUGAUAAUCUGAAUAAAAAUUGUAUUUUGCUUAUUGAAAUAAUCGACUGUUUGAACUUAUUCUAACCGAUGGACUGGUUCCUCUGUUUUUUAGAACCAAAAUCUGAUUUAUUUUCAACACCCCUUAAACUUGAUUUCUUCAUAACUCCCAACACAUAUCUUAUCUUGAUAAAAACACCAUAUUUGAGUGACUUUGUGAAUAUAUCCACGACUUGGUUUUGUGUCUUCACAUUCUUGACUUUAACUUUCUUGUUUGCAAUGUAAUCUCAUAGAUAAUGAAAUCUUCUGUCAAUAUGCUUUCUUUUAUCAUGAAAUACUGGAGUUCUUGCUAAUGCAAUGACUAAUGAGUUGUCCAUAUAAAGUUUAAUAGGCUUCUCUUGUGGCAUUUAGAACUCUUCAAUAAUCUCUUUAGCUAUAUGAAAUGACAAACACACGAUGUAGUAAUUAUAUAUUCAGUUUCACAUGUUAACAAAGUGAUUAUAUAUUACUUCUUUGAGCUCCAUGUAAAUGUUGUGUCUCCUGUGUAGAAAACAAAACUCGUAGUGUUCUUUCUAUCAUCCAUAUUCUAGCCCAAUUACUAAUACUAUAAACUACAAGUUCAAAGCUAUUAGAAUAACUAUAGAAUAAGCCAAAAUCAACAGUAUCUUUGAUAUACCGAAGAAUUCACUUCAAAGCUUUGAAGUGUAUUAUACUAGGUGACUUCAUAAACCUACUCACAAGUUUUACUCCAAAAAGAAUAUUUUAACGAGUGCAUGUCAACUAUCUCAAACUCCUAACUAAGUUCUUAAAUAUUAUAGAGUUUAUUUUCUUUCUUUCAUCAUGUUUUGACAUCUUUACUCCACACUCAACUAAAAUAUUCAUUUUUUUUCACAAUCCUCCAUCUUGAACUUGAGAAUAUCCCUUGCAAAAUUCUCUUGAUUCAUAAAAAUUACAUCUUCUCAUUUGAUCUCAAUCCCUAAGUAAUAGGACAUGAGCCCGGUAUCUGUCAUCUCAAACUCCUUGAUCAUUGCUUGCUUGAAGUAUCCACACAUCUUUUGAUUAUUUCUUGUAAAGAUCAAGUCAUCUACAUACAAACAUACAAUAAGAGUAUCACUACUCUUUUUUAUCUUUACAUAGAUAGCAUAUUUAUAUGGGCAUUUAACAAGUCUAUUCUUUAAAAAAUAGCCAUCUCGAGGGGCUUGCUUCAAUCCAUACAAGGCUUUGUUCAACUUUAAUGUAAACUCUCGACUAAAUUCUUCAUGAAAUAUUAAAAAUUUUAACCUGAAAAUAAAAUGAGUUAAAUUAAAAUUAUGGGAAUUAAAACUUAAUGUCAAGGAAAAAAUUGAAAUGAAAUGAUAAGAGGAGAAAUUAAUUACAAAAUUAUGGGGAAAAAAUUAAGAAUUAAAUGAAAAGAUGGGGUCAAUGUCAUUAUGAAUCGAGACCUUGAGAAUGGUCGUAGAACUUAAAGAUGAGAAUCGUUGUGAUUGGUUGAUUUUGCAUAUAAGGGGUAAAUUAAUGGGAAAUAUGCAUUUUUAUCUAAUUAUACUACUAUUGUUAGUGUGAAUUAUGAUAAAUGUUUAUGAUGAAUUGGAAGUAUAUAUGACCAUGCUAACAUUGUGGAAUGUAAAAUUGGUAUGAAUUUCUACCAUAAGCAUGUUUUUUCUUGAAAUAGUUUUGAUUAUUUUAAAUAAAUGUGAGCUGGGUUGAUACGUUUUAUAAAGUUGUAUUUAAUGAUGUUAUAAUGUAAAUAACAUGGUAAGGAUUGUUUUGAAUGGUGAGAAAUUGAAUAAGAAUAUUCGGUUUAUUAUAAAGCCAUAAAAAGGAAAACUAGAUAGCCUUGUCUUUUAAAGUAUAAAGGAGAUUAGGGCAUGAAAAUGAUAAAAUUUGAGAUACUUUUCUUCAUAGGAGUUAUAACCCGAGGUGUUAGUUUUCCAGCGGGACUAACAUUGCUUAAUUUGGAACUCUAAAAAUCCAAAUGUAGAUCAAAAUCCGAGGGGAGGUCAAGCUAAAAUUGUAAUGGACAGCUUCAAAUCUUAGCUUUCAUAAGAAACAAGUCAUGCCCAAAACUGAAUUUUUAUAACUUCAGUUACAAUUAUAAUAAGAAAAUGUGUUUUAAAUGGUCAAGAUAGAUUGAUCAGGGGUUGGCUAACAUGUAUUUUUGUUUAAGAGUUGUCGUAAUAUUAGAACUAAAUUGUUAAGGUAGUAAGAGUGAAAUGAAAUAUAAUGAUGUAUACCUGUUGGUACAGAGGAGGUCUUAAGAGUUGUGCAGCAGCAGGGGGACAUGCCAAGAGCUUUAACAGUAGGUUGGGAUUAUCUCCUAGAUAUGGAGGAUGAAAAUAAAUACCCAAAUGAGUGAGCGAAGACCCAAAAAAUGGGUCGGUAAUGUCGCACGUUGGAAAAAUCCCGCGCGGCAAUCGGCUGGCGAUUUUUUUUAUUAUUUGUGUUUUGUUUGGUUCGUUGGAGUCGCCACCUAGUAUUAUAGUCACUAGGAACCUAUGGUCUGCGAGAGUCUGAGUAAGGGACUGGUUGUGCAGGGGGAAGACGCAUCACCCCAGUGCACCCUACCUAAGGUAAGUUGCAUUGUUGUUUGAUUGUUUUUCCAGGUCGAGUUUCUAUUCGUUGGUCUUUCUAAGGUUCAAGGUAGAUCUAUCUUCAUGAUAAAGUCUCUACCUUAUUGAAUUAAAUCCUAACCGUUCUGAAGUCUGAAUGACAUUUAUUUACACCUUGUGUUGUAACCCAUUUUCGGAUCCCCACAAAAAUAAAAAUAAAAUAAAUAGCCAAAGGAGGUUAGAAAAAUAACGGAAGGCAGAAGCACUCAGAAAAUUGUCAGAAAAUUGGUCAAGGAGUAUAAAAAUACAAAGAUUGGAUUUUUUACAGUAUAUUCUUGAAGGAUGAGAGCCCUGUUUAGGAGGAAAAUUUAAAUUUUGAGGAGAAAAGCCCAAAUUUCGAUGUUUAUGGACUUAAUUGGAUUUUUAAAUUGAAUUUAUAGAGGAUUUUGAGUGCAAGAAAAAUUGAUUUUUAAGUCAAUUUGGGCUUUAAUUAGAAGAAAUUUAAGUUCUGGGGCCAAAAUAUAUUUUUUAGGAAUUUAUUAGGUCAAAUCAGGGGAUUAAUUGCAUAAAUAUUGAAGUUUAAUGGCCAAUUAGGGACUUAAUUGAGAAAAUCCGAAACUAGGGACCAAUUUGGAAAAGGCACGUAAAUCGGGGGGGGGGGGCUGUUUUGGAUUGAUUCGGGGUCAAAUUGAAGAAAUUGAAAACUGGAGGAAUAAUUUAAACAUUGGCGCAGGGAAACCGAGCGACACGUCGCCUGUUACUGUUCACUUUCUUCCUCAAAAAGCUGCCUGAGUGGCUGUUUUCCAGGCGCAUUUUCCAGCUCGUGUGACUUCCAAAUCCGACAAAACGUGCACCAACAUGUCCAUAUAAAACCCCUUUAUCCCGGAGAAUGGUCCGGCCGGAUCGAAAAAGUUAGAAACGGCUCCGUUGAGCGGCUCAAAGUGGCCACCUCGGGCAGUUCACAGCCUGGAGCUGCCAAAUUUGGCAGCUCGAGGUGCAUACUUUGAACCAAUGGCUUGGAUGCCUCGGGUCGAAUCAAGGGCUAUAAAUUUUCCCAAAUGUACACAAUGUUGCCCUUUUGCACCGCCUAUAAAUAGAAUCUCAAUUGAAGACCUGAUGGGGGAGAAAAGAACACAUAAAGUCGGACGAAAACCAUCCAUUACUGCCCAGUUUUCCUGCAACCAACCUCUUUUUCUCUUUCCCUCUCCGCCGUUGGCCCUCAUCAACCACCACCAUCAUCACUCGUCUUCUCACUGUCAUAUCCACCUCCAGCAGCCAUCAAAGCGUCACACACGGUGGUCUCACCAUCUCUCUCUCUCCUCUACAAAUUUUUCUCCCCUGUCACCGAGGCAGCAGCAGCAGCAGUAGCCGCAGCAACCACCAUGACCAGCAGCUUCUGCCUUUGCCGAAGACCGCCAGGACAGCAGCUCUAUCUUCAGCUGCUCCAAUAGUUACAACCGUGAGCUUUCCUUCACCUCUACAGGACCUGUUUCGUUCUUCUUCCAGCCGGGACCAGUGCACGCCCCCAGCCACUGCCACCGUCAGCACCACCGGGAGACCUCGUCAACUGCCUCUCCACUGCCACCAGCAUCACUGGGAGUGUUCGCCAUCGUUUCUGCCACCAGGUUUGCACCCCCUUCGUCGCUGUACAUGCACCAUUUCCUUGCAUUUCACUGUUGAAGUGAAAUGCUAAUUCACUGUUCACAUCACAUAUCAUUCACGUGAACAGUGAAAUGCUAUUUCACUGUUCGCAUCAAAUAUAUUUCACUGUUCACAUGAGGCCUGCUAGGUUCAGCCCAGCCACAUGGGCCCAGCUGGGUCCAGCCCUAAAAAAAAUAUAAAAAAUAAAAAUUCUUCAAAAAUUAUUUUAAAGAGUUUGUGAUUUUUCUGUAAUUUUAUUAAUGUAUUUUGGUCAAUAUCGGUUUGUAUUUUUAUAUUGUAAAGAUACAAAUCCGGUAUUAAAAUACCCGGUUUUCGUCAACAAAAAGAAAAUGUUUAUAAAAAAAAUAUAUUUUGUUUUAAUGCAUAUAGCCAAUACUCUAACAUGUUUUGAAUGUUCUUUUUAUAUAUAAAAAAAUAUUGGAAGCUUUGAAAGUAUGUUUUCGCAUAGAUUUCUUAAACACAAAUUAUUUUCUUGCAUUUAUGGAUUUUACAACAUGUUUGUAAAACUCCAAAGGGUAUUAGCCAAUAUUCCAAAAACUAUAAAAAUCUUAUUUUGGGGGGGGGGAAUUCAUCUAUUAUUCACCGCUAAUGUUUGGAUAAAGAAAUCCUUAAAGGAUGAAUGUCCAAAAUAUUAUUGGGAGUAAUAAAUCCGCACACAUCCUUGAAAGAAGCCUUGAUUAUAAUCGAUGACAUUUCAAAAUUUCAAAUUUUGUGACUUCACGGUUUACGAGCAGUGAAAGUAUGAAAUACUAAGGCAAAAGGAGGCUUUUAAAGCACUUUGAAUUUCCUUAGAUUUCUAAAUUUUUUGUCCCUCCUCGCGAUUUACAAGUCGCAAACUCUUGAAAUACUAAGGGAAAAAUGAGCUUUCAAAGCACAUGGAAUCUCCUUGGAUUUCUAUCCAAAUAAAUUUUAUUUGAAUCAAACCUAGGAAAAUUGAUGGGAUUAGAAAGCACCAACACCAUAACAAUUAUAGAGCAAACCAAACACCAAGCAGCUUACCUUAGGUAGGGCGUACUAGGGGUGCUAAUACCUUCCCUUUACACAAUCAAUCCCUCGCCUUAGAAUAUCUGAAAGACCAGUUGGGGUUCCUAGUAACUAAAAUCCUAGGUGGCGACUCCCAAAGAAUAAAAUCAAGCAAAAACAACGAAAAAAAUCGCCAUCGAACGCCGCGCGGAUUUUUUAGAGGUGCGACACCUUGUAUCUUUAAUACUUGAGGGUGUACUUUAUCAUGUAAUUUUACACCUUUCAAAUAUUAAAGUCUACAUUUGGAUCCUAGAAAAAGAUUGAAAAAAGGUUUUUGAUAUUUUGGUCAAACCCUAAUGGAUAAUCAUAAACUAGUUAUGAUAUCCAUUUUUUUUGGAUUUUCAAAACAUGAGAAAGAUGUAAUUUGUUUUUUAAAAAAACAUGCAUGGAAAAUUUUUAGGACUUGGCCGUAUGCGAUAAAAUGUUUUUUUUUCUUUUUGAAUUUUUUUUUAUUUUUUUAAAAUAUUUUGAAAAAAUCGGGUAUUUUAAUACCGGGCUUGUAUCUUACAAUGUAAGUAUAUAACCCAAUAUUAAGCAAAAUUAGUUGAAAAAUAUUUGAGAAAAUUACAAAUUUUUUUGAAAGGAUUUUUUUUUAAUUUUUUUAGGAAAAAAUUUCGUUUAUUUUAUUUUUAUUUUUAACUAUGUACUAAGUAAUUAAAUACAUUAAAGCAUGUGGUUUGGACCCAAGACAGGCCCAGAAACAUAUGUAUUGAUCAUAGGCCCAAAAACAAUUGGGGCCGGACGUGGCCCAACAUAUUUUGCAUUUUUAGGGAUGGGCUGGACUCGGCCCAGCCAACUGGGCUAGGGCCAAGGCAGGUCCGGCCCAUAGCAGCUUAGUCAUUGGGCAGCCUAGUCAGGAACGGUGCAACGUGAAUUAAAAUUCACGUUCCACUGUUCACGUGCAUCUUCGAAGUAGAAAAGGAAGAAGAAGAGAGGAGGGCGACUCACCUGGCGCUGAAGGAACCGGCAGCCUGACUGGUGGCGAACGAUACGACUGGAGGUGGUGAGACUGGCGGUGAGCUGCGGUUGCAACUGGAAGAAGAAGACGACUGCAAAGGAGAAGGGAAGCUCACGGUUGCAACUGUUGGAGGGCAGAAGCUUCGGUUCGAGGUGGCUGCUGCGGCUGCUACUGCUGGGGUCGCGGUGGUGGAGAGAAAAAAGUUUUGCCGGGAAGAGAGGGAGAGAGAGAGAGUUGUUGCUGGCUUCAGUGAGGUGGCUGGGUGAUAUAUGGGAUGUGGUGUUUCAGGGGAAGGAUGGUGGCGAGAUCAAUGGUGGCAACUAGAGGCCACGGCGGAGAGGAAAAAAAAAGAGAGAGGACUGGUUGCAGGAAAACCGGGCAGGAAAAGCUGAUUUUCGACCAACUUUGAGUUCAGUUUUCUCCUCCCUCUGAGCAUGAAAUUGGCUCCUAUUUAUAGGAAUGGAAACAAGGUAAUCUUGUCUUCAACGGGGAAAAAGUCUCAGCCCUUGAUUCGACUCGAGGGAUCCAAACCGUUGGUUCACAGUGUGUACCUCGAACUGCCAAAUUUGGCAAUCCAAGGCUGCAGACUGCCCGAGGGUGCCACUUUGGGCCAAUAAACCAAGCCGUUUCCAAGUUUUUCGACCCGACCAAACCCCUCUAUGAGAUAAGGGGAUUUCAGGUGGACAUGUUGGUGCACGCCUUGUCGGAUUUGGGGGCCACACGAGUGAGAAAAUGCGCCUGGAAAGCAGCCACUCGGGCAGCUAUGCGAGGAAGAAGAUGAACAGUAACCGGGCGAUCCCCUCCCUUUUUUUUUUAACACGAAAACGACACCGUUUUGGAUAGAAAAUUAGGGAUUUUUGCCGGUUUUCAAUUCAGUCCUCCAGCGUUCAAUUGUUUUCAAUUUGACCCCUAGAUUUUGUCAAUUAGACCCCUAUAGUUUGGUGCCUUUUGCAAAUAGGUCCUUGGCUUUGGAUUUUGUCAAUUUUCUUUCAAUUUGGCCCUGAUUUCAAUCAAUUAACUUGGUAAAAAUUAAAUUUGGUCUCUUAAAAUUCCAAUAUUCUCAAUUAAGCCCAAAUUAAGCUCCAAACUUAAUGUUUCACCAAUUAAGGCCCAAAAAAAAUUAAUUUGACCCAUUUAAAGUAUAAUUAAGCCCUUGCACUUAAUUAAAUCCUUCAUUUGGACCUAAAUUAAUUCUUAAACAUAAUUAAAAAUUCAAUUUGGCCCAUGAUUAAAUCAAAUUGGCCUAUUAAAAUUUAAUUAUGUCCUUGGACUUAAUUUUUAUGCAAAUUCGUCCGAUAAUCAUUUAAUUUAACCUUGAAUUUGCAUUGUAAUCCUAUUUGUUUUUGGCAUAAUGGGGGACAAUUAGGCCUUGAAUUUCCUCCAAAAAUUACAGCUUGAUUUCUCGACCUACCUUCUCCACGUUGCCAGCCUUUAUUUUAUUUUUUGAUUUUUAUUUUAAAAAAGAAAUUGGUUUUUGUUUUUGGGAAUAACCCAGAAUUGGGUUAUGACAGGUAACUCAGGGUUGAGUGUGACUAUAAUUUGUAUUGAAUUAAUUAAGAUUAAUGGGUUUGUAAAAGAAAUAAUUGACAAUGAAAUAAUAUAGUUGCAAUGAAAGCAAAAUUUAAGGUUGUUUGUUUUGUUUAUUAAGUAACUUUGCUAUAUUUAUGUUGAAUUAAAUUAAAGGUACUUCCCCUCUGAGCAAAUUGAUAAAUAUAUAGGAUCUUAUUUUGUUAAAAUUAAUGAUUAUAUAAUCUAUAUUUCUUAUGUAAUAUCUACUUGGCAUGUAAGAAACGUGAAUCUUUUUUUUUUCCUACUAAACUAUUUAAAUUAGAAUAUGUUAAUCAACUUUUAUGAUUUAUAACUCUUUGAUAUGACAAAAUUAUAAAUGUAUGUAAUUAACUUCUGAUGUUUUUAUGAUAAUUUGUAUAUUUGUUUAUAAUUUAUAUGAUAAAUAAAUUACAAUGAUGGAAGUGUUGGAAUAUGGGAUUGAAUGUUAUUUUAGUUCCAUUGAUACAAGAAUGUCCAUGAUGAUUAGAUGAUGUUUAAGUUGCGUUUGAUGAUUGUUGAAUUGAGAACAAGUUCUAGUCGAUAACGUGGAAUCUCCCGGUAUAGAAGAGACUUUGCUGAAAUUUUAGUAUAGUUUGAAGGGACCACAAACAUCGAUACGUAUUUCUUGCAGGGGUUGACUUUCUCUUCAUGUAAACUCAUUUGAAAAACUCUCACGAAAUUACUUACCCACUAAACAUCCUUCACAUAACUGAUUUGGGUGUAUAAUGGAUUAUAGACCCUUCAACAUCUCUUUUUGUGCCAUCAUCUUCAAGCUAUCAAAAUUUAUAUGUCCAAAUCUCAUAUGUCAAAGCCAAUACAUCCGUUUCUAUGUUUAGUAAGAAUAUUUUAUUAAACCUAACACUUAUUAUAGAUAUUUUAAGGUUUAAUACAGUGCAUUAAAAAGAUUUUUUUAAAAAAAGCUCAUGUAUUAAACAGGAGGAAAAUUGAUUGUAUAAAACCUGACAGAUUUAAUAAAUUUGGACAUGUAAUUGUUCAUGAGCAGAAAAGAUGAAAAAUAGAAGAUAGCACAAGAAGGUAGUGGAUCGAAGACUUUGCUCAGUUUCCAUGUCUCUAAACGGUUCCUCUAUCCCCUAUUUAUAUUAGAGACAUGGAAAAGUACCGUACGUUGCUAUCCACUACCUUUUAAAAUAAAAAAUUCUUAGUUUUAAAAUAAAAAAUUCUUAGUUAAAUGAGAAAUAACUUAACUAGUUAGUAAUGAAUUUAAUAAAAAUUAAUUAUAUAUUAGCCAAAAUGAAAAAAAAUUAGUACACCGAAUUUUGAGAUGACAUUUAAAGAAUUAAAUUACAUCAUCAUAAUUAAUAAAAAAUUUUUUUUAAUAAAACCACACAAAUUGAAGGCCAAGUGGCCUUGGUAUAAAAGGAAAGCAAAACGUAAGGCCUAACUGUUUUCAACAUUUUUCUUAUUAAAAUAUCCUCUUCUUCAUUUCCUCUCUCUCUCUCUCUCUCUCAUUUGAAAUCUAAAUAAUAAGAAUUGGCUCCUCACAGAAGGCGAAUGAUACAACGGGGAAAGCCAAUCUUAGAAAAACCACCUAAAGCUAAGACUACUUUUUGGGUGUUGCUCUUGAGAGAGAGAUUAACAAAGCAUGGAAGACUGGAAGUUGUGUUGUUGCUACGGCUAAAGAGAAAGGGGAAAGGGGAGUGGGGACUCGGGAGGGACUCAGACUCAGACUUAGUAUAGUUUAUAAAUUGUAACUUUUGUUAAAUUCGUAAACUCAUCCGAGUUUACUGAGUUUCAUCGAGUUUGUUUAUUUUCAAGUUUUUAAUUCAAUUUAACAUAUCAGUUAACUCAUAAAAUUAUAUAAUUUUACAAGUAAACUCGCAAGUUUAAUAACAUUGAUGGGGAUAUUGAAACCGAGAUCAUGCAUUAAUUAUUCAGGUUCGUUUAAUCUGAAGAUGAUCUUAAAAGAGGAGAAUUUCUAGAGGGAACAAGUACAAACUCAAUUUUAGGACAAUACAACAAGAAUUUGAUACGAUGUUAUUAGUUCAGAACUACACAAACCCAAAAUGAAACGGCAAUCUAAACAAUAACAGUCCAGCCCAUCAUUACGUAGGAAUAAUGAAACUAAACAAGAUAAAAUCCUAGAAUACCGAUUUUACGGAAGUGAUAGUCUGUAUCAAAGUCAGGACCAGGAGGAUAGCUGCUGCAACAGUUCCCGUACCUCUCCAAACAGUGGGGAAAUAUACAUGUCUCCAAGUUUGCCUUCAUAUGGUUCCAUCGGUGCUCAUAGUGGCCAUUCAUCAGACGACAGAUAUCAUCAUAACAAGUACUGGAAUUGUCUCCAAUAUUUUCGUUAAGCUUGUUAAACAUAUUUGAAAGUUCGGCAUUGUCACCUGGCCAGUGGAGAAUGAUUCCCUUUCUGACUAGCAAAUCCACGUCUUCUGCACUGUUGAUAAGAUUGUCCAUAAACCUAAUGUAAUUGCAUAUGUAAGCUUCAUUCGGUUUGUAGCACUGCUCCAAGGCCAUGAUAUUUCGUACAAAACGUUCGAAGCUGUAAUCAACUUCCAAGCGUGGUAUUUCCAACACUCCUUUCUCAAAUCUUAUGUUAACCAUGCAUUUCUCUUUGGCGACCCGAAACCUCACUCCUGCCUUGCGAAGCAUGACGGCGCUAUAUUUCAGCCUGACAGUAUGACAAGUAAAACUUCUCUCAAUGACUCCAUCCAGCAUUAAAAUUCCUUAGUAAAUCAGUGAAGUGCCUGCUUCCCUUUACUUUCGGGUCGGUGUUUACCCGCAUUAAAUCUGAAAACGCAUACUUUCCAAAAUGAAAGGCAGCAAGACUAAGAAAAGGAAUGCUUGGUAACUCUUGGCGAGCGCGAUUGACCUCGUCAUAUAUUUCCUGAAUAAUGAAGAAAGGUAGUUGGUUUUCAAGUAGCUUCAAGUCUUCUUUUAUGUCGCACAUCAUCCAAGGCUCUAAAUUCUUAGGACCAUCAACAUCAUUUGACUCCCUUAUAAACUCAAUAAUGAAGACGGCAUCCAGCAGGAUCAUCUCUAUGAAAUCCAUGCUCCCAAUUUCAUCGAAGUUCUUUGAAUAAUAUUGUCGGAUAUUCUUUUCAUUAUUCCGAAUAAAAAAUGUGUUUUGCUAAUUGAAAUGGUCGAUCGUUUGAACUUAUUCUAACCGGUAGACUGAUUCCUUUUUUUUCUCAAAACCAAAAUCUAAUUUAUUUUCAACACCCUUUAAACUUGAUUUCUUCAUAACUCCCAACAUAUCUCGUAUCUUGAUAAAAACAUCAUAUUUGAGUGACUUUGUGAAUAUAUAUAUAUAUGUGAUUUGGUUUUGUGUCUUUACAUUCUUGACUUUAACUUUCUUGUUUGCAAUGUAAUCUUGUAGAUAAUGAAAUCUUGUAGAUAAUGAAAUCUUCUGUUAAUAUGCUUUCUUUUAUUAUGAAAUAUCGGAUUUCUCGCUUGAUUGAAGUCUCCAAAUAUCUUUGGAUUAUUUCUUGUAAAGAUCAAAUCAUCAACAUACAAGCAUAUAAUAAGAGUAUCAUUACUUUCUUUUUUUUAUCUUCACAUAGAUAGCAUAUUUAUAAGGGCAUUUAACAAGUCCAUUCUUUUAAAAAAAGCCAUCCCAAGGGGCUUGCUUCAAUCCAUACAAGGCGUUCAACUUUAAUGUAAACUCUCAAUUAAAUUCUUUAUGAAAUGUUAAAAAUUUUAACCUGAAAAUAAAAUGAGUUAAAUUAAAAUUGAGGGAAUUAAAACUUAAUGCCAAGGGAAAAAUUGAAAUGAAAUGAUAAGAGAAGAAAUCAAUUAGAAAAUCAUGGGGGGGGAAUUGAGAAUUAAAUGAAAAGAUGUGGUUAAUUUCAUUGUGGAUUGAGACCUUGAGAAUGGUUGUAGAACUUAGAGAUGAGAAUCGUUGUGAUUGAUUGAUUUUGCAUAUAAGGGGUAAAUUAAUGGAAAAUAUACAUUUUUAUCUCAUUACACUACUAUUGUUAGUGUGAAUUAUGAUAAAUGUUUGUGAUGAAUUGGAAGUAUAUACAACUAUGCUAAUAUUGUGGAAUGUAAAUUUGGUAUGGAUUCCUACCAUAAGCAUGUUGUUUUUCUUAAAAUAGUUUUGAUUAUUUUAAAUAAAUGUGAGCUGGGUUGAUAAGUUUUAUAAAGUUGUAUUUAAUGAUGUUAUAAUGUAAAUAACAUGGUAAGGAUUGUUUUGAAUGGUGAGAGAUUGAAUAAGAAUGUUUGGUUUAUUGUAAAGCCAUAGAAAGGAAAACUGGACAACCUUGUCUUUUAAAGUAUAAAGGAGAUUAUGGCAUGAAAAUGAUUUAAGAUAUUUUUCUUCAUAGGAGUUAUAACCCGAGGUGUUAGUUUUCUAGCGGGACUGACAUUGUUUAAUUUGGAACUCUAAAAAUCUAAAUAUAGAUCAAAAUUUGAGGGGAGGUCAAGCUAAAAAUUGUAAUGGACAAUUUCAAAUCUUAGCUUUCAUGAGAAACAAGUCAUGCCCAAAACUAAAUUUUUAUAACUUUAGUUACAAUAUAAUAAGAAAUGUGUUUAAUAAGAUAGAUUGAGGUUGGCUAACGUUUAUUUUUGUUUAAGAGUUGUCGUUAGAACUAAAUUGUUAAGAUAGUAAGAGUGAAAUGAAAUAUAAUGAUGUAUACAUGUUGGUACAGGAGAGGUCUUAAGAGUUGUGCAGCAGCAGGGGGACAUGCCAAGAGCUUCAACAGUAGGUUGGUGUUUAACACUUUAAUUUUUUUAUUUAUCAAGUUUUUAAAAGUAAAUCAAUUAUCGAUGUAGAAUUUUAAUUUAUGUUGAUAAAUUGAAGAUAAAGAGUUAGCUUUCUGAUAAUGGGACUAGUGCUCACUAAUAAGCAAAGGAACUAGCUUCUUGGUAAUGAAACUAGUGCUCGAUAAUGAGCGAAGGAACUAGCUUCCUGGUAAUAAACAUGGGAGAUAGUUUGAUGAUUGUUGAAUUGAGAACAAGUUCUAGUCCAUAAUGUGGAAUCUCCUAGUAUAGAGGAGACUUUGCUGAAAUUUCAAUAUAGUUUGAUGGGACCACAAACAUCAAUACGUAUUUCUUGUAGGAGUUGACUUGCUCUUGAUGUAACCUCAUUCAGAAAACUCUUACGAAAUUGCUUACCCAUUAAACAUCCUUCACAUAACUGAUUUGGGUGUAUAAUGGAUGAUAGACCCUUCAACAUCUUUUUUUGUGCCAUCAUCUUCAAGCUAUCAAAAUUUAUAUGCCCAAAUCUCACAUGUCAAAGUCAAGUCUCAUCCUUCACAUAUGCAUUUAGGUAUUUAGUUGUCUCUAUGUUUAGUAAGAACAUUCUAUUAAACAUAACACUUAUUAUAGACAUUUUAAGGUUUAAUACCUUACAUUAAAAAGAUUUUUAAAAAAAGUUCAGGUAUGAAAAUUGAUUGUAUAAAACCUGACAGAUUUAAUAAAUAUGGACAUGUAAUUGUUCAUGAGCAGAAAUGAUGAAAAAUAGAAGAUAGUACAAGAAGGUAGUGGAUCGAAGAUUUUGCUCAGUUUCUAUAUCUCUAAACGGUCACUCUAUCCCCUAUUUAUAUAAGAGACAUUGAAAAGUACCGUUGCUAUCCACUACCUUUUAAAAUAAAAAAUUCGUAGUUACGUGAGGAAUAACUUAGCUAGUUAAUUUUUGAGUUUAUUAUUUAAUAAUUACAAGUUUUGAGUUUUUUAAGGCUACUGGAGUUUAUAUGGUCGUUAACUUCAGGACUCGUAGGAUUAGUCGAGAUACACGCAAACUAGUUCGAACACACACGUUAAUAAUAAAAAAAAAGUAUUACAAGAGAAAAAGUGAUCAGCAAUGUAUAAAACCCGAUAAAUUCAUUGUUGGUGAGAUGGGGAUAUUGAAACCGAGAUCAUGCAUUAAUUAUUCAGGUUCGUUUAAUCUGAAGAUGAUCUUAAAGAAGAGAAUUUUGAGAGGAAACAAGUACAAACUCAAUUUUAGGACAAUACAACAAGAAUUUGAUACGAUGUUAUUAGUUCAGAACUACACAAACCCAAAAUGAAACGGCAAUCUAAACAACAACAAUCCAGCCCAUCAUUACGUAGGAAUAAUGAAACUAAACAAGAUAAAAUCCUAGAAUACCGAUUUUACGGAAGUGAUAGUCUGUAUCAAAGUGAGGACCAGGAGGAUAGCUGCUGCAACAGUUGCCGUACCUCUCCAAACAUUGGCGAAAUAUACAAGUUCCAAGGUUGCCUUCAAACGGUUCCAGUGGUUCUCAUAGUGGCCAUUCAUCUUUUUACACAUAUAACCAUAACUAGUGGAAGUUUCGCCAAUAUUAUCGUUAAGCUUGUUAAACAUAUUUGAAAGUGCGGCAUUGUCACCUAGCCAGUGGAGAAUGAUUCCCUUUUCGACUAGCAAAUCCACGUCUUCUGCACUGUUGAUAAGACUGUCCAUAAAUUUAAUGUAAUGGCAUAUGUAAGCUUCAAACGGUUUGUAGCACUGCUCCAAGGCCAUGAUAUUUCGUACAAAACGUUCGAAGCUGUAAUCAACUUCCAAGCGUGGUAUUUCCAACACUCCUUUCUCAAAUCUUAUGUUAAGCAAGCAUUUCUCUUCGGCGACCCGAAACCUCACUCCUGCCUUGCGAAGCAUGACGGCGCUAUAUUUCAGCUUUAUAGUAUAGAAAGUAAAACUUCUCUUAAUGACUCCAUCCAGCAUUAAAUUCCUUAGUAAAUCAGUGAAGUGCCUGCUUCCCUUUACUUUCGGGUCGAGUUUACCACUUCUGGAAACUCCUCCUUUCCCAAAUGAAAGGCAGCGAGAUGAAGAAAAGGAAUGCUUGGAAACUCUUGGCGAGCGCUAAUGACCUCGUCAUAUAUUUCCUGAAUAAUGAAGAAAGGUAGUUGGUUUUCAAGUAGCUUCAAGUCUUCUUUUAUGUCGGACAUCAUCCAAGGCUCUAAAUUCUUAGGACCAUCAACAUCAUUUGACUCCUUUAAAAACUCAAUAAUGAAGACGGCAUCCAGCAGGAUCAUCUCUAUGAAAUCCCAGCUCCCAAUUUCGUCGAAGUUCUUUGAAUAAUAUUGUCGGAUUUUCUUUUCGUUAUUCCGAAUGAUGUUCACAAGAUCCAUAAUUCUCUCGUCACUCAACCUAUUCCCUUUAAACUCUCUAAAACAUAUCAAUUUCUUCCUCUUCAUGAUCUCUAGUUUGGCAUCGCCGUGGUGAAGAGGACCUAUUGAAAUUAGUUGUGGAGUGUAGGCUUCCGGUUUUACGUUUCUAAGCAAAUUGGGCACCUCGUAGAUACAGCACUCAGACAGGUCCUGUUGAGGUGUGCACGAAUCCACCAUACUGUUAAGCUUUGUCACAAAAUUUCUAGUCAUGUCAUAAUCUUCCCCAUUUGAUGCUCUUGCUCCUUCAAAUUCGUCAUUCUUGAAGCACAUGCAGUACUGAGUUUAACUAUUUCCGGUCUGCAGGUUCAGUAACCAAGAAUGAAUGGAAGGGGGGUAUAUAUAGUUCAAUUUUGAAUUUUUUUUUAGAUAUAUGUACUAAUAUAGUAAUUUCUGUGUUAUUUCACAAAAUUAAGGCACUUUUUUAUUCAUGACAUUUUAUGUUCAUGAAUUUAGUCGCACCAAUCAUAAAUAUUUAAAAUUUUAAAAUUUCAAGUUACAUCUUUUUUAUUUAAAUUUACAUCAAAUUUUUUUUUUUUUUUGCGGAUAAACUUUUGGAUGCCAUCCACUAGUGAAUAACUAGUCCUAAUAACCAAACCAUAGAGAAGAACUCGUCAUCAAUUGCAUGUGAGUUAAAAAUACAAAAAAUAAAAUUUAAACCAGAGAUGUCUUAACAUUUUAAAGGACUCCUUAUGGCUCCAUUGUUGCCCAUACAUUUUUUUUUUCUCAUUUACAAUCUAUCAAUAAUCUUUAUAUUCUACAUAUAACUCAACUUUCAUGUCUUUUUUGACGACUCUAUAUCUUUCACCAAUAACUCUUUUUUUUCUUUUCUUUUUUCUACCUCUCUUCCUAACUCAUUUUCUUCUUCUCUAUAUAUCCCCCUCAAUGUAACUCAUUCUUUUCUCUCUUUUUAUCACUUAAACAUACAACUUUUCUUCAUAUCCACGCACCUCUUCUGCUCUAACUCAAUCUCUUUUAAUUCCAACUAAAAUUCUCUUUUCCUCUGUCUCCUACACUCUAUUUCACUCCUCCCUCCAUCCCUCUCAUCUUAACACAUUACCUCACCUUUUAAAAUCUACCAAGGGUUAGCAUCUAGGUAAUUUGAAUAGAAAAUUGUCAUUUUCUGAAUUUUUUUUAUUUCUUAUUCGUUUUUUUAACUCAGAAUCUUUAUAAUCAAUCAAACAAGUCGAGUAAUUCUGGUAAACUAAAUUAUCUAAAUUUUAUACCCUACUGGUUAGGAUAAUUUAGGAUUUAUUGAACGAUGCUCACUCCUAAUAUCUAUUAUAUAUAUUUUAUCUCUUGUAAAUUAAGUUUUUUUUUUUAUUAUUAAAAUGGAUUAACUAAAAGCUAACUUGAUAUUUGUGUUUCGUUAUUGAAUUGAAAAUGAUGUUGGCACUAUCUCAAAAAAAAAAAAAAAAUGAAGUCAGCUUGGAAUGCUUAUACAUAUAUUGAACCACGUAAUGUCUGCAGAGCUUAAAACAAUUCCAAAACGUAAAAUCUCAAAAAAACUAGACAUUUCAGAGAACAAAACAAGUUAGUGCUGACCUGAGGGAGAUCAGACGACUCUCUCUCUGUUGCUCUUACCAAGCCACAUGGUUGCGCCAAAUAUAUACGCAAGGACUGGUAAUUGAAAAUCACAAUAAUAAAGAGGCAUGUGUAUUAGAUUCUGUUUUGUAUGAAUUUCGCAAAUUGAUUUAAGUUUUUUUUUUUAACUUUUAAUUUAUAGAUUCUUCUUUUACUGCUUCUCUUCAAAAAAUUGAUUCAAAUCAUUUUCAUCAAGCAUAAUUUUAACUUAAGAUUAUUUUAACUUAUUAUUAUUAUUAUUAUUAUCCCAAGUUAUUUAUAAAAAAACAACUUUUGAAUUAUUGUUCAAAGUUAGAAUUAAUUUCUCAUAAGCAAUGUUUAACGGAUUUGUUUUUCAUUAAGUUUGUUUUUUUUUGUUUUUGUUAUAUUCAUGUAUUUUGCUUUGGAUAUUAGCUUUAUGACAUUUUCAAUAUACUCUUGAUUAUUAUCCAAAAAAUACUUUUAUUAUCAGUUGUUUAAUCCUUUAAUAAAUAGUUAAUAACUAUUUUUCAAUAAAAUUAUCUAAUCAUCAUAAAAAAAGAAAAAGAAAAAAAGGCAUGAUCACAAAGGGACAUGUUAAACGAAUCAUUAUGGAUGAUGCGGUUCAAUCUACCAAAUUUCAUCUAGUUGCAUCACACAAAGGCUAUUAAUUUAUUUAUCACAACAAAUUAGUGCCAACAGGUUGUGUGUCGUUUGAAGUUAAAAACAUCGAUUAAGUGGUAAGUAAUUAAAUGUUAAUAAUGAUUGGUAGAAUUUGGGUAAUGGGAGACGAUAAAUCUUAAAUUGAUAUAAUUGAAAAGGAAAUGGAUGAUCCAUGUUGGUGGGACUAAUAUUAGGUGUAAUAAAAAGAGAGAGGAAAUCAAUUAAUAAUGGUUUGAAAGGAAAGACAAACUUAUGUAGUAGUUGGCUCUUUUUAAAGUAUAAUGUUGGGAGGCCUGUUCUGGUGAUGGAAAAAACAGUAAGUUUUUCUUUUAGUUAGUUUGCUAAUUGACUAAAUCUUAUUAAUAUUUCCCUUUAAUUACUAUAAAAAAAAUAGUGUUGGAAAAGAAAUAACAGAGAAGAAAAUAAAUAAUCAUGUUCUAAAUAACUUGUAUCACUAUAAUUAUAUUAAAUAAUAAAAAACCAUGCUCUUUAUUCAUUGCCUCAGUAUACUUUAUUAACUUUUAUUUUUUUCUUAUUUAUUAAUAUACUUGAUAUUAAUAUAGAUUAGGUUGAUGACCCAAAUCCAUCGAUUGCUUCACGGAUCAGCUAGGGCUGGAUUUUUUUUAUUAUUGUAUAUUCUAGUAUUUGUGUUUUCUAGGGUCUCUUUUUGCUUGGUUCAUGUUGAUUUUGUCGAUGUAUUGUAUUUGUUUCGGCUAACUCCUGGUUUUUUGCCUUUUCGAGGCUUUAACUCGGAAUUUUAAAAAUAUUCAAGUUGCACCAUUUACAGUCUAGAGUUCAAGUUUUUCCUUUCAUUUACAGUCUACUAAUAAACUGUAACACUCAACUUUCAUCUCCCUCUUUCACUAUAGCACAUUUUCUCCUUCUCUACUUGUCUUCUUCUGACUCGUUAACAAUCUUCCUAUGUAUGCAAUUGCUUAAAUUGUAUUAAAAAACCAGACCAGACCUAGUUUAGUUCUUUAAAAAAAAAAGAGUAACAAAAAAGGAACUACACACACCAUGCCCCUUUAUAGGGAAAAGGUAAACUUUAUGGAUAGAAUGCUUUACAUAUAUUAAACCAUCUAAUGUCUGAAGAGCUCAAACCAAAUCCAAAACAUCGUCCGUAAAUUUUCAAAGAACAAAACUAGAUAGUGCUGACCUGAGGGAGAUCAGUGGGCACUCUCUUUCCUAUAGAUUGCAGCUCCCUUCGCUCUCUCUCUCUGUAAGUCUCCUGCCUUCUACCCUAAUGGUUGCGCGAUCUCCAGAUAUAUUGUGGUAGGAAAACGUGCAUGAGUUUUCUUCUGUGUCAUCAGUAAACGAGGAGGUCAUUUUCACUUUUAUAUAUUUACUGUCAUUACCAUAUGCAUUUAUGUUCACAUUUAUAUAUAUUAUAGUCAUUGCCAUAUGCAUUUACUAGAAAAACUGUAUUAACUUAUUUUUUUAGGAAUUGUUUUAAUAUUUUAGUCUUUUUUCUAAUUUGAAAUAAUGUUUUUUAUAUCUUAGUAUUGACAUAUCUGUUGGAAAAAAUCAACACCAGAGCAGUGUUGGGUCUUUUCUCUGUUCCUAUUGGGAUGAAAGAAUCUAAUGAAGCUCAUGAACUGUUAGCAGUAGUUAAUAGGGAUUAACUUUGCAAUCGCAAGGUUCAAAUUUUAUUGUCGGUGGGUCAGUAGGUUGAUAGGGAUUAAUUUUAAAAAUCAUCUUUGGACUUAGUUUUCUACUGGAAACGCGUUUUCCACAGGGCAAGUUUGGCACUCAAGUUUUUACCACCAGCCACUGCCCCUCUUCUACAAUAAUCUGAAAUGUUCACUGGCUCACUCGUAGAAAUCUUUGAUGCUGUACGAAGACUACAGGAUACUUUGUGCUAUACAAAUUAUUUAAUUUUACUGUAUUCUUCUACAUUGACGGUGGCGCGUGGGAAAGACGCGCCGCCACUAUUCACUUGUUCAGAGACCUUCGUCAGCACUGCAUGCAGUUUCAAAAAGCUUCCCCAGCACUAUUAUGGAUUUUUGGGGGGUUUAUUUUGUAAUUUUUGAAUUGUUUAAUAUUUUUGAAUUGUUUAAUGUAUUGUUUUGAUUUAUUUUUAAUUUUGGUGAUUUGUAAGAUGUUAAUAGUGUGUUUGAAAAGAAAAGAAAAGAAAUAUAAUGAAAGUGUAUGUGUGUGUUUUAUUUUAAUUUUUAUAUAUUUUUUAUGAUAAAAUUGCAAAGAUUAAAGAAGAAUUUAAUAUUUUGAUUAGAUCACGGUCAAGAAUUAUUAACUUAUACGUAAGUUAUAUUUUUGAUAUCCGAUGAAAAGACAAUUAUUAAAACUUCUUUAACACAUCAAAAGCCAUGAAGCAGCUUACGUCAGGUAGGGUGCGUUAGGGGUGCUAAUACCUUCUCUAACCACAAUCAGUCCCUUACCCGUGAAUCUCUGACAAGACCAGCACGUUCGGUUUCCUAGUAGCCUUCAAUAAAUUACUAGGUGGCGACUCCCAACGAACCAAUCAAAGCAACGCAUUAACGAGAAAAAUCACCAGCCGAUACCGCGCGGAUUUUGACGUGCGACAAUUAUUAUAUAAAAACCUUUGAUCAAUGAUGAAGCUAGCUUUCACUAGCUGUUUUUGGUGUGCCUAUAUAUCAACAUAAGUAAGCAAAUAAAAUGUCAAGGACCAUGUGAAGCAUGAUUCACAUGUUUAUAAAUAGUAAGAGAACCUAUAAAAAAUCAAAUACAAAUAAUUGGAAGUCCUUUCAAAUAGAAGUUAAAGUCUAUCAAGAAAGGAUAGAAUUAAAUUCCUUAUCAAAUGAAAUCAAAACAAAUAAAAUCUCACCUGUUAAAACUUUCAAGCUCGUAUAAAAAUAUUAUAUCCCUCCAGAAUAAGUUCAAGAUCAAGAAUAGAAGGUUAUAAUAUUCAGAUAUGACUCUUAAUUAGGGAAUUUAUACACCUAAAACAUAUACAAAGACUUUGAAUAUUAGUUAGAGUUCUUAAUAAUCACAAUACUAGGUGUUGAAGUUAAAUCUUUUAAAUUAUAAAAAAAAUAAAAAUACUUUGUUAUUUUCAGACACCUAAAAUCCCAAUCUAGAACGAAAAUAACGAUACAACAUACAUGCAACACGGCCUCUUAGUUUCUCUUUCUAUGGAAGUUUAUAUUUGGUAAAAUAGUGUAUAAUAUUUUUUAAUUGAAAAUGUAUUAAAAUAAUAUAAUUUUUUAGAUUUUUUUAACAGCAAUAUAUUAAAAUUAUUAAAGAAAAAUUAAAAAAUUAUUAAUUUAAUACUUUUUUGAUAAAAAAUAAUUUUGAAAGCAGGUUUUUUCUAAAAAAAACACUCCCGAAGUUUUUUUUGCCUUAUGUAUCGAAAAACAAAUCUACUGAGUGUGUGAGGGCUAAAAAGAAGAGAGGGUCAGAAGAUAACUUAGUCAAAAUAAUGUCGGCAAAACGUGCAUGUCAUGUAGUCAUUUUCGGUGAUAGGUCAUUUUCACCAUUAUAUUUUUGUAGUCAUUGAAUAUUUAUGUUGAUAUUUAUAUUUAUAUAUUUAUAGUCACUGUCAUAUAUAUGCAGUUAUGUUCAUGACAGCUAGAUAUAUAUAUUUUAAAAAAAUUAUAUAUAUAUCUUCGUAUUGACAUAUAUGUUAUAUUGCCAUAUAUAAAAAAAAAUUGAUUUUUUAUAAGAAAAUUAUUAUUAUUAUUAUUAUUAUUAUUAGAUAAAAAACAUGAAUAAUGUGUGGACACAUUUUUUUAUGAUAAAAAUAUCCUUAAGUUUUAUUAAUCAUUAAUGUAUUGAAAGGAUUUUAUCCAGCGUUUUCAAAAAAAUAAAUUUUUAUUAUUAAAAAAUAAAUUUUUUAUAUAUUUUUGAUCGUUUUGAUGCGUUGAUUUCAAAAAUAAUUUUUUAAAAAAUUAUUUUGAUGCAUUUCGACACGAAAAAACUUUAAAAAACGACUACAAUUACACUCUCAAACAUGUUAUUUAAUCCCCAAUGCUUAUUUAGAUGAGAAAUUAUCAUUUUGAUGUAUUUUAGCACGAAAAACAUUUUAAAAAGAAACGACAAUCACAAUCUCAAACAAGUUAUUUAGACCUCAAUGCUUAUUUAGAUGAGAAAUUAUUGUUCUUUAGUCUCUAAAUAAUCUUAUCUAGGGUUAAUUAUAAAAAGCAAAAUUAUCAACAUACGAAUUAGGAUAUAAAAAAUGAUAAGUAAUUAGAUUGAAUUUAAGUUAGAAAUAAACGUCAACCUUGUAAUAAUAAUUUUAGGUAUUUUCAGUGUUUUUUUCAUCUCCAGCUCGAGUUUUCUUUUGCGAUCUGUUGUUUUCACAUUAUUGUCAUAUGCUUCAAUAAUCUUCGCCAGCUCAGAGAUAUAUUGGAAAACGAAUUUAACCUAUUAUUAUUAUUAUUAUUAUAUAAGAAACCUUCGAGGGAUUUUUUUUUCAAUGAUGAAGCUAGUUUUCACUAGCUGUUUUUGGUGUGUUAUAUAUCAAGAUAAGUAAGCAAAUAAAAUGUCAAGGACCAUGUGAAGAUCAACUCAUUAUUUUGAUUUAUAGGUGUAUAUAUAUAUUGAAAGCAAAACCUUUAUGAUCUCAAGUAAGCAAAUAAAAUUAAUUGGAAAUCAAAAACUUUAUGUUUGUAUGUAAUAAAAUAAAAUAAGAAUUAUAUGUAUUAAUAAAUAUUAAAUAAAUUGUUAACACUAACUAAAAAUUGAGUUGAGAAGUUAAGUUAUAUAUAUAUAUUGUAAAACUGGGUAUGGUUUAAAGUGUUUUUCAUUUAAAAAUACAUCAAAAUAAUUUAUUUAUUUAUUUUAAAACAUUACUUUUAAUAUCAGCACAUUAAAAUAAUCUGAAAACACUAAAAAUUUAAAACUUAAAAAAACACGGUUUAAACCGCAUUCCAAACAGGUCCUAAGUAUCUUGUCUACCCAAAAACAUAUGAAAAUGGCUAUAAAUAUAUAAAUGUGAACUUAAAAAUGAUUUCUAAGAGGUCAAGUAUAUUUAUACAUAAUAAUCCCUGUAAACUUAUUAAAUCUUCAUUUUAGCCCUUUAAUGUUGAAUCAUGGAUCCAUCUUUUUUUCUAUCAGCAGAUAGUCUUUAUAUAUAUAAAAAAAAACCACCGAUCAACCCACUGAGCAUGUGAAGUUACAAAUUUCAAAUGCAUGAAGGAAGACCCCAUAAUGAAAACGAUGUUUGUUUAUCUUAUAAAUAUAUUUGGAUGCAGCCUUAGCUGGUUCACACUCACCUGCAGACAAAAUUUCCAAGCGUCCUUUGAAGUUGAUGGAAAAAUUGAAUCAAUUGAUAGUGAGAGGGAAAGAUUGUGCAUUUCUUCGUUGUCGUUUAUUCCUUUACAAGACAGAUGCAUUAUUAAAAAAUUGCUUUGAAUCAUUUCCAUCAAUUGUCAAGUAUUUCAUAACAGUAAUUCGAUUCACUUGAAAAACUGGUUUUUCCUAUUCAAUUGCUUAAGCUCUAUUAAAAAACCGGACCGGAUCAUAUAUAAUAAUAUAUAUAUAUAUACUUUUUUUAUUUAGUUCUCCGACUCCGGAUGAGUUUGGGCGUCCGGCGCCUCUUUUGAGGACGGGAGGAAAAAAAACAUAUAUAUCUACACCUUGCACCCUUUUAGGAAAAGAUAAAUCUUUAAGGAAAUAAAUUUUUUUUAUAACAUGUUUAUUAUUUUUUAUUAAAACAAUGUAUAUUGAAGAUCAAAACAUAAUAUUUUUUAUAUAAAAUAACUUAAUAAUUUCAAGUUUAAUCUCUAAUUUAAUAACAAGUUCAGUGAUAUUAACUUUAAAAUUUAAAAUAUUACAUUUAUAGAAAAAUGCAUGCUAAACAUUUGAAAUAUAACCUAUUUAUAUUUAGUUUGAUCCAUGUGGGACCAUUAAGCCAUAUGAAGAGAGGGGUUUAGCCUAAUUUCUUAGGAGUUUUUAAUAUUUAAUUUGUUUUACAUGGAGAACAAAUAUAGAAAAAAAAAUAUUAGCUUCCCAAAAAUAGUAUUUGAUGAUCUAUCUAGUUUUGAUCAAAUGCUACUACAUGUGCUGUAUAGAUAUAAUUAUGGAUUAAUUGAGCUGAGAAUUUAUAGAUACAAUUGUGACAUAACAAGGAUCUAUAAUCUAAAAUAGUAAAGAUUAAAUUUAGAACAACCUAACUAGUGUUCUGUGCGCUAUUAAAACAUCAGGUUUUUUGAGUAUUCUGAAUUAGUUUGUGAUUUCUCCUAACAAAAAUGGAACUCUUUUAGUAGAUAACUAGAACACGUUCCUAUAUGAUAAACUUGAAUAUUAUAUGCUUGGAAAACUGCACAUAAUUAUAAAAUGUUUUUAAUAAAGCAUUUGAUGACUUUGAGAUGCCAAGAUGAAACUUAAUCAACAAAUCACUUAAACACGUUACAACUAGUUUUUUUUUUAAAAAAAAAAAAAAAAAAUAGUUGUUCCUUGUUUGGGUACAAUCUGAUUUUUUUUUUAAAAAUUUCUUUUGUAAUACUGUUGGUCAUUUUUAUUAGAUAUGUAGCUAGUUCUCCUAAAUAAAUUAGUAUGGGUAAUUAAAGUGACUGCAAAGGGUAUUGAUACCGAUAAUCACUUGUUCACCACCGCUAAUCAAGUCUUGCUCUCUAGCUAUCUUAAUACCCAUAUAAAUCUAAAGUCGAAGCUCUGAUCAUUUCACAGCAGGUUCAAUGAAAUUAACAACAAAAUUUAUUACAAAUGUUUAUAUAUGCUGGAUAACUAAAACAUAAUUAAGCAAACCAACUUUUUAAAAAAUAAAAAUAAAUGGAACCACCUAUUGUCUGCAGAGCUUAAACCAAAUCCAAAACUAAACAUUUCAAAGAGCAGAACAAGUUAGUGCUGACCUGAGGACGGAGAUCAGAGGACCGUGUCUGUAAAUAGAGUCCCUAGCCGCGAGCCUCUUCCUAUAUAUAUAUUGCAGCACCUCUCUCUCUCUCCCUCCCCCCCCUCUCUCUAAGUCUCUUGCCUUGUCUCUCUCCCUCUCUCUCUAUCUCUCUAAGUCUCUUGCCUUGUCUCUCUCCCUCUCUCUCUAUCUCUCUAAGUCUCUUGCCUUGUCUCUCUCCCUCUCUCUCUAUCUCUCUAAGUCUCUUGCCUUGUCUACCCAGAUGCACAAGACAAUGGCUAUAAUUAAGGGACUUAAUUAUAUAUGCUCUCUAGAUUCAAGCCUGGCAAGGGCGGAUCUAGGAAAGUCCCUUAACUUUAAAAUUAUUUCUAAAAGAUGAAGUAUAUUUGUACAUAAUAAUCCCUGUAGAAUAUUAAAUCUUCAUUUUAGCCCUUUAAUGUUGAAUCCUG